RNAcentral lists this long non-coding RNA (89668 nucleotides) under Musa acuminata (dwarf banana). RNAcentral's name for it is "long non-coding RNA (MACU_LNC001006)". Lineage: Eukaryota; Viridiplantae; Streptophyta; Magnoliopsida; Zingiberales; Musaceae. The record is from RNAcentral.
UUGGGAGUGGUGAGGCCUCACGGCGACGAGUCUUCUUCUUGAUCUCGGGUCGAAUUAGGUGAGUGUCAGAAAGAGGAAUCAACGAUGGUUUCCUCCAUGAUGGUCUCCUCGGCUGCCACCUUCACCCGGGCUUCCCCGGCUCAAUCCAGCAUGGUGGCGCCGUUCACCGGCCUCAAGUCCGCCUCCGCCUUCCCUGUCACCAGGAAGCCCAACGCCGACCUCUCCCACCUCCCCAGCAAUGGCGGCCGAGUUCAGUGCAUGAAGGUACGCACGUACAAGGCUCGUGGCUCGAGUCGGAAACCUCUGUUACCGAGAUAGCCGUUACGAAUCAUAUACUGUGGAUGUAAUUCUUACGACAGGUGUGGCCGAUCGAGGGCAUGAAGAAGUUUGAGACCCUGUCCUACCUUCCGACACUGAAGGACGAGGAGUUGCUGAAGCAGAUCGAGUACCUUCUCCGCUCCAAAUGGAUUCCCUGCUUGGAGUUCUGCCCCGUAAGUAACUUCACCUGCCCCAUGGUGGGCAUCCGGUAACCUUGAUAUCCAGCAUGCAUACCGGGGAUUGAAGUCGAUCGUAAUGACCAUAACAGAAAGGGUUCGUGUGGCGCGAGAACCACCGGUCGCCGGGGUACUACGACGGGCGGUACUGGACCAUGUGGAAGCUGCCCAUGUUCGGGUGCACCGACGCUGUGCAGGUGGCGAAGGAGGUGGAGGAGUGCAAGAAGGAGUACCCCCACGCCUUCAUCCGCAUCAUCGGCUUCGACAACAACCGCCAGGUGCAGUGCAUCAGUUUCAUCGCCUACAAGCCGACCGGCUACUAGACGAUUCGGAUCCGGCUCUUCGGAUUUGCUUUCUUUGGUUCAGUGUUGGAUGUUUCCCCUUCUCUCGUUGUCUCCUCUACGCAACCGCCGACAGUGCAGCAGCGCACUGAGGCCGUCUAUGUUUUGUUUCCCCAAGAACGCGGAGCUUGUAUGUUAAGAAGUUUAUUAUGGACGUUCGCUUAUUUAUAAUAAAGGCUACCCAAUGUGUUUGAUUUUACCUGUAUCCGUCUGCUGUGGGUGGAAGAAUCCCGUACCGUAGUCGGCAGACGUGUGGUGUGGGGGUUGAAGCUUUGCUCUGGCCCAACCUAAUGUUAUCUGGGCUCUGUAUUGGGCCGAUCUCGGCCUACUUGGACGAUCAACCGCUGGGUCAACGGUCAAACACCGCGCGCAUGUCUUCUUCUUCUCCCUCCCCUACUAAUUUAAUGGAAAUAGAUAUAUGGACCCCCAAAAAAAAAAAAAAAAAAAUGUCAUCAUCUCGCAUCCGACGCACCAACAAACGCGCCGUGGCAAAAGCAGUACGAGAGGUUUCCUAUCGUCGUCGGUCGUGAAGAGUAGCAAAGUAGAUCGAGCCCAAGCGAGGAACGUCACGUGCGAGCAUAAUUCGUGUCGGCCCUUCGCUCGUGGUGGGGUACCGCCGCGGUGCCCGGUACCGUGUCGGAUGAUGUAUAUUAAUGAAGCCAACCGUGUGUGAUAUCUCAACUCAUGCUGUAAUCACCGUUUGAAUAGUUUGAUGAACGGUGUCCAUAUCCACAGCAUGCGUGACACAUUUGGUACCUACCCAUUAAAAUACAAUACCAUUCAGAGCACUCUCUCGAUUUAUUUUACUUUUUCUAUUAUUCUUCUUCUUCUUCUUCUUUUUUUCCUUUGGAUAAAUCCUCCUCCGACUCCCUUCUUCCCCAUUCCUAUCUCCUUCCCCUCUUCGGAUUCUCUCUCUCUCUCUCUCUCUCUCUCUCUAGUAGGGAGGCGGAUAAGGUACAUAAAAAUCCGGUCUUUGCCUCCUGCGCUUCUUUUUCUUCCCUUCUUCUUCGAUUCUGAGGGGUGAUCGGCUUCUUUUGUGGGAGAUCCCUCUCGUGGUGUCGCGCGCCGGUGGUUUUCCAAACAGAGUCGGGAUUUUUACUGGUUUUUGGAGUUUUCCUUCUUCUCGAAAUUUCGCACCCUCCUGCUUUUAUGGGAAACAGUGAAAUGUUCAAACUUGCCUGCAAAUACGUCCGAGUUUUCGUAGCUGCGGCGUUGUUUCUACCGGAUUCAAACGGAGAAAACCGCUUUUCUUGUUGGCUAAUUUAGUUGUCACGACAGGCGUUGCCAUCGUAAAGAUUGGGCGAACAUGAACCGCUGCGCGAUGCAACAGAACCCUUUCGCCGCCUACGAAGAGAUGAGGACCGCUUUCGCCGCCGCGGAAAGGAAGCCCCCUGUCUUCUGCCCGAAGCCCCGGCGGCUCAGCCCGCCCGCUGGCGUCGCCGAUCCGAUCUGGCCCCUCCGUUGGCACUCGAGGUUGACAUAUAUAACAACCCCUCCUCUGCUACGACACCGCAAAAGUUUCCCCUUUUCGUGUAUCUGAUUCCACCUCUCUCUGUCUCUCUCUUCUGCUCUUCUCAGUCGUCAAGCAGAUUUCUCCGAUUCGAACGCCGUGGCGGACCUUCUUGACAUCUUGCUCGCAAAGGUGAGAUUUUUUGUUGACGUUGUAAUAACAUGUGUAUUUGAUGUAGCUGAUACCGAAGAAAAUAGAUCUGGAAAACCUCUGUUAUUGACGUCUAUUAUCACGAUUUGUUCGCAGGAUGGUGAAGAACAGAACCGAGAGGCUUCUUCGCCGCCCUUCUUCUGCGGCUCGCCUCCAGACCGUGCGGCAAACCCGGUCGUCCAUGACGCCCGUUUCGGCGAGGACCGUCCGCCGCUGGCGCCGUUCGCCCCUGUGCAACCGACCCAGUCCGUCACGCCGAUGUCCCCCAAGCACGCCAAGUUCGGGCUCCUGCCGGCGGCCGUGCGGGUCGAGGGUUUUGAUUGCCUCGAUCGCGGCUGCAGCAGCAUCGCUGCUGUGGCCUGAACGCCCGCAUGCGCCUCCGAGCUUUCUUUUGGAGCGCGGUGAGAGGAAGAGUGAGAGGAAGGGAGAAUUGACAUCAACAAAUCAAAGAAACCAGCUGUAGGAGAAGAACAAGUUGGUAAUCUGGGAAUGCGUUUUGGCUCUCCAUGUAAACUGUACAUCUUACUAGUGGUGCACCAAUGUUGUGUACUAUUUGUGUGGGAGAAUUGUAUGUAGAUAUCAAAAUAAGGAAGAUAGAGAGUUAGGAGGAGGAGGAGAAGGAAAGCCAAGUUUUUUUGUGUUUUGUUUUGAUCCAUAUGGACGGUAAGAGGUUCUAUUUCAUCCUGUGCUGAAAUAUUCAUCAUCUUGUAUAGAACUCUUAGGAGGAAAUCCUCGAAUCAUGAAAUUGUGUAUCUAUUCAUCAUGUAUAAAAUUUUGUAUUCCUUUUCCUCUCUAUGUUUAUGGUGCCUCUUGGAGCUCUCGAGACGGUGGUGUUGCGAUUGAUGUGGCUGCCACCAGCGAAAAGAUGUUGCGCUUAGUGUUAAGAGCAUCGUUGGACGGAGAUGACUGGAGACGUGGCUUCGUGUUGGAAUAAUGUCAUCUUAUCAGAGCAGAUAUGGUCAAUAUCGUCGACUGAUACGAGAGGCGAUGGGUAAGGAGGAAGAGGUGGAGGAUAAGAAGGAAAUGGGGGCAGGAGGGCCCAGCAAAAGGGGUGUGAGGUCAUGUCUUCUCCACCGAGCUGUCUCUGUUCAAGUGGCGCUGUCGCGAAGAAAAAAAAUAACGAAGUCCAUGCCACCACCAUUCUUUGAAUUCUCCACAUGUGUUCGUCCGUGAUGACUGACUAAUUCAACAACGGAUGGAUCGACUCCGAGACGGACUAAAUGUUCUGUGCCUAACGAAGGAUGGACACAAGUGGAUAAUGCUUUGACAAAGGUGGCUAAUUGGCACGCGAUUUCCAGGGUCUUCUGUAUGCACAGAGUCAUGAGCUGUAAUAGGCCAAUGUCGUGAACUAUAUAAUAAAUACAUCGAUGGAAGUCAUGAGCAAGUGGGGAAAAGAAAAGCCUCGGCGAUUUCUUUCUACCCGUUGCCGUCCUGCUUUGCGUCCGACCGUCUCAUUCCAUCCCGCAUGAGAUACGGUGCUGUCGGAAGAGAUUCGGACUCGCAUUAGGUUCCGAUCUCUCCGAGCGUUCGUUCAGACACAUCGCCAGGGAAAAGAAAAAGAGUAGUAGAAUCCAUCCAACUUGUGCUUGCCAAAUAAGCAGAUAAGAGGAACGAAGGCUGGGUUCACAAGCAGUCAACGUGGCCACUUUCCACACCACGGCCUUCGUCCGCAGACCAUUCCUCAUCCCAUCCAAGUGAGUCCAAAAUCUCCACUGCUCACCUCAGGCGUGAAUGCAGAUAAAGAGGAAACAAAGCGGACGUGUCCUCUGCGGAACAUGUGGUCCGCCAUGCACGUAUCCCCUGUUACUCUUGGCCUCGGCGAGACGACGUGCCGAUCCAUGGGUGGAAGAGAGACGGAAGGAAUAGGAGAGAUCCCACGACGUGCAAUGUUUCAUCGCCCACCGUGCUGCACUCGCACAUGGUCUGCGGCUUCUCCCCGGCGCAUGGAAACCAAAUAUGGGAUCGGUGGGAGAAACAGGAUCGGAAACCUGUCUCCACGGUACCACUUUCCUUCCGGUACCCAACCGAUGAAGGGAUGCGUAGAGAUCGUAAUCGAAGCAUCUGACUGCAGGAACGCUUAGAGAAUUCACUCGUUGCAAGCACCAUAGCCUCGUCCUCGUACCAUGCCAUUCUCGAUGAAGGAAUCAGAAACUGGGCGAAGCGAAGGACAUGCCACGUAAAGCAGAAGAACAGGGCACAAAGAAAGGAUUCCGGUGGAGAAUAAAGAGGGAGGAGAGUCUGGUCCAUUGCUUUUGUCGACAGAUGGGUAUCGUUUGAGACCCACCUGGAUCGCUAUGGUGAUGAUAGAUAGAUAGAUAGAUUCUUGAUGUUUAUUCUCCCAUCAAAUCAGUAACAGGGAGGAGUGAAACGGAGCGAGAGAGAGGAGGGACAACACAUUUACGGAGAACCUACAUGUGUCGAGACAGGAAAACAAUGACAGGCUACAGGUGGGUUGCGUACACUCAAACCUUUGUCGCCGCAACUGGAUGCGAAUGGGAGCUGUCGGCGAAGCAAGCAAUCGGACCUGAGUUGGCUCACCGCAGAUGCCUAAUGAUUGACGCGGAAAAGGCCAAAUCGAAGAGAUUUGGUUUGCACGAUUGGGGUGUGCAGCCAACUCGGGUUGAGUCACCUGCUGCGGCGCCUUUGAUUAGCUCUUCCUCUGGUGGGGGUGGACGUGUCCACCUGUGGCCAUAAGACCCGCCGCGAGUGGUGGUCAAAACAAAGAAGGCCUUGGGAACGACGGAGGCCGACUUUAACGUGGCAAACGGCUGUGUGCCACCUUUACUGAUGUGCCCAAAUCUUUAACAAAAAUAAAUAUUCGUGGACCGCUGGGGUGCUGAGAGCAUCUGCUUUUUAUAAUACGAAAAGAAAAGCCUGUUCGUACGACAAUCUUACUCUGGCGGAGUGGCUGAAGGAACAUUCCUUUUUCUUCUUAUAUAUAUAAUUACUUUCUUCGUGUUCGUGAGCUCCAACUCAGAAACUUCCCUUCGUUCCUAUCUUUACACAUGUUUGCCUGAAUAGAUGCUUGGAGGUGCUGUCAACGUAAGAACGCUUGAAACUGAUAAAAGGAUGGGGCUCGAUGUCAAACAUCAUAAGAGAAAAACUAGGUCAUGUCGUCUAGGAUUAAUGUUCUUUACGAUUAAGCAUGCGAGUCCUUUCGAAAUCAUGAUCGAGAAAAGUCCAAAAGGAUAAGCUUAGCCAUCGUGUAUCAAUGAUUCUUUACGAUUAGGCAUGCGAGUCCUUUCGAAAUCAUGAUCGAGGAAAGUUCAAAAGGAUAAGCUUAGCCAUCGUGUAUCAAUGGUUGCUCUAAUUUAUGAUCACAUGAGGGGGGUUACCUUACAUGCGUGUCGACUCCAAGUGGUGGCUCACGAUUAGGGUGAGUCAUCGAUCUAAUGCUUGUGUCAUUGUUUUUCCUAUCAACACCUAUAGUUUUUUCUAAUAUCAUCAUAUUUUUAAUAUAUUUUAAAACACUAAUAUCUCCUGAUAAAAGUCUAAUAUACAAAAGAGUAAAAUUAUUUAUUUCAUUAAAUUUUCAUAAUAAAAUAGUAAAAAUGGAUGACAUCUUUGUUCAAAUUUUUAUCAUAAAAAAUUUUAGAUUCUGAUGCCACUUUUAUAUCCUACGAAGAGUUAGCAUUUUUUAUUUCUUCAUAAUAUUUUUAAUUUUUAUUAGACUGUGUUGAACAAGGAGGUGUUUCAUCCUCCUCUUCUAUUCAAUUAUUGAACACAACUAUUCUUUCCAUUAAAUUUUUAUAAUAAAAAUUAAAAUUUAAUCGAGCUAUUUUUUUAAAAAAAUAAAAAAAAAUAGAUGAGAAAAAGUAAUAGCGACCCCUCCAACCAACCCCUCAGCACACGACAACAUGAACAGACUAGUCUAAACGCAAAAGUAAUAUUGACCCGUUACACUAAUUUGCUUUUGGUGGGUUGUCCGUACGGACAUCGGUGGGUAUAAGGCACGCAGCCCAUGUGGGGGUCGACUGCAGAAAUAACUCCGUCCUCGGCGACGAAGCUGAAGCUGAAGCUGGCAAUUGUUUUCUCAGAAUCAGAAUAUUCAAUCGGCCACCAUAAAUCAAAUGAAUAGGAAGAACAAAAGAAGCACAGACCAGCGGUGGUGGGAAGGUGAAGGUCGUGAUCGUCGCCGUAAAUUUUAAUAGAAACGAGCGAAGAAAAGAAAAUAUUUCGAAAUUGGACAAACAAUGGCUCCUUAAUUUAUUAAGUAGCGACACGCCGGUGACUGUGCGGGAGCGGGAGGAGGAGGUGGAGGUGGAGCUCCGCACGACGGAUUCGCCUCCGACCGCCCCUCCCUCAUUAUUUCGUCUGUCGGUCACGCACGGCUGUGGUCCGCACCUCUCUCUCUCUCUCUCUCAGACACGUGACCCCCCGCUUAUCCGCUCCAAAGCCGCGACGCGAACCGGACGCGCUGCGUCUGCCACGUUGCUGCCGGCCCCUCGUAACGUAGCCACGUGUACUCUUUAGCCGGGUUCGACCCGGCUCGGGUAGCCAUGCCUUUCGAGCGACGACUCGGCCCGUCACGAGUCCUCACACCGCCCCACCCACGACGACGACGACGACAGAUAUAGAUACGUCGCCGAACCCAGUACGUUCCUGCCGUGUCGAAGACGUUUCGGUCCGUGACGCGCCCGUGGCGACCAACAUGCCUAGCGUUAAUAGCGACGGGUGUUACUCCUCUUUCGGCUUAAAAUCACCGGAGUAAACAGAUCCGGAUUCGACGCGUCGAGUUGAUGGCUGCGUGCAUUUAGGGGAAGGUCUGGUGCUCGCACCACGCCUCUUUGAUUCAUUCCAUGCAUGCUUUUGACGGACGCACGCGCCAAUGAACGUCGAGAUUCGCGACGGACAGAAUCGCUGAGUGGGUCCGCCGCGGGGCCUCCAUGUUUGGCCAUUAUUGAUUAUUAGAGGUGGGUAGGCGCGGGCAGCGAUUGGGUUUCCUCGUUUCCUUUUUUUUCUUAUUCCUUCCUUUCCGUGGGCGAUUUGGUUACCACCGCAUCACCCAUCGAGCUGACAAAGAAAGAUAUUGAUGCCCACCCUGAAUAGCCUUUUUCUUUUUUCUAAUCUUUCUUUGGCGCUGUUGAGGUCAAAUAAAAUUAUAUUAACAUCAUGAUCGUUCGUUUACCCGCGGAUGGUGGAUGAUGGCAUGGGAGUUAUCCUACCAAUAUGUUAGCGGCUACGAUUCCUAAUUUAAUCUUCCAAGUUAUCCUACCCCAACAGGAGGUCAAACUCGACAACGAGAGGGAGGAUAACGUCGAACGUUUCUCACCGUUCAAAUCCAGAGGAUAGAGAAGGGAGAAGAAUAAAAAAAACAAAAAAGGAAGAUGCGCCCAAAUCCAGCCGAGCCGAGAAGACCAAGCCAAACCACGUACCGCCUCAGCCACGCCGACGACGGGGUCACUGCCCCGGACGCCAGCUCCGGACUCCAAACCCGACCCAUACGUGUCCAAAUUACCUUUCCUUUUCCCUUCAUUAAAAUAAAAAAAAGCAAGACACACCCGUGAUGCGUGGGCCCCUCCCACCUUAUUUCCCCCCCACCCCGCCCCCCUUAUUAUUAUUAUUAUUAUUAUUAUUUUACUCGCUCUUCCAUCUGUUAUGGACUUUAUCACGCCACCCACCGUAUUUCUCGUGUCUCGCGAAACGUCCCCAGAAAAAGAAAAAAAGGAAAAUGAAUAGAAAUCCGCCCCUCCUCUUUCCCUCCCUAUAUAAACUCCCCCUCCACCGUGGACGAAACCAUUCACAUGCUUACUCACGCUUCCGUGCUCCUGUUUUGAGUUUUGACCUUCUUCCUACUCGGCCCCCUUAUCAUUUUCUUUCCCAGUUUGCCCAUCGACAACCUGAAAUGUCUUCUCCACCCCCAUACCUUCCUCCUGUAGAGGCCUCCGCCGAUCGGAAAAGACGCCGCGACGAGAUGGUGGAGAUAGAGGAGGAGGGGGAGUCGCCGGAGAUCUCCUCGCCCGAGGCCAAGCGCCUCCUCCUCGACAUCCUUGACGAUGACGCCGAUGCCGGAGACCAGGACCUCGCCUCCGUCAUGAAGAGCCUCGAGGAGGAGAUCGCCCUCCCCUCGCCGCCUCCGCAACCGCAGCUGCUCCCUCUGGCCGCGGUGGACCAGCCCGACCUAGGGUUCCUCUUCGAGGCCUCCGACGACGAGCUCGGCCUGCCGCCCCAGGCCGACGAGCGCUGCGAGGCACCCGAGCCGGAGGUCGCCGAGGAGAGCGCCGGGUUUGGCCAGAUCUGGGGGUUCGACGACGGCGACCUGUGCGGAUACGAAGGGUUCGAGUUCGGGAUCCGGCCGGAGGAGCGGGCGGAGGCGGACGACGGGGUGGUGUUCGACGGCGGGCUGUUUGAUUACGCCGACGUGGUGCCCUGCGGGCCGUCCGAUUUCGCGGAUCUAUCGUGGCGGCCGGAGACGCUCCCGGCCGUCUGAUGACAGUCCGGACGCUUUUGUUCUUCCUUCUUUAAACCCCCCCCCUUCUUCAACUUUUCUUUUGUUCUUUUCCUUCUCUUUUGAGGAGCGGUAGGCGGUCGUUGUAAAGCUUAGAAAAAAGAAGAUGAAGAAAGAAGACGCUUGUGAACGAGAAUCGAACGAACGGUUUCGCACGAUAUUUCGAAGAAGGAAAUCAAUCUUUCGUUUUCUAUUUCGACAGCGUCAUUUUAUCAUCCACCUUAUUCGACCUUUGGAUGGACAUCCGACGGUGCAGAAAUGGGGAUCCCAAUAAUCUCCUUGGAUGCUCCGCUCGUCGCUUCUUGAUGACCAAAACAGAAAACCUAACAGCAGAAUAAAAAGUCGAUUCAACCCAUGAAGCACCAGUCUUAUUCGUUCAUUAAAUAUUUCUAACAUUCCGUUGCGUAGUAACGAGUUAUGCCAUUAUUCAUAUCCCGUAUUAGCUAAGAAUUAUGCUCAAUAAAUUAUAUUAUAAAUUGAUUACGAAUGGUGUAUGACUUGGUUGUGUGUGGGACCUGAGUUUGGUGGCAAGCAGUUUCGGAAACGUGUCGGGCUCUGUACGAGGCCGGCGCAGCGAGUUCUGUGAUGGGCCUUCUUCGUCUGUCUUUGCAUCUUCGCAAAGAAUGUCUGUUUCCCUUCCUUGCACUUGCGUUCCUUGGGUUGAUUCCGGCCUCGACCUAGUUGCAUGGCGUGAUUGGCAGUGGAGGACAUUAGAAUUCCAUCCUACGAGGUCUGCUCUCUUUCCUUUGUUGCUUACAAUCGAUGAAGAAUGGAUCUUUACAUGCCGCGAUCAAGGCCGCCUGUUUUUAGAGCCUCUUUUGGUAGGUCGAAACCUAAUUUUUUUUGCAUCACCUAAAUUUAUGGCAUCACCUUAGUAUGACGACGUUGUGUUCGACGAUAUGCCUCUUUUGUUUUCAUUCAUAAUCUUAUGUUUUCAUUAAUCAAGUCUAGUUCUCAUUGGAUUUCCGGUGCGGUGCCACGCCCCUUUUUGCUGGUGAGUAAACACAACACAUUAUAAUUUUUCCGGUGGUAGGAGGUCUGCGGGUGAAGAAUUCAGAAAAACUGGGACAAAGGAGAUGGAUGAAGAGUCUACUUUGUGGAGUGGGAGCGAGGACCAUUAAUGCUACCUGAAUGAUCAUGGUGAUCCGUAUAUAAUAAACAUACAGUUUGAGCUUGAGGAGACAUCCAAAUAUCGACUGUUGAAGGCAGAAAAGUAGCACCAGGAGGUCUCUCAGGGAAGGCAAGCUACAAAGCUUGCUGCAGAAAAUGCACUGAAAAAUAUUUAAGAAAGUGUCGGACAGGAAUGUAUGGGAGGCGGCAAGUGAUCUAGAUAUCCGGAUUGGAGUUUUCGAAAACAUUGUUCCAGGACCAGGCUAUGCACAGCUUCGAGAGGAGGGUGGUCCUAAGAAGGGUAGACAUCCGAUUCUUCAAGGAUAGCACAGGCACAUAGAAGAGAAUCAGGAUUCGGAUUUUUCGGUUUGACAGAAAAUUUCAUUAGAUCGUGAAAGACCAUUUGUCUAUGAUUUAAUAUGCCAAGUUAGAGUCCUCUGAUGAAGUAGAUCAAUAUGAUGGUUGCUUGCAUCAUCCCAAGGAAAGAAAUUCUCUGGUCUAACCUGACCAAUUUAUCAUCCACCUGUUUCUCCUGCUACAUAUAUUCGAGCCCGUCGUCGAUGGAAAAGUGAAGAAUGAGUAUUUCUUGUUUGUGUCUGUUGUUUCUUCGAUCCAUCUAUCUCUCUCAUGUCUUUGUUACCACAUGCAUGCAAUCGAAUUAAGUUCACUGAGGAUUUAUAUUUUGAUUCCAGAGAAACUGUGUUCUCAUUUACGCUUCGUGCGUUCUUCCCAUCUUUGUUAUGUCUUUUGUCCCAUUAGUUAACACUCGUAACAUGUUGAUGUUCACCGGAAAACUCGUACAGGCGAGGGAUGGACCAUGGUACGUUGUCCUUUCUAGCUACUGCAAGUGGAUCAAGUGGUAAACUUGCAGCAAAUUUGAUCUGCAACUCGAGUUAUAAGGCCAAGGACUAUUGUAUGUUUGUUUUGAAUAGGUAUGUGUAUAAUAUUUCUGCCAUUGGACUUAGGAAGGAAGUUUCUUGCGAAAUGAUGCACCGACCUGCUCCCAUUUCUAAAAUAUGCCCCAUCUGCUUAGGCUUAGCGAGUUGCAACAUAAACAGUUUGGGUUGGGAAGGAGCUUUUCAUUGCAGUGUGUGGUAUGGAAUGUAUCUUGUUUCUUGUCUGCACCGAUCCAAGGAUGGAUCAUUCUGGCACGGUCAUCCUCUCAUAAUGGUUAGUUUCUUGAUCCUUGAUCAAGAAGAAAAAAACGAAAGCCAUGCUCCUUGAUCCCCCGGCCAAUCCCUGUUUCUCGAGGCUUUUGUUUUGUGAAUCCUCUCGCCCUUUCUCUCAUCAUAUCCCCCUCCUGUACGAAAAGCAAGUGACAAAUCUCCUUGUGCCACUAAAGCUGACUCCCAUUGUCUAAAGACUUGUUGCGGGGACAGUGUUUUCGCCGCACAGUGUCUCGUACGGUUCCAGCUUUUGUCCAUCGUUCCUCUGUCUUUUGGUCUCCCAUGCCGACAUUGGAGCACUGUUCCGUGAGCCUCACAUGGGUGUUGGUGCCGCACAGUGAAAGGCUGCUGACCUCCUCUGUCUGUGAGACUUAAGUUUGACCGUCGGAGAAAGGAAGACUCGACCAUCAACGGUGAUCAUUCUUUUGAGAUAUCUGUAUCUUGUCGUGCACUGCCAUUCUUUAUCCAUCUUUCGAGGACUCGGGCCCUGAACCCUGCAGCUGGUUGGUCAUCUUUAUAGAUACCACGGCAUCGGUGAUCUUAUUAUAUCUUAUGUUGCUGCCCCGGUGGUUAAUUGUCCAUAUAUUUGAACUCAUAAUUUCUUUAAUCUCUUCGUGAUGCAUUGCCCCCCUUGCACUCAUUUUAGAUUAUCUAUAACAGUGUGGCUCUCAGUUCUUACCUUGUGGAAUUGUACUUGUAUUGAUUGGGUAACGCAUAUUUGCCUAAAGGUUACAAGUAAAUUAUAUGAAUAAUUUAAUUGUGGACCAAAAUGAGGAUGGUAAUCAGUAGCAUCGAGGACGGUGGGAAGCACAAGAACAAGGGGACGAGAAGAUGCUCGACAACAGCUUGAGCUAACAUCAAGAAUGCUACCAGUUCGAAGCACCACCGACUAUAGGAAACCAUAGCAGCUACGAGGAAGGAAGAAGGGAAAGAGAGAGAGAGAGAGUCAACCCCCCCCCCCCCUUGUCUCCUGAAAACCUACCAUCUACAUGAUAAUACAAGCAUUAGCGUUCUCAUCACUGAAAAGAUGAGUGGCACAGAAGCCGUUGUCUACUUGGCUGCUGAGAUAGCGAGGGCUCGGGCAGUAGUUGUAGUAGCCAGUGUAGGAGGCGAUCUGAGGGGACCUGAGGUGCAUCAUCUGAGGCUGCACGCAUCUGCCGUCGUGCAUCGCCAUGCUGUGCCCUCUCGAGUUGUUCGCCAUGGAUGGUGGAUGGUUCGGGUACCCCUGCUUGUUCACCAGCAAUGCCGACUGGUAUUGUGCCCCACCAGCAUUUCGUGGCAAGCCUCCAUUGCUCCCAACGAGACCCAUCAUCACAUUAUUCGCCUGCGUCAUCCUUUGUCCCUUCCCUGCCUCAGGAUUGCCACUCGCCACCUUCUUGUCGUUGGCUGCAGCAUUGACGCCUUUUGGCUGUGACCCACUUGAGCUUUUCACGGUGUGCUCUGCCUCUCUGCUCUUCCAUCCGCUGCUGCCAUUUGUUGGCCUCGCGCUGGCUGGUGCAUUGUUUGCCUGCCUCGUUAAACUGAUUUGCAUCAUCUUAUGGUCGAGGAUUUGCAGAUCAUCGUCGUCUUCAUCUUCGUCGUCAUCAAUAUCAUCAUCAUCAUCAUCAUCAUAGUCUUCCUCGUCGGAGCUGGACGAGGGAAGCUUGUUGUGCUGGUGUUUGAAGGCUUUGAGGCCUCGCAGGAGGCCUUGUUUGCCUCGCCCUUCGAUCUUCGUGUUGGCUUCCUUCAUGGGAUUGGCAACUUGCUUCGGUGGUGGUGGUGGUGGUUUUUUUUGAUGGAUGGACUUCUGAAUCGGGGUAAGCUUUUGAGACCAAAGCUCCGCACGCUUACCUGCUCUGACCAGCUUCCUGAUGAGGGUUUCAGAGUCCACAUUCCCAGAAACUGUGACCUUCUGUUCUUCUAUAUCUAUGCUGACUGAGAAGACUCCUGAGUGAGAUGCACAGAACAAGAGGUGCAUGAUGAACAUCAAGUUUCUAGUCAAAUCAGGAGUUGUAUCUGCUGUCCAUGGAGGAUAUAACGAACGUUAGAUCAGGUACCUUCAAUUCUAUGGAGGAGCUUCGUAACUUUGUGCUUACAUCCAUCACAAUGUAUGUUCACCUUCAGGACGUGGGUCUGCAAGAACCAACCAAACAGUUUCGCUUCACUAACUCCUCUUCUCGCAAGAUACAAACGAAACAGAGAGGAGGAGAGGUACCUGGAUCUUGAGGAGCUUGAAGUCUUCGCCCUUGACCAUUUCAGCCGCAAUUCCUUCCUGCUGUCUGGGAGAUCACAAAGGAACAGGACGCAGUUCCUUGUCUGCAGGGAGAGAAGCUAAGCCUCGGCAUGCAAGACUCGUCUCCUCCACCAUCCCCUGCACUUCCCUCUAUAUACCUCGGGGCACCCAACAGGACACCACUUCUUUUGUCCACUGCUCGCACUAUGAUUGAUACAAACACGCACUCUCCCUUUUCUUUUCCUUUUUUUUUUUUUCUCUCUUUUUCUUUUUCUUUUUUUUGCUUUGAUAGAAGAGAGUAUGUAUGAUUAGGUCUGUCUGAGAACAUCGUCCAAUGUUCUGUGUGCGUUGGGAUCCUCCCCGCGCGUAGAUUUGGCGUCUGGAGAGCCAUCCAAUGGCUGAGACAAAGCAGCUAAGCGCUGAGGGGAGGAAACGAAGAAAGGAGAUCGAGGAGAGAAGCCAUGCAGCAGCGACCUGACCUGACCUGACAUCUGCAUUGCUUCCUGCAUGCAUAGCCCUGCACAGGCUCGUCUCUUUGCAUCUGGUGCCCAUUUUUAUCGUCUCCAUCUUCUUCUUUUCUUCUCCUCUCUACUCUCUCUUUCGCCUGUUCUGCUCCUGUGCCCGCCAUAAACCCAGAAACACAGCUUAACGUUUGACGAAACACCUCCAAAUCAAUCACGUAGGCUCCUGUCCGCUAAAAGCAUUCUCUUGGACGUUGUUAAGAACCAGCGUGGUUGUCCACCGCUGAAAGAAUGCGUAGGUUGUGGUAACAAGAACGAUGGGCCUCGGGCCAUCAUGCUCCGCUCACCUGUAACCAUAGGUUUGGUAUCAGUCCACGAGCUUUGAUGCAUUCUCUUAAAGUUAGGAGGCGGCAACGAGUUCAGCUGUUUGUGCUGUAGAAAGUAAUCUUAAUUUAGGGUGAAUUCAGAAGCAGAGUGGCCCGAAGACGACGACGACGACUCAUUACUUUGGAAGCUGAGUUAGAGCUCCAUGUCGGUAGGGGACACUUUGGACGUCAAAGUUGGGUCGCGUAUGGAUCCAAAUCCUUGACUUCUUCCUUCUUCCACCGGUACGCAUGCACUUGGAGGAAAAGCUGAUCACAUGGUCUGUGGCAGACAAACAAUUAGGUGAUCUACAAGUAAUCUUGGUAAUGACAGGAGAUUAGAUGCAGAGAUACAAAUGGUUGUCCACCUCAACCUCAUUGGAUAUUGCAUUUAUUAAGAGUCAAAUCUCACGAGACUCCAAAAGUUAGAGAAAAGAAGAAAUCAACAUCCGAGUUCAUCAUUAAUCACACACACACACACACACACACCAUCACAACAUGGUCAAAAGUUGUGACAAUUUGGUCAUCAUUCCUGGGCAACUCACUGACUUGUAUCUAUUAAUCUGACAAAGCUGGGAAAUUAGCUGGAACCAAUACGAAAUCUAGCCAUCUGUCUAAACCCACCACCGAGCGUGAUCCUCCGUGAUGACAACACAAAGCCGAAUGAAAUAGGGCGUGUUUGAGAUGAAAUGGCCGAAGCCAGUGGUGGCAAUCAUUAAAAAGCAACACGUUAAACGGAGAUCGUGGGUUUCAACGGCGGGCGGCAAUGGCGGUGGUGGGAACAUGAUGCCCGACGUGCCUUGCCAUCAUUUCCCUUUCUCACAAAGUAGUCGUGAAAUUUGCUUGAUAUAUUGGCCACAAAGAUCGACGAAGACAAAUUUGUCGAUAGGAUGAAACAACGGUGGUAGAGGAGGGAUACGGGUGGCCAAAAGAAAAGAAACAUGAGGGAGGGCCAGAACGGGAAAUAAACGCCCGAGUACUUCUGAUUCUCCUCCUCCUCCCUUCCUUCACUCCAACAGAUCCAAUCGCUCCCUUGUAAGCCUCCUCCUCCUUUCCUUCCACUGAUUGUUUUUCUUGUCGCCGUGCCUUUUUGGUUUACUUUGGUUCUACUUGGUCUGUUAAGGCAGGGAUAGGAGAGAGAGAGAGAGAGAGAGAGAGAGUAGGGGUUUCAGGGUCCAUAAGAAAGCUGCCACCUUUUUCUUCUCGGUGUAUUGAUUCCUCUGUUUCUGGUGGGUUUGUGAUUCCGUUCUUGGUUUUCUUUUAGCCUCAUUCAUCUCUCCUCCUCUCUACCCUUCUCUGAAUUAUGGAUUUGUUUGCUCUCUUUCAUCUUCGUUUUCUCUUUGUCGUUUCGGAUCCAUGAAAGAUCGCUCCUUUUUCAGUGUUUCGUUUGGAAUUUCCAAUAAUACUUUGGUUCUCGUGUUUUGGUUGCUGUUCUUCUUGUGACCGAUUGAAUUUUGAUGAAUCUUUCCCGUCUCAGUUUUCUCUGUUCGUGGGAUUUCGAAUACCUUGUAGUUUGAGGAAACCGACAUCUUUCUUGUGCUUCUCUGCUGCAACCCUGUUGGUCUUGGUCUCUACACGAUGAUGUUAUUCUUACACUUACUUUUUACUGUCCUGAUAGAUUGUUGGAUUACUAUCCUCCGUUUUUGGUUCUGCGUCUCAGUGUCCUGCUCUACGUUGCAAAGAUAACUUCUUCCGUCAUGUGGGGAUUGUUCAUGAUUUUAUUAACAUCUUUCCUUUGACUCUGACGUAUGGUUACAUUGGCUUCUUUGUUACAUUGUUCUCCUCUUUUCGUUCAAAGUUCCAGAAGAAUGGGAGACCAUCUUGCUUUGUUAGUGGACCACCUGCUCACCGAGUCAACGCUUGAAGCGGCUAUUGGUAGUCGGAAGCAUGGCCAGAUUGUCGCCAAUUCGGCAUCUUUGGAGGACCCGGCCAAAGAAUUCACUCGGAAGAGUCACGUCAGAGGAAGGACAUCCGUGGGAAAGUUGGUCGAGUGCCGAAUUUGUCAAGAAGAAGAUGAAGACUGCAACAUGGAGAUCCCUUGUUCAUGUUGUGGCAGCUUGAAGGUAAAUCAAGCUUCUAUGUAACAUAUGUAACUUGCCUUUGUAUUGCCUAUUACUGUAAGGUCAAUUUUUUGUUGCAGAAUAUGGCUUGUUCUUGAAGAUUUCAUUUUUGUGAUAACACGUAUUACUAUAAGUUCAAAUUUUGUUGCAGAAUAUGGCUCGUUCUUGAAGAUUUCAUUUUUGUGAUAACAUGGAAAUCAUGCAUACAUCUGCUUCGGUCAUGCAGUUAUUUUGUAUUCUGAUUUGUAGCAAAAAGGUUCAUCAGUUCUAGCCUGCAAACUGAAUUUCCUGUAUGAUAGUGUGUAUGUUUGAGCUACAAUUUGUUAUUUUCUAUUAAUGUAUGAAAUAGUUUGGUUAUUUUCCUGUAUGAUAGUGUGUAUGUUUGAACUACCGAGUGGUAAUCUAGAAGUUAAAAAUUGCAAUUUAAUUAAGGAUUCAAACAGUGAUCAAUGUUCAUUUGUAAUUCAUUUGCAACACAUUACUUUUGCUCAGUAUCUGUUUGGCAGAAGUCUGCCCGAGAUAUGUUCCUCUUGUGUUUUAGAAUUACCUUUAAUCCAGUGAAGCUUCAGUCUGUGAGAUUUAUAUCAUUUGAAAGUCAAAGUAAGUCCGGUUAUUUAUUGACCCGGUGACAGGAAUAUAUCAUACAAAAGAAGGAACUGGUCUCUCUCAUCUCAUUUGUACGUCUGUCACCUUUGUUCAACGUUACUAGUAAAUUGUCAUCCAACAAGUUCAUUGAUCUUUGUGUUCUAGAAGUAUACAGUUAAUGCGUUCACAUAUUUCUUGUUAUGUGUUUUCUUUCGUAGUCUAGUUUACAUCCCAGGAAAAUAAGAAAAAUUCACCUUAGCUCUUUCUUCUUGCAGUAUGCUCAUCGUAAGUGUGUUCAAAGAUGGUGUAACGAGAAGGGCGACACAGUGUGUGAGAUUUGCCUGCAGGUGAUGUUUUUUUUUUCUGGCCUCGUAGUUUUCUUGAUCUCAACAUUCUGUAGUCACCAUGGUGAAAGCUUGAGCAACACGUACUGAUAUUGAAAGUGUCAAUUGAGGCUUUCUCAUCAAGCAAUUAUCUCUUUCAGAUUACAUGCUGGUCAUUUCAUCUGCACAUUUACUUUGAUGUAGCAUUUGGAUCACGAUAGUUUAUUUCUUGUGAUAUUGCUGCUAUAGCUCCUAAUUCUUGUCACUCAUUCAGCAAUUUAAGCCAGGUUAUACUGCCCCUCCAAAGUUGUUUCAGUAUGGGAGUAUUCCUAUGAACUUCAGGUAUCCUUUAUUCGUCUCGUUACGUUUUUAGGCAUCUGUGGCAAUUCAGAGUUGCAUCAUUUACACAAGGAAUCACUGAUUGUGUCAUAAUAUUUCUCAGAGGCAAUUGGGAGAUUACCAGACAGGAUCAGCAUGAUUCUCAGAUCAUAGCACUGGUUCCAUCUGAACAUGAUAUCGUGCACCCUGAUGACGAUGAUUAUUCAGCUUUAGGCAUGAGAAACACAGUUUGUCGUCAGUCAAUUGUGAUAAUAGUGAGUUUAUUUUGAUUCGAUAAGCACGAUAGUGGAGUGACUUGUGAGUCGCAUUUUGCCUUAUUAUGCUUUGUGUUUUGACGUAAGUGAUUCGCUUUUGUUUUUUCCAGUUCACGGUUCUUUUGGUUCUUCCCCACACUCUUCCUCUUAUGAUCGGUGUAGCUGAGCAGUAUUCAUUCACUCUGUUCUCAGUAAAAAUCUAAUCCUAAGAAAUUAAUAAUUUUCUUUCGACAUACUAUUAUUCGCUUCUGAAGUUCCGUAUGAUGUAGCCCAUUUUUAUUUGUACGUUUCUGUAUAAAAGCUACUGGUGUUGCGGACUGCUGGAAUACUUUUGCCGAUCUUUGUAAUGGUCAGAACAAUAAGGACAUUUCACCAGUUCCGCUGCCGACGGGUAAUUUUCUUUUUUCUUCUUCCCAUAGCGGCUGUAGAAACUCAAAUCUUUUUUCCAUGGUUUCUUAAGAAAAAGAAUCUUGAAACGUUUUGGAACAUGUUGCAGGUAACUCGUGAAAUAUCUGAUCCAGCUGAAGGAGAGAACAUGAUCGAACCUUGGCGGCUGGUGCGGUCUCAACCACAUCACAUUCAGAUGCACUGACUGAUACAAAGGAGCGAUGAUUAGCAGCGCGAGUGACUAAUCCCACUGUUUCUUGGUGAUGCAAGAUCAGGUCAAACAAUGGAAGAUGAGAAGAGGAAAAAUGACUGGGAACAUGGCAUGGUUAUGCAGUCUGCUGCUCUGUACAUAACAUGGUAGUGAUAGGUUUCCCUUCGGAAUGCUUGAAAACGGUAGCCAUAGUUGGAUCCCUCUAUAGAAAGCCACUCGCUUCAGAAAGCUUGAAGAUGAAGUGGCUGAAUUGAGAGUAGUGAUAUGGAUGGCAUGGUGUAAAGUCGAACUCAUUUGGCAGUCAAAAGAAGAUUCAAGUUUGACUUUAAAUGCCAAUGUUAGAACAGCUUGGAUUUUCUUUUUACUUUUAUUUAUUUAUUGGAUUUACUUGAAUAAGCAUAAUUAUGGGUCAAACCAUAUGUCCUCCCUUGUGGUUGAUUCAAAUAAGGUGAUGAAGAAGGAGUUACUACAUUCACGUCGUCCUUGAAUUGCAUAAGAACAUUUCUUGCACUGGUUGCUAGUGACGAAGUGCUCACCGUCAACAUCUUCAUAUUGAAUCUGAAGCCGACAGAAAUUAACAAUAGAUCAAGAAAUGUCACUAAAUCUGUGCAGGAAAAAAGACCUCCAUUGAGUUCUUCCUGAUGCCACCCACCCCUCGUCAGCCUCGUGGAACUUCUUUUAUGGUGUCCAAUGCCGGCGUCCACGACGACUGCCUCGGCCUCUCCUCUUGAUGCACCGGGUGGCUUCAUUCGCUUUCUUGGCCUGUGCGGGGAGCAAGCAGAGGUCACCGCGGACGGGAAGAAUCCUGUUGGAGAAUCUUGCCUUAGAGGCCCUGCACGAAAGAGCUGCCAUCUCCUCCUCGGUAAGCACCGAGAAGAGCAUGUCCAUCGGCAGCAGGAAGUAGAGCCGGCGUCGCUCGAGUUCCUCGUCCGCCGCCAAACCUGGAAUCCGACACCCCACGUCGAGAUGGUCAGAGUCGCACACGAACUACCCAGGGUUGUCAACCAUCAACUCCGCCGCUCUCACAGAACGCACGUACUCUACGACGCCAUUGACGACCCUUAUGGAUCCACCCGAGGCAGCGUAAGGUGUGCAUGCAGUGUUUCCCAUGAAAUCACACUCCAAUCUCCCAGCAACUAGAACAUCACAAGGGACACAAACAGAGAACGAGAGAGAGAGAGAGGAAGAGAAGGAAUGGCAAUGUGUGGAAUGUGCGUUGGGCAUUGGGGGUAUCAAGGGAAGCACAUGGGCCAGAAGAUACAGCAUCAGAUCAUGCAUGGAACCUGACAAAUCAAUGGAGGAAGCACAGAGAUGCAGAGAAGCAGAAUCAAGUGGAUGCCAAAAUGUUCAGUAUGCUUGUCCGACACCUCACACCUUACACCGCUAAAAGUUGGCAUAACAAAUCAUUGGAGAACAUGACAUGAAAACUAGACUGCUUAGAACACCUUUAACCAGACAGAGAUGGCAACAAAAGCCAAACAAUUAUAAUCAAAUUGUUGUUGAUAUGCAUAAUCUCAUCAGAGGCCAAGCUGUCUGAAGACUUAAAUCAUGGAGACCCAGCUAUCAUCUUUAUGGAAUCCUUACCUAAUUGGUGGACCAGUGUUUCACCAAAGUAGCCAACAAAACGCUAUUGCUUGAUCCAUUCUCACUUCAUCUUGAAGAGGUUUUGGGGCGCUUCAAAUGUAUCCUGUUGCUUCACAAACCUGAUCAUAUAGGCACAUCAUCGACAAAAGGCAGUGGUUAAUCUUGUUUUCUAAGCUUAGAUUCACAUUAUUUCCAUCAGUUUGUUGUUAUGCUAAUCGAAUAAAGAACCAAGCAAUAGUGUGGGAAUAAUUUACUGGACAAGUUAAUCGAAAGAAAAAUAGUGGAAGUUAAAAGCUUAGAAACUGCAUUGUCUCUUCAAAUAAACAAUUUACUGCAUUCCUUUAAUUGAAUACUGAGAGAGUAUACAUCAGUGCUCCUUGUUUUUUUAGUACAGGCAACUUAUAUGAACUUCCAAAAGUAUACAAGACUGAUGACCUGUUGUACUGGCCAUCAGAGUGUGAUUUAAUAAUGUAAUAAUAAGGUUGUCAAAAUUUGGUAAAUUAUUCACCAUUAUUCUGCUCCAAGCUCAAUCAGAUGAUCACACAGCAUCUGAGAACAAAAGAAUCGUAUUGGUGUUUCGCUAAUACUAAUAGAAGAGCAUUGUGAGCCUUCCCCUCCUCCAUGGUUAGAAAUUCGUCAAGAUUUUGUCUUUUGACACACCUUCAGCCACAAGCUUAGCUGUAAUGACCUGCCACAUAAAACCUAGUGUCAGUUAACUAGCAUUCUGGAGCCAUAAAUUUGUGAUCCUCAUGUAGAUUCAAAAAGUAUAAUCAACAUUAAUAGUAAUAAUCUUGUUGAAACAUGAAAACCUCUUCUCCCUGGGAAAAAAUCACAGUAGUUGCAACAUUCAUCCUAAGUGAUAUUCAAUUCAUAACUGAUAAUAAGAUUCAUCUACAACACCAGUGACAUAUUAUCCAGACAUGCAAAGUCACCCAUAAAUAAGUUGAUGAUAAUAAGAUGAUAAAUCCUUUCUCUUUCAGAAGAAAUAAGCUGAUAUAACUUAAGAUGAUUAAAUAAGUACAUAUUUUUUCAUCAGAUAAAGUGAUCUUUCCAUUAGUCUCGUGUUCUCAAUAGAAGGCCAUCUUGAAAUAACAUCAGAUAUUGAUUGGUGGGGAAUUCAAGCCAAGUUAUUAAGUCACACUUCCAGCACUAACUUAAUCGUGCUAUGACUUCUACAAGCUUCCAAAAAUCAAUAAAAGAGAGGCUCAGUGAAUCAAUAUGGGUUUCGGAGAGUCCAUGUACACCCAUCCAAACAGAGUGAUUGCAUUGCAGCUACUCAGACUAUUUAUCAAUGACUAUUAAGAUUUCAGAAAACUGUACCUCAGUCAUCUGUUUGUGCCCACAAAGCACCGCACCAGUUGUUGAAGGAUUUAGAAUAUGUCUGGCUCUUAAAAAAGCUGUCUGCAAAAUGUCAGAGAAUAAAUUUGAUUAUUUACAGGAAGUUCAACAACAUAAAGUUGGUUGUUUAUAGAUUCAAUGAGCUACCUGUACAUAUCCUCUUUCGCCACUCCAUCUUUCAUCAGGUUGUGACAAGACAGGUAUGACAUUUACUCCAGCAUACUCCCAAUCCUUGAACCUUUCCUAUAAACAAGCAACAAAAGGUUUUGUAUUUGAUUUCUUGAUUCAGAUGAACACACAUCUUGCUUGUUAGAUGCUAGCUAUAUGUUUAAUAGUGUAUAUAAUCUUAGACCUGAUAUGCCAUUUUCUGAAGAUUUCUAGCUCCAUAAUAAAGUCUCACAUCUGAUCUUUCAUUUGCACGGACACCUAAUUCAAUAAGUGACCGAAUGGGACUGCCAGAAAGAGUUCAUAGAGCAAAGUAUUAACAAUGGAAAAAAGCUAGUUAACUAGUGACAAAAUUGUUGCAUACAAUUGUAAAAAUCUACAAAAAUAUUUACUACAAAUUGGAAGACAAAAGACACGUAUCAAUAAUUUUUUAAUGCAAUCAAAACAUUCUAUCACACUCAUCUGCAAGUUAAGCAAGUUAACACUAAAUUAGUAUUUGAAAACAUAACAUCAACUUAUUUAGAAGAACAAUGUAUCAGUACCGUUAAGAAAGUAUGAUAGGAAGAACUUGAAGAUGCAUUCCAAAGAUAGAAUUGUCAUUGGCAAACAAAUCUCAGUUUUGGGGGACCGAUAGAAUGAUGCGUACAAAAGAUAGGAUGGUCAGUAUCAAGCAAAGACCAGUUUUAGGAACUAUCUGAAUAUGCAGUAGUAGCCUAUUUUCCCAAUUAUUAUGCUACAACCAGUAACCUACCAUCCAGCUUUUCCUAAAAAGUUUGGUUCUAUUACAGGUUUCUACAUUAUCAGAAAAAUGUUAAACAAAUCCUCUCAAUUAAUAUACUAACUGAAAGAAGUAUGUUAUACUCUACUUCUCUGAAUUAUUCUUCCUAUAAUCUCAAAAGAAGUAUAUGUGCCUUUGCUCCAAAGGUGUACAGGCCUUAUGGAAGCUAAACAAUACUAUCAAAGGAACAAACAAAAACCAGAUUGAAAUAAGAGACUUCAUAUUGAUAUCAUCCAUCACACGUAGAAGUAAAUGAUCAACCACUCCAUUAUCAAGUCCAUGAACGGAUCUCGGAUGCCCAAAUUUCCAACCCAAUCGCAAAUAAAUAUGAAAUGAAGGAAACAAACAGAUAGGAAGUAAGAAGAUAAACGGAGAACAAUGUGAAGUUACAAGAAUCUUUUUCUCUCUGCAAAUAAUUCUGAAGAGAAAGAAUAAUAUCUUUAAAAAUCACAGUACAAAUAUGAGAGUAGUCACUCAUGCGACCCCUCCAACCUCUCUCCGCUUGCCAGUCUUUAAGGAAACAAGUCAAAUCAAUUUGGGCACAGAGGUGACUAACAAAGACCAAAUUAGAGCUGAAUUUAAUAUAUUCUUUUAAAUUAUCAAAUGACAAAAAUUAUAACAUUCCCCACUACUUUUCAAAUUUUCACAACAACUAAGGAAAUUUUGAUUUUGAUGGGUGCCUUUUGGGUUUGGUCCACACUCAGUAGUGAUUUUACUGGACUGAGGAUCCAUUAUGGAAUAGGUUCUGAACCACGUCCUUUACCAAUCAUCUAAAACCAUACAUAUACAGCGAGUAAAAUUGAUGGAGCAUAUUACCACCUCUUUGGAUUUCCACUUAGCUUGAUUCUUAUAGGAGCUUCAACCUCAUAAUCAUAAUCCCAUAACUAUCCUCAUUUAGGUGAAUCCUCAAGAAGUAUACUUGACCGAGAUACACUUCUUAGUCCACAUGUCCUCAAAUCUCUCACCACUUGCUAAUUUAUAGGAAACCAAUCGAAGAAACUUGGGUCCACACUUGACUAGAAAAUACCAAUACAAAGCUAAAUUAAAUAGUUUUCCAAGUUAAGUAAGAACUUCAAAGUAACAAAAAUAUUAACAAAAUCAACAUCAAUAAUGAUGUAAAAAUGCUUAAAAUAAUUGGUUAGUAGAAAAUCCCGGAAGCAUGACAUCUAAUAUAUAUAUCUUGAUUGGCGUAAGCCUUGUGCACUGGGCUGCCCCUUUUUAUACCAUCUAAGAUAUAAAGAGCAAAUUUUGGACCAUCAUAAGUCUUCUAUCCUACUUUGAUUGUCUCCGCUUAUAGUUGUAGGGGUAAGAACACCUUGCAUAGGAAGUGCCUCAUGCAUUAGGCUAUCUUCUUACUUGUUCCAUCUAAAAUAUAGUUAAGAGGGUAAAUUAUAUCCCAUCUAUAAAGUCUUUAAACUAGUCAUCCAUCACAACUCAGUUGGAACUAGUUCGAUCACCCAAAUUAACAUAAUGAUUUACAAUUAAUCUUUUCUUUGUUCUCAUGGAUAUUUAUGCUAUCAAUUUCGUGAUACAAUAACCUCCAACAGGUACUCAAGAAUCAUUGUCUACAAUAUAAAAAGAUAUUGUACCUUAUGCACGAGGCUCUCAUUAAUGUGGUAUCUAGGGAGGGUCAAUGUACAUUCAAAUAUUUAAAGAGAUUAUUUUCGUGACUCGAAUCUUGGUCUCCCAGAGAACCUUACCAUUGUACCGAGGCCCGCCCUCGACCUCAAUCGUUGUCUAUGAUCUCAAAUCACCAAAUCUAUUGACCAUCAUUGAUCUCAGAAUGAUGACCACUAACAUAAUAAUAGAGUUUCAAAUAUUUGAGGUUUCAUGGUUUUGAAGAUAUAUUAACAAUGAAGCUCUAGUGGGCAAGUGUUUUCCCCUUUUAAGAGAUGUCUCUAAAAGCAACUAAAGUUCACCACAAAAUAAAUAAGAAAAACAUACGGAACAAAAUAAUCUGCAAUAUAAUGGAUGGAACUAAACACGAUUAUUAAGCUCAGAUCAUGUUUGAUUGAGCACACAAUUGACAGUUUUCAUCCUAUUCAAUGAACAACGGUCAGUUUGAACGCCACAAAUUGAGACACGAAAACGUACAUAGGCUUCAGUAAGAAAGAUUAAUGAAUGUUCAUCCUCAACGAACUGGAAAAAAAAUUCACUGAGAAGCGUAUGCAAUGAAUUUUAAUCCACAAAAUUCAUAUUUUUUCGCUUAACAAGACUGCAAAAUUGCAUAAAACAAGAAGAAUUCAGAAAUAUUAGAAAUUGGAAUUACCAAAGGGAACAGAGUCCCACCUGAUACCAGAUCCCGUUGCAAAGAUAAAGACGGAGGGGAAGGCAUCGGGAGGAGAGAUCUCCUCCACCCGGAAUCCCCUCCCCAUAAUGCCACUCAGCUCGACGAUAUCCCCGCGUCUGAGCCCACAGAGAAGAUCGACAGUGGAGCCAGGGACCCUCUUGACGAGGAAUUGGAAUUCGCAACGGGAGGCGGCGAAGGAGGGGGGGGAGGCGAUGGCGAGGAAGGCGGGCUUGUCGGCACCCGGUACCCGGAGCUGGAGGUACUGACCCGGGGCGGUGUAGGAUACGGCGAGAUCGGGGGCGUAGGAGACGUCGACGGCGACGUGAAAGAGGGAGGCGUCGGCGGAUGCGGGGGCGACGAGGGAGAGGGGCGCCUGGGACCACGUGUCCGUGUCCUGCUGAACGGCGGCUGCGAGGGCGGUGAGAGCGCGGCGGCGGAGGGGGGCGGGGAGGCGGAGGCGAGAGAGGGGAGACAUGUAGCGGUGGCGAGGGACGAGAGGGUGAGCGUCGAAGCCUUUCGGGUCAGGUACAAAGAGAGACGGGAAGGAGUUGGUCGCCGCGGCCGCCUCCUAAUUUUAUUUUUAUUUUUUUUAAUAUCAUUUUCAAACCCAUCGAAUGUAAAGUCCAUUAGAUCGAAUCGAUCUAAAUUUAAACCCAUCAAAAUAAAUAAUAUUAAUAUAUUUUCUAUUUUUAUAUUUAAAUAUUUUUUAUUUUUAUUAUAAAAAUUAUUAUUAUUAUUUUCUGUAAUUUCAUAAAAUAAAUAUAUUUAUUUUCUUUUUGGUCCCCUCCACUGAGUGUUUCAGGCCCCGCCGGCGGAGCAUAACGUGUGUUCGUCCCCGACUCCGUUCGACUCUAAGCCGCCCCGUCGUGGGUUCACGGACGGCCGAGACGUGACCUUUUUAUCUCUCCUCCAAAAUCUUUAAAUAAAAUAAUCAUCAUUAUUUUAAAUAUAAAUUAUGUAAUUUAUUUUUGUAUAUCUUUAAAUCGAACCGCAUGAUUCUUCUUCCAUCAUGAGCGAGAAAGACAACCAAAAAAUCCUCCCAGCAACUAAUAAUAUGAAAUGAUGCUUCAAAAAUAAUAAUAAGUCCAUUAGUGGAAUCGGGCCGAACGAGGCCCAAAAACUAUAUUACUUGAACACUAUAUCCAUAGUUUCUCUUCUCCUACUACUACUCCAUAACGAUAUCCAUUUCCAUUCUCGACCACAUCACACACCUCUCUCUCUCUCUCUCUCUCUCUCUCUCUCCCUCCGCCGGUCUGCCUUCUUUCUUUUCCUCCGCUUUUGCUAAAGAAUGCAAACGCAAGCACGAACGCGAGCGGCUCUGAGAUUCCAAGCCUUCCCCUCCUUCGCUAACCGGGCUCCCCUUCCCUUCGUAAUCUCCUUUCCCCCUACCCGACGGCGCGUUCGAGUCCGAUGUAGUGCCGCCUCCGACGGUGGUUCCAUCGGCGGGAAUCCUCAGCAGCAGGUGCAGCAGAGGAAGGCGUACCCUUUCGAUGCGAUAGAGCCACGAUGGCAGCGCUACUGGGAGGAGAACCGAACGUUUCGGACGCCUGAUGAGGUUGACACUUCGAAGCCCAAAUGCUACAUCCUCGACAUGUUCCCUUACCCUAGGUAACAUCUCUUGUUCAGAUAACCCGUUAGUUUUCUUGGAUUAAAAUAUGAUUUGAAUGGGUUUCGUUAGCUCUUCAUACGAGAGAGAGAGAGAGAGAGAGAGAGAGAGAAUUAUGGUUCUCGAAGAAACAGCAAGGUUGUCUGCUCCAAUUUGCCUGCUUAUUCUUCUUCUAGGGACUUCGUUCGCUUCCUUUAUGCCCACACAACUAGGAUCUCCUUUCCAGACGUCCAAUCCAGAAAUUUUUCGUUAGCUCUUGAUAGGGAAGGUUACAGAUAUGGUUUCUUGAUAACCAUUCUAGUUACUAGAAUGAAAACUGAACCUGAGGUUUGAGCCUUGGUUGGUAGUGACACCAUCAGCUUUACUGGGUUUGUCAAUCUUUAGGCCAAACCACUCAAAAAUAUUAAGUAUCAACUCUAUUAGACAAGUUCAUUAUGGAUAUAUCGGUACCAACUCUAUUAGACAGGUGCAUUAUGGAUAUAUCCAUAAUGACAGGUUCAUUAUGAAUGUAUUGGUACCAACUCUAUUAGAAAUAUGUGGAAGCAAUGGACCAGAAACCCACCUAUAUAUAGUGAUUCUAGCCUUCUAGGUGUGAAUUAGUGAUGAUACAUCUGUGGGUAUUUGGAUGAAGUCAUACAAUUAGUUUAUAUAGACAUUAAAGUGUAAAUACUAUCCUAGCUUUUGACUCUUUAAUGGCUGCCUGCCUUAUGCAAAACUCCUGUCGUCUAAUCCUUUUGCCAUGUUUUCCUUAGAUUUUCCAUGUACAGUAGAAUUUUUUGUUUGUACUUGUGAAUUCAUCUUUUAUGAUCUUUAAGGUGUUAUCUGUGUAAUUAUCCAUAUAUUUUUGUAGUGGAGCUGGAUUACAUGUUGGUCAUCCCCUUGGAUAUACUGCCACCGACAUACUUUCAAGAUAUAAACGAAUGAAGGGCUUCAAUGUUUUGCAUCCAAUGGGCUGGGAUGCGUUCGGUCUUCCUGCUGAACAAUAUGCCAUUGAGGUUUGUUUUCGUGCCAUUAUUCCAUGAGAAAGUUUCUCUUGUAUCUUACUCUUAUUAGUCAAUACUUUUUUGCACAGACUGGGACACAUCCGAAGGUUACAACCAAACGAAAUAUUGAACGAUUUCGGUCUCAGGUACCGAUGCCACAUUCAUUUCUACUAGCAAUUGAGUUGAUUACAAAAAGUGUGAAUCUUCUUACAUAUGCACUUCUAGAGCAAACAAAUUGACUUCCUUUUCGUUGCAAAUACAAAGUCAAAGUAGGCAAGGUGGAUGUUGUUCAUCAUUUUAUCUUAGAAUUCUUAAUCGGCCAGCUCUAUGUCAUCUGCCAUAAGUCAAGAAACAUAAAUAGGCAACACAAAGUCUAAUUGAGUGUAACUAUCUUAUUUAAGUGAAUUUUGUAAAAUCAUGAAGUUUCUAAUCUGCUCAAUAAUGGUUUUACACAAUCUGUAAGAAUUUUGUGGAAGGAAGAAAUGCCAAAAUUGACCUUGGUAUGCAUAUGCAUUAUUGACACAAGUCACACAACUCAGCAGGCAUGUGCUAAUACUUUUUGGUCACAACAUUUGUCAACCCAUGCUGAUCAAAUGGAAAUUUUUGAUCUCUUGCCUAUGCUCUGCUCAUCUUUCAGGGACAUGCCUAUCGCCUACAAAAAGUCACUUCAUUGGUUCAAAUACUACAGUGUCAAAACAUACAUCUCGUGCAAAUUGUAGAUACUAGAAUUGCUAACUCUUUUAGUUAAUGAACUAAGAAUAAGUGAAGACAAAAACAGAGGUUGUCUAACAUGUCUAUUUUCUAACUUGAUUGACAUUCUUGUUUGUCUUCACUCAAAUGAAUUGAACUCAAAGCUUCAUUUUGUGACUCUUCAGUGGCCUUGUAGAUGUCUAGUUAUGAAUCUAGGUUUUCAAGUCUUAUACUUAUAUGGAAUGAUUUUUUUUUUGCAAUAUUAGAUUAAUUGGAAUAUUGGAUAUUGCUAGUCUUCAAACAGUUUUGAUUAAUGCUGCAGUCUAUAAGUUAAAGUAUGGUGUAAUUGCAGACAAGAGCACUAAUUCCCACUAAUAAAAGAAAAAUAGCAUCACUUAUGGUAUACUAUGCCACACAGCAGUUUAUUUCCAUGAUCUUUAUAAAACUGUCAAUCUAUCAUUUCCAUCUGAUGAUGACAUGUGGUUAUAUUUUGUAAGUUUCCAUUUGAGUAACUUACUGAGGAAAUUUUGGUUUUCUGAUCUUAUCCAAAGAAAAUUCCAUUUGAAAGUGGUAAAUACACUAACAUGAUAACUUUUGGUAAUUUUUUGAUGCACUAAUUAUAUAAUUAAUGAGUGCGAGAAAAAAAAACUAUGUAAUGUACAGAGAUAAAAAUAAUUUAAAAAAUCGUAACAUAAGUUUGACUACAAAGGAAAUAUUGAUUGUUCAUAAAAGAGUUAAUUGAUAAUUUAGUUUUUUUAGAAUCUAUUAAUAGUUUCUCAAAAUUCUUUACUAAUUUAUUUUUUAAAUCAAUUAGUAUGAGCUUAACCUUUAAUAAUUUAGCUAAUUAAUAACUUUGUCUUUGUAAAUAUAAUUUAUUUCUUAGUUUUCUCAAACCUUGUAAAUGAGAUUUAAAUGUAGCAAAAUACUAUUGUUUAAGUUAUAAGAAAACCACUAGUUAAUGCUUUAAAGUAAAUUCAUACAAGUAUGUAAUAGAUUAAGCCGAUAAAAAGUAGCUCUUGCUGAUGAAGCCUUCAACUUCUGAGCAACACUCUGAUGUGAAGAAAGUUGCAAAAUACUUUUAAUUGUAUUCUUAUCCACUUUUAUGUACCCAUUGGCACUUUCUUCAGCAGUUUUUGUAUUCUUGGUUGGCAGCUGAAGUCAAUAGGAUUUCAUAUGAUUGGGAUCGUGAAUUAUCCACCACUGAACCUGAGUACUAUAAUGCUUCAAAGUAAAUUCAUACAAGUAUAUAAUAGAUUAAGCCGAUAAAAAGUGGCUAUUGCUGAUGGAGCCGUAAACUUAUGAGCAACACUCUGAAAUGAAGAAAGUUGCCAAAUACUUUUAAUUGUAUUCUUAUCCACUUUUAUGUACCCAUUGGCACUUUCUUCAGCAGUUUUUGUAUUCUUGGUUGGCAGCUGAAGUCAUUAGGUUUUUCAUAUGAUUGGGAUCGUGAAUUCUCCACCACCGAACCUGAGUAUUAUAAAUGGACGCAAUGGAUUUUUCUUCAGCUGUUCAAGAAAGGACUCGCAUACCAGGUCUCGAACUUGUCUUAAUUUUUCUUAUAUAGGCUUUUGAUUCUUGACUCAUAGUUUGACCCUUAGGCAUUGCAACCUUUCUUUAUUGUCAUAUAUUUUCCUACUUGUGUUGAUUUUAUGUUUCAGUUUCCUGUUAAAUUGUAGAAAAAUUAAGAUAAGUUAUCUUUAAAUUCAGGCUGAAAUACCUGUUAAUUGGUGUCCUGCACUUGGCACUGUCUUGGCAAAUGAAGAAGUGGUCAAUGGUGUUAGUGAACGAGGGGGUCAUCCUGUUGUAAGAAAGGUAGUAGUGAACUUCAAAUUCUGUCCAAAGGAAGUUUUUGUCUGAUAUCUGUUCUUUUGAAUCUGAUCAGCCAAUGCGACAAUGGAUUCUCAAGAUAACUGCUUAUGCUGAUCGUCUUCUUGAAGAUUUGGAUGAUCUUGAUUGGCCUGAGAGCAUCAAAGAAAUGCAGAGAAAUUGGAUUGGCCGUUCAGAAGGUGCUGAACUAGAAUUUGGUGUAGUUGAUUCCCAGGGAUAUGAGCAAGGCCUAAAACUGUCUGUGUAUACAACUAGACCAGACACUAUAUUUGGCGCAACGUAUGAAAAGUUUUGAUUUUCUGUUGUUUAGCUUAAUGCCCAGUGACCCUUAAUUAUACCCCUGUCUUCUUUUUUUCUGUCUGCAGAUUUAUUGUUGUGGCACCUGAGCAUCCAUUGUUGUCAUCAUUAACAACUGAGGCCCAGCAUGAGAAAGUAAUUUUACUUGGUUAUUUAUUUUCUUUAUUUGUCGUGAGUUCUAGGAGUUAAACAAGAAAAACGUUACCAAUUACAAAUGCAGGUAGAGCACUACAGGGAGCUUGCUUCAAAAAAAAGUGAUCUUGAGAGAACUGAUCUUCAAAAGGCAAAGACAGGAGUUUUUAGUGGUUCAUAUGCUAUGAAUCCAGCUACUAGGGAAACCAUUCCAAUAUGGAUAGCAGACUAUGUCUUAGGAAGGUUUAUCUGGAUUUAAUUUUCGUAUAUUUCAUACAGUUUCUGGUUAAUCUUAAAAUUUUUUAUUUGACAGAAUCCUGUAUGUUCUUUCCAUGUUUGGACCAAAUAAUCAUGGUUCCAACUUCCAAGUAAUUCCUAUAUAAGAAAAUCUUUGUGCUAUGUAGGUGACAAAAAGUUACUAGUAGGUUUUUGAUCUGGUGGAAGAUGGCGAUGCUAAAAGUUGACUAGUGAAAUAUAAUAAAACAUCACCUAGACAUCAUAUGGUGCUGAAGCUUAUCUAAGUUGAAGAGGUGCUUUGGCCUAAUAUGGACUUUCAGAUUUGUGAGGAUUUUAUAAAUUAAAGCAUGUAAAAAAGAUGAGUUUGGUCAAUGAUUUUAGAAUCUGAGGUUGCCCUUUCGGGACUUGAAUUCCAUCAUAUUCAAGACAUGGAAAUAGUCUCUUUGCAUACGAAGGAGACCCUCCGCAAACCCAAAUGAGCAGUAGCUUCAUGCACUAGCUGACUGUCGUUUUCUUUUUGUGUCAUAAUAGCUUCAUUAAGCUUAAAAUUCAAUUGAUACUUGGUUCCAUUGACUCGUAAUGUUGUGCCAAUUUUUCACAUAUAUUAUUUUAGACAAAACUAAAAGUUCUUUUUCUGUUCAGCUUCUAACAUAGUAUCAAGAUUUAUUGUGUGUUCAUCAAUCUUUAUCUCUAAUAUCCCAUGUCUUGAAACUUCCAACAGCUCAUUUUAUCAACUCAAUCAAGACAAAUCACUAGAAACCAUAUAGUACACAGUGUUAAUCUUGUUAUUUGUUAGUCAGGAUUUUGUUGCUCUGUCAAUUAAAAGAUCCAUGAGAAUUAAAUCAAAACGACUAAUUAUCUGUUUUACUUCUCUGAAUGAGGAAAUAAGAAAAGGAUUUUUUGUUUUCUUACUUAUUUUUUGGAAGGAAGUUGAACUAUAUCCACCUAUCAUGUUCAUCAAGGAUUGUUGCGUCAUGGCACAAUUAUGUUUAACACCUUUUUGGUAUGUUGUGAUUUUAUGCCAUAUAGGUUAGUGUGCUUGUGCCAGUUGUCAAGGGACAAAUCUGGGAUAGAUGCUGUGACACAUGGCAUCGUCUCUUUAGCAUUACGUUUUAACCCAUUGCCACGUGUUCAUCAGUGCAACACUACUUGAUUCUCGUAUCUGUUUAAAUUCUUAUUUUUAAUUUUUUCUGUUUAAGCUUAAAUGCUCUAGCAAUCAAACACAGUUUUCUCUAGGCUUGUGAGAGUUCUACUGAUAUACGUUUGCAUUUUGAAGUCACAUUAUUUUUGUUAUUAAUGAGUUGUUAACAUCAUUGUUUGAUGGUCAUUGUGAUUAUCAGUAACAUUCCUUUUGUUGUUAAUUAGUUAUCAACAUCAUUUAUUAAUGGUCACUGUGAUUAUCGGUAACAUUCCUUUUCCAUACUUAAUAUGCAGCUAUGGUACUGGAGCAAUCAUGGCUGUGCCUGCACAUGAUUCUCGUGACUAUGAGUUUGCCUUAAAAUAUGAUAUUCCAAUAAUUAGGGUUGUAAGUCAUACUGAUAGAAGUGAUGAUGACAGUGAACCAUAUGUAGAUGAUGGUAUCAUGAUCAACUCAUCAAAUUCGUUAUCUGGUUUGAAUAUUAAUGGCUUGUCAUGCAAAGAUGCUGCUUCAAAAGUAAUAGCUUGGCUUGAGAGUACUGGUCAUGGAAUAAAAAAGGUCUCCCUUUGCUCUGUUGGUACUUUGUCUUCAGUUUGGCAAUGCCACUGUGUAUUAUUUUGCCCUAUCUUGGACUGAGCAUGUUGUUUCGUUAGGUCAACUACAAGCUGAGGGAUUGGCUUUUUGCUAGGCAACGCUAUUGGGGAGAACCUUUUCCUGUGGUUUAUCUGGAUGAUAGCGGUGAAGUAGUUCCUUUACAGGAAAAUGAGCUUCCGUUAGUACUUCCAGACUUGGAUGACUUUAACCCUACUGGAACAGGGGAGCCUCCAUUAGCAAAAGCAACAUCGUGGGUAUGUUACUUUAAACAAUAUAACAAACAUAAGUAUCCAUCUGGAUAAAAUAGCAACUUGUUUUCUUGGUUAAUUUUGCCUUGUCCUUGUAGAUAGAUGUUAGUGGCUCUGAUCUUUUGAUUAGUCUGCAAAGUCUCUUUUAAUCAUGGAUUGGUGUAUAGAUUUGUUGAUAUGAGCCUGUAUGUAUUGCUUCAGUGAAACAUCAAAAUGUAGACUGCUUUUCAUUUUGUUAUACUUAUUAGCUAUUGAUCUUUCAUGUUCUAUGGUUAGGCUAGAUAUGCCCUUUUCUCCAUCAUUUAGUCUCGACUAUAAAGAUCAUCAUAUGCCUAGUAUUGAGUUUCAAUGCUUUCUUUUUUUAUCAAGCCAACACAUAUCUUCAAAAAUUUCAGCUCCUGCUUUUCUAUCAUGCAGUGUAACAUUUCUUUUGCAAAUAUUGCUUCUCAACCAAAUGCUCAACUGUCCCUUGAUAUACUAGCAUUUAAUUGAAGAAAAUAUGGCACAAAUGGAACUUAGCUAAAAAUCAGAGUUAUUGUAUCAUAAUUCCCUAUAGUUUGGUUGUGUUAUUAUUUGGUUUUGUCUGGGAUGAGUUGGUCCAGUGAUAUUGUCCACUGCAAAUGACACUAUACUGACUGAAAAUCUCAGUUGGCUACCUCAUUGUGGUUGUUUGAUUAGAUAUUGCUUCUAGUCAUAUAACAAAUCUUGUUUGAAUAUAGGUUAAGACAGUGGAUCCUGUAUCUGGAAGACAUGCAAGACGAGAAACAAAUACAAUGCCGCAAUGGGCUGGUUCCUGCUGGUAAUAGACUCAUUGCAGCAUUUAUAAUAUGUUUUGUAUGUACUUUCUUUUUCUUUUUGGAGUACAUAAAUCUGGUGUAGCAUGUGCCAACCUGUGCUUCUUGUAGGUAUAUAAAUUAUUAAAUGCAUUGGCAUUGGGUCAUAUUAGGGUUAAUCCAUUUUUUAUGUGACCCCAAUCUGGUGUAAUUGGCCCUAUUGAAACUUGAAUUCAUAGGGGGAGAGAGAGAACUUGAAAGACAGGAUUGAUGCCGAGAAGAUGAAGUUGCCAUUGGUUUAGUCAGCUUUACAGGCGUAGCAGAUUAGAGACUGAAGCAAGCUGUGGAAUAGAGUGCAUGGAUUCAGAGGAUGCCUUAGAGUUGGAGAUGGAUCAGAAUAUGGAAAUUGGGAAUUCACUAGGGUUUUGUUUAUCCCUUCGACUAUUUAGUGUAAAUAUAUACAAUAUCAAUCUAUAACAUAAUAUGUUAUAUCUCAUGCAGGAACAAGCAGCAUGGUACAUGAGGCCCUGGCCUUAUAUUCAGUCUUACAAUUAGAGAUGAUGUUUCCAUUAUAUCCUUGUCGCUCAAGUCACAAAGAAGCAAUCUUAUUGUGAUGUGUGGUGCCAUAGAUCACUUUCUAUGUAAUAUAUCAUACAAUCUCUGUUGUAAAAUUUUAUAUCUGAUAUCAAAACAAUUUAUGUACAGUAUAUUAUGUAAUGCUACAUAUGUUAAAGAUCUGGAUUAGAUCAUAAAUUGAUCUGAGCAACACAGAUCCAUAUCUUAACCAAUUGUGAACUGGAUCAGAUUGCACCAUUAUUAUCUGUGUCAUUAGGUCAAUCCAUUAUUAAUUGAAUUAGGUAUCGAAUUGGAUUGUGUUGGAUAUGACUUCAACCUUAGUUGGUCAUGCCAACACAUAGCAAAGCUAAUUUUGGCAUAUGUUGGGUAGCACAAUGGGCAAAGUAAACUAUGCCACACAGGUUGGUCUUAAGAGUUUAAAUUACAGAAAAAUAUUGCUUUUCCUAUCAAGAGCAUUGCAAUACAGAAAAGUUCCGGUGUAACAUCGCUCAAUUUUUAGUAGUGUCCUUCGGUUUGUCCACACACGUAAAUUGGGUUGGUAUUUGAUUUCAACUAAAUUAGCCUACUUUUUUCUUUUCGAGAUAUCAUUCUUUAGAAUUGAGUGUGCAAUGACAAUCUAGGUUUAGUACCAGAUGCUAGCUCAGUGGUAAUUUGAGCAACUCAAGGAUCACAUAGCUUUUUUGAUCUAUGUAUUGUUUGAGCCAGUGCUAUGGAGCAAUAGCACUGGCUCCUUAUCCUCUCUAAUCGAGUACAAGUUCUUUCUAUUCUUCUACUUCCAAAAUAUCUUGGUUAGGUUUUGGUCUUUGCUUUAGUUUUGCAUUAUUUAGCAUCCUCACAUCUCUUCCAAAAGUCAUUCUUUUGAUAACAGGGAAAACUUUUGAUAAUGAAGUUUAAAGCCUUCAAGAAGGGGAAAUCUUUUGGUACAUGUUAUCUAUAAGGAUGGCUUUCUUCUUGUGACAUCAAUUUGAAAUAAAUUUAAAAUCAAGAUCAUCUUUUUUCUACACUAUUUUGUAACUAUUACCCUAUGUUAUGUCAUUGCAGCAUUAGUGUUUCUGAAACCCUGAGAAUUGUCCAAUAUAGUGUCAUAUGGAAUAUUAUUUGAACACUUUGCAGGUAUUAUUUGAGAUUUAUGGACCCAAAAAAUCCAACUGCAUUGGUUGGCAAAGACAAAGAAAGGUUCACAUGCUGUUCCUUCUGCCACACUUCAUGAACUCAGUUUUAAGCUUGACAUGGCUAACAAAAUCUUGUAUGGCUUUCAUCCUAGGUACUGGAGCCCUGUUGACAUAUAUGUUGGUGGUGCUGAGCAUUCUGUCCUACACUUGCUUUAUGCUAGGUUUUGGCACAAGGUUUGUUUCAUAAUAUAUUUGAUUAAAAUCCCAUUUUGUGGUGGUUUAGGAAGUGACUUGAGACAUUUGUGUCGGUCCCAUGAAAGGAUGUUGAACUUUUAAACAUGGUAAAAAUGGUAUAUAUUAUGCUAGUAAAGUACAGCUAUAAUAGAAGUGUGUCUGUCAUGCCAAUUGUAUGAUCUAGUUCACUUUCUGCACCAACAAGCAAUCUUAGACUGUAAAUUAUGGCUUGCACUAGCAUGACAACAGCACAAGCACAGGCAUAUGCACAAUAUGCAGUACUAAAAUCUUUGGUUUCCUUAAACUAUUUUGAAACUUUUAAUUCUUUUCAUUUGAGUUUUUUUGAAAUUCUUGGUUUACCAAAAUCCUUGGUCUUAUUUCCUUGGAGGUAUUUAAUACUUUUAAGUUUUAACAUUGUUUUAAACUAAGAAACUAUGUUCUGCCUUACAGGGCAAAAAUGAAGCUUUCCCACCGGAAUUCUAGCAGUGAUUUGAUCAUGUCCAAUCCUGAUUGAGAAAGAUAUAGUAAUUAGACAUGGACACAGAAAUACUUAAACCUUAACCUCUUACUGACUCAAUCUAUUUCCAACUUGACAUUUGCUUCAUUGUCGUGCCUAAAAUUGAUGCUACCUAGUUGUUGAAACCUGUUCUUUUGUUGUACUUUCCAUUCUUCUCUUUCCUUUGCACAUUGUAGGUCUGUUUAUGACUAUGUUUGCAUUUAUGUCCAAGUGUGUUCUGUAUUGUGUAGCUUGCUAUUUCUUAAUUUUUCAAUCUUGCUAAACGCUAUUUGCUAACAGUCUUAAGAGUUCCUCAUAUGUAGGUCCUGUAUGAUAUAGGUGUGGUUUCAACCAAGGAACCUUUUCAGUGCCUUAUAAAUCAAGGGCUAAUACUUGGUGAAGUAAGUAAACUGAUUCAUGGACGUAAACAAACUAAAGUAGCGAUUAAUAAUAUCUAACGGUCUUGUUACAGAUAGAGUAUACAGCAUUCAGAGACCAAGAGGGGAGAUUAGUUUCUGCUGAUUCUGUUGGCAUCACCGAUAACCAUUUUCAAGAGAGAAUACCUGCAGAGAAGGUAUCUUGCAAAACUGCCCAAUUUAAAUCCAAAUAUUGGAGCCUUAAUUGACAAUUUUUCUUCUAUGUUCUUACAAGUCUGACAAAUAUUUCUAUCUUGCAGGUGAUGAAAGUUGGUGACUUUUAUGUUAUAAAAGAUAAUCCCAGUAUUAGAUUAGUUGCUCGAGCCUACAAAAUGAGUAAAAGUAGAGGAAAUGUUAUCAAUCCAGAUGAUGUUGUUUCUGAGUAUGGUGCAGAUUCUCUCAGGUUGUAUGAAAUGUUCAUGGGACCAUUAAGGUAACUUUUUCUUUUACAUUAAGUGAAAUAAGCUAUUGAUAUUCAUGCUGACAUUUGACUUUUAUAGGGAUUCAAAGACAUGGAGUACUGGUGGAAUUGAAGGAGUACAUAGGUUUCUAGCUAGGACUUGGAGAUUGAUUGUAGGACCCCCUUUACCUGAUGGAUCAUACAACUGUGGAACAAUUGCCACUGAUGAUGAACCUACCUUGGAUCAGUUGCGGAGUCUUCACAGAUGUAUUGCAAAAGUCAGGUUCUUUCUGCAGCUUCAGGGUCACACAAUUAAGCAACAAUUUAUUCUGAUAAAAUUUUCCCUUUUGAUGGGUCAAACUUGGUUUCAUAUUUACAUUUUGCAAAUAGCAUGGUUAGAAUUAUUAUCUUUUGCUUAUCCAAGGGUUUUGUUUUCUGUUGUCCACACAAAAAAAGAAAGAAAAAACAUAUUUUUCUUAAUUGUGUAUCAUCUUAUUCUCCUUUUUGCAGGUAUCAGAAGAAAUUCAAGAAACAAGAUUCAACACAGGAAUUUCUGCAAUGAUGGAGUUCGUAAAUGCUGCUUAUAAGGUUUCUGAAAGCAUUUGAUUCUUUAGCUGUAGUAUCAUAACUGCUUUUGCAAGUUCAUUAAUUCAUAGUUUUGUCAGCUUAGUGAAAACUUACAAGUGGGAUACAACUCAGAAUUAUUACUACUAGACAUUAUAACUUGAACAGAUUUUUCUUUCCUGUUUACUUCUGUCCAAGGAAUGCAAUUUUCACCAGUUUAGUAUGGUAUGGCCAGUAUUUGCAGGUCCGACUGUCACGGACUUAGCUGGAAUUGCCUAAGUCGUAAGGCACCCUUGCGGUUAAGAUGCGAACUUAGCUUGAGUUGCCUAAGUCGCGACGCACCCUUGCGUCGACUUCUCGGACUUAGUUGGGAUUGCCUAAGUCUUGAGGCGUCCUUGUGACAUAUGCGUCCGCAAAGGUUCAACCUAGUUGCAACCUUGUACAAAUCCCGAAGGACCUGUAAAACAGAAAGUUGAUUAGAUUGAAAACGAGCGACAGAUAAGUCCCGACGUCUUGCAAAACGGAAAGCUUUACAAGCAAUUCAGCGAGCACCUUGUGUGCACAAGAGAAAAUAGAAAGAGGAGAAAAACAAGGACGUUAGAAGAUAGAACGAACAGUUGCAAGUCCACAAAUAACUGCUCACCGGGUGCCGGACGCGAAGACAAGUUCCGAAACAUAAACAAAACUUCUAAAAAUCUUAGAUUAGCGUAAUCAAGGCAUACAUCAAAAUAUUAUUCAUUCCAGUGCAAUAAUACAUACACGAGAACAAGAUUUUUAACAUUGAUGAUCACAAGUUACUGACAUACAUGCACGACAUAUGGCUUAUUUCCUGCUAAUACAAAAUGGAUAUCGUGCUAUUUCAGGAACUGUUAUUGGCUGAAGGUCAAUAUUAUGUGUUCAAAACCUACAGAUAAUAUUGCUUCUACAUCAUGUGAUGUUUGUAGACACUAGGCUACUUGUUGAUUAGAUGAGUAAAUAUCCACACAGUUGGAUCACUGAUUGAGAGACUUGAUAUGGUACAUUGGUGGUGGUAUAUAUAAAAAUACAUAUUUGUUGUUGAGUGCUUGCACUGUUAUACUUUGCUGCUCUUAUGAGUAAUAGCAAGGCUCAUCAUUGCCAUGGCAUAGCGUUCAGUAUGGACAGUAUGCACCGGUUUAAGAUGGGAUCGGUAUGGGCAAUAUAUAUCAGUCUGUCGGUGCACCCCCACCGUACCAUAUGUCGGUAUGUCGGUACAUACCAUAUUGAUGAUCAGUCGUUACACCGGUACGGACCAGUAAGACGAAUCAUAAGUAAUAGGAUCCACUAAUUUAGCAAAUUGAGACUGGCUAUUAUUGUUAUUCCAAGACCCAUGGGUAUUAUAUUGAUUGGAAGGUAAUUGCAUGGAUCUAACGUAGGUCCACAUAGUUUUUGACUAGUUCUGGGUGGAUUUGACUCAUAUUGGUUGGAAGGCAGUUGCAUGGAUCCUAGCUAGAUCUACAUAGUUUGUGACUAGAUCUCGGUGGAUCUGACUUGAAUCUGUGUAGAUUUAGGUUUAGGUAUGGAUUGGUACUACCUUAAUUAACUCCAAUACUGAGUUGCUGAUCAGUAAAUUGAUGCAUAAACAACAAAAGUAGCAUGAAGCAAGAGAGAUACUGCAUGCAAAUGAAGAUUAACAAUGAAAUUCAGAAACUAACUUCAGACUUACAGUAAUUUGGAAAGGAAUUCUUCCUUGCUUGAAAUUUGAUGCUUGAUCUAAGAGGAGUGGAGAGGGGGGUGAUAAAAGGCAAGCAAUAGUUUGAAAUGGAUCUUUGGAUAAAUUUCAGCCGUAGACCCUCUGAGCGCGUGAGACGUUAAAUGAACUGGGUUAGCUGGUCCACAUACCAGUAACUGUCAGACCGAUAGUAUCUAGCCAUACAUACUAGUUGGACUGGUUUUAAAUCAUUGGUUCCUUCUGAUUAAAAUUUUAGGUUUUGGUGCAGUUAAAAUGCUCUUGCACUUCUUGGCUGUUUAGUUGCUUUAUAGUGCUUCUCAACCAUUCUUGUAGUGCAACCCAAGUAUUGCCUGGUUUAGUGGCUAGCCAGUGUUUGCUAUUGAGUUUAAUAACCUUGAUGUUUUAACAUUGUGCAGUACACAAACAUCUCAGAGAAAUCUUAAAUUAAGGUUUACUGAGGUAUUUCUUUUUUUGAUAGAUGACAUUGAGCUAUUAGGAAGUUAUUCUCUUUUUGGUUGAAAGGUAGAUAUAACCAGAUGGACUUGACUAGGAUGUGUUAAUUUACCUACCAAGAUACUGCUGCAUAUGGAUGCAAGUAUAUGCAAAUCAUGUAUGUGAAGGUCCCCACUGGAAAUGUAUGUCAUCUUGGAUCAUGCUAUUCUACUUUGUAAAAGCAAGAUCUACUGUUUCCUAAAUACUUGAUUACUUUGAAUAUUUCUAGGAUAUCUUUGUUUGACACUUUCAAUAUAUGCAUGUGCUACUUGUUUGAAUGAAUCGCUUUAAUCUACAUAUUCUUAACUAUGGUCGGGGGAUGACUGAAGCAUACUUGUUAUUUAUUACUAUUUCUUCAGUUCUUCAAUCUAUAUAUAGUCAGAUUGUGAUUUCAUUCAAUAGAAUGUGUCUAAUUUGGCUACUUUUCUGUAUGUUUUUUUAGUGGGAUAAACACCCAAAAUCAAUUUUGGAGCCGUUUGUUCUCUUGCUUUCACCUUUUGCACCUCACAUGGCAGAGGAACUCUGGUCUCGAAUGGGACACCAAGAAUCACUUGCAUAUGAACAAUUUCCAGAGGUACCAAUUAGCUUUCUUUGAUGCUAUGUACUCACUAAUUAAGCACAUUUGUGGUCAACUGGAUGCUAUGUGUAAAAGUUCAUGAAUAAUGCAAACCAACUUUUAUAUUUGUUUUAAUGAUGAACUUGGCAUUUGUCAUUGGCAUUUUGUAUGGAGACCCCUCUACAAAAGAAUGAACUUAGGAAGUGAAAUGAACGAAAGUAAUGUAUCUUUGAAAUGCAACACUGAGACUCUAUGCAACAUCAUAAAUCUUUUUAUAAAGUCACUACUUUUUGUGGAGAUUAAUGGUUAAAUUGUAUACUGGAAACUAAAACAUAUUUGAUUCCUAGAGAAUUGACAUUAAACUAUAUUCUAAUUGACUGUUUAAGAAGUCAUGUGCCACGUAUGUUGCAUAUAUAUUUGACAAGCAAAAAAUUGAUGCUUCAUGUGCUUGCAAAUUUCUGCUCACUUUCCAAAGUAUAAAAGGAAAUAUAUCAUUUGUAAAAGCUGUCUGGUUUCUUCCUAGCUUGGCUCAACUACUGUCACCAAUGUCUAUACCUUAGAAUUGAUAAUUCCUGUACAUAACUAUUGCCAAGUGCUUUUGCGUGAAAUACAGUUAAAAUUUAUCUGGUUUGCUCUUAGCUUGUCUCAACUAUUAUUACCAAAAUCUAUACCUUAUAUUUGAUAAUUCUGCACAUAACUAUUGCUUGGUGCUAAAUGAAGCCCCAGUUAAAAUUAGCAUCUUGAUUGGAGAAAAAUUAUGACAACCAAAUUACUAUAAUACGCCUGAAAAUAAUUUAUAUUUAAGUUUAUCUUUCACAGAAAUACCUUUCUUAUUUGCUAACAUUACAUUAAAUUCAAAGAUGUGUAUUUAAUUUGUAUUAUGUUCUUGUUCAUCCUCUUUGUAUCUCAUGUUUUCCACAAUUUGGUCCAGGCUGAAAGUGAGUUUUUGAAAGAUUCAAGCAUUGUGCUGCCAGUUCAAAUCAAUGGGAAGACCAGGGGCACCAUCCUGGUCGAUGAAGCAUGCUCUGAGGAUGAUGCAUUUAGAUUAGCAUCAGAAGAUGAAAAACUUUCCAAGUAUAUUUCGGAAAGGAUGAUAAAAAAGAGAAUCUAUGUUCCUGGAAGAAUCUUAAAUGUGAUACUAGAUCAUCAUAAGGUCAGUUCAUGAUCAUUUCCACAGAUACAUAUAUUGGGCUAUGUAAUACUCCUUGUCAUGGUUUUCAGCACAAUGAUUAUUCUUUAGAUAGGUUUGUCAGAUGUUGUAUGUGGUAUUCAUUGUGCUGCAUAGCAUGUACAAUAAAUUUAUUCUUCCAACUAAUUUGGUAAAACAUAUUUCAUUAUAUGCUUCAUGAUGAUUCUGUACAUCGCAUUUUUCUAAUGGAAUUAGUAAAAGAUUGUUAGGAAGAGAUAACCUCAAAUGAAAUAUUAAGUACAGAAAAUGAUUAAACAAUAUCCUUAUUUCUAUUGUUUUGUACAUUUAAGUCUUGUAACAGGACAUGACUAAAUCCUGAAUAUCAUCCUUGGUUUUUGUUUGUUCAAAAUAUAGACCAGCCUCCAAAGAGCAUUUGGUUUUUGUUUAAUGGUUAAGAAUUCUUCCAUGAGAGAGCUCUGUAAUUUUCAUACCUUAUGUUCCUGGCACCUAAUUUCUAUUUCUGUGGAAGGCCUGCAUAGUCAUAACUGCAUGCAAAAGGAAUUAAAACCCCCCUACUCUGACAUCAUAGGAAUUUACAAUUCAUGCAAAGAAAGAAAAGUUAUUUGUUUCCUCUGAUCAGCAAUCAUGUUGCAUUGUCCUCUUUGAGCUAUUCUGAUUAGGUAGAAUUUUACUAAUUGGUUGAGGUUCAAUGCUUCAAUUUGUAUGAAGUUUUUGUCUGUAAUUUCAGUAUUUUCCCUAAUUUUACAUUCGCCAAGGCCCAAACCUAUACUGGCAGGAGUUUUGUGCAUUGGUCAUUCUUGCAAAAUCUGUUACGUAGAGUACCCAUCCUUAAGUUCAUGAAACAAAUUCAUUUGUGUGGUUGCCAUUAUUUAAAUGCUAAUUACAUCUUUAGCAAAUUAUAUGGCCUUAAAAAGCUGCAAGAAUCGUCUGUGUUGUGAGGGUUGUCAUACGAACCUCUCCUUUUUUGCAACAACCCAAAACAAAUCCAGAUAUUGGUGCUCAGGAGUUCCUUCUCUAGAAAUAUAUUUGCAGUAACUAUUCAUGCUACUCUAUAGCAUAUAAGAUUGUUCUGUUGCUGACCUCUCUGCAAGCACAUUGUGUUAAAAUCUACGGAAGUCUUUCGUGGAAUGAGCCUCUGGAAUUCAAUGGGUGCUUAGACCUUAUAAAUGUUGCAUGAACGUGGGGAAGUCAUUUCCCUGUUCCUCAUCUUUUAUGUUGAAGACUUGGUACCUCCCAACUGAUGCUCUAUACUGGUUGGCACUUCAAUAUUGUAUAAGCCGUGAGGACCUGAAGCUCUCUGUUAAAUAUACAAGAUGUAACAAAGUGAUGGGCAAGCGCAUCAGUGGCAUGUCAGGACGAAGGAUAUUUUUGAGAAAUUCUCGUGUUGAGAAAAUGUAGCAUGGGCAUUGUGGUUUCGUGGUGCAAUGAUGUCGGGAUCCGGUGAUGAUGUCAGGUUCAGUCCCCUGAUAAAUAUUUUACAAUCCAGUGAGCAUAUGUUCCAUUUUGCAUGUUAUGUUUUAUGAUAGAUUGAGGUUCGAAUGGGGAAGCUAACGCGAGGAGUGAUGAAAUGACACGACGGCCCAGCUAUCUGGAUUCUCUCCUGUGAGACAAGUAAAUUACUUUCAUUCCCUGAUUUUAUUAGUGAAUGACAUAAAUGUUUUAUUUUCUGGCCUGUUUUAUUAGAUCAUCAACUUUCUGUUGUUGGCAAGGUUCAUGUUUGGUCUUACAAUUGUCUGUUGACAGAAUAUUUGUAUGUGAUAAAUUUAUGUCUAUAUUUUAUAGUUGGUGUCAUUACAAUAAAUCUUAAUAGUCCCUCUGUAUGCAGGGAUAAGACUGCUCCUGCAAGAGCCUUGUGCUUGUUGUGUUUGAUCAGUAUAGUUCUGUUAUUUAUGUCUCUGAGGAAUCUUUGAGAAGACAUAGUUGGAGGACAUUAUUUAGAUAAAUUAGACCAAGCACCAAGGUAAUUUUGAGAAUAAUACAGAAAUCACCAGCAACAGAGGGAAAUGCUCCUACUAGAGGACAAGUUUAAGAUAGAAGUAUUCAACAGUUAGGCCAGUCUUCAAUUAAACUAGUCUUGAAAAAGCACAAAGAAACAUGGUCCGGGUUUCAGUCAGCCCUCGGCUCGGAACUGUACCUACUGCCUGUUUCAUACGGUUUUAGGUGGUACACCAGUCUUUGAAAGGAAUGCUUAGUUGAGACAUCUCUUUUUCCAGGAAAUGCCAUGUUCAACCUUUUGAUGUGAUAGGAAAAUAACUGUUUUGAGUGUAACAUAGUUCGUGAUGAGGUAUAUCCAUGAUGAUGUUUUGGAUUAUGUGAGUUCUCUUCAUUUGUGUACAUGGUUCGAGCAGAGAUUAUUUUCUACUCUGCAGCAAGCGAAAAGAGAGCGAGUGAAUAUGGGAACGAUCAGAUGAGAGAGGUUAGAACUUAGAAGGAAGAAGUAAUCGAAUCUAGGCGACCAGCUAUACAAUGAUUGUUUAUAUGAAUUUGAUUUGAAACUCGUCUAUUUCAUCAGUAAAAUAAUUCUGCAAUUAAAGCUGUUCUAACUCUGCUAGCUUCUUGUAGAUCCACAGAGUUAACCAUCUAAUUUUUUUUUGGAUAAAGUAUGAGUUUAGUCCUGUAUGUUUUUAUUUGAAGCAUCUUCAUCUUAUUAGGCCUUAAAUGUUGUGCUCAAGUUGGAACAAUGGAAGCUAUGGAAAGCCCAAGGGAAACCAGUCUCAUAUAGUCUUCCUCUGUAGUCGUCACCGAGCACCAAUCUCACAAUUCAGCAAUAAGAGAAUGAUGGUCGAUCAAGCCUUUUGCUUGCGAGUUUGACAAGGCAGCAAUGGCGCACAUCAAGAAAGUUCCAGUAAGAUUGUCAAAUGGCUUCCAUCACCACGAGGCCAUUGAUGGGUUUCAACAAGAGGAGUUUGUGCAGAUGGUUGAGAAGCUCAACCGAGAGAAGGUGGUUGCAGAAGCAGGAACAAGGACUAAUUACGCCAUCUGAUGAAGGGGGGUGUACGUAGCUUCAGCCUCAUCAGCUUUCUAUUCCUGCAGAUCAUUGCUGCUAUACUUCAGAUGUUCUCCCAUACAGCUAUCUGGAGGACAUCUUCACAUCUUGCUGCAAGUAUGGCUCAUAGGAUACAAAGUUGCAGUAAGUGGGAAAUAUAAUGGAAAGCAGUCUGAUAGAUCUCUAUCCGAGAGACUGCCCUGCGUUCGAGGAUGUGAAACUCCAUUUACAGGCGCAGGUGAAACGAAAAAAAUGGAGGCCUCCUUGGAUAAAACACCUUUCUUGCUGAAAGCCUGGGGUCUUCUCCAUCAAUAUCACGGCAUACAUUGACUCAUGUAAAGCUUAGAAUUUGUACCGAGUAGAGUUGAUUGAAAGUUGCCACGCAUCAAAUCAUUAGAUGCGAUGGCAUGACAUACAUGACUUGUGUAAAGCUUAGAUUUUGGACUACGUAGAGUAGAUUGAAAGUUACUUCAUAUUACAUCGUCACACAGGAAAUAAGCUAUCGAAGUGCAUUCAAGUGUAAACCUCCAAUGGUCCGAAAAUAACUCAGUUGUGUUGGAUGUGAAGAUUGUAAUUUUUGUUUUUCAGCUCUGUUGACAAGUGAGCCCAUUUCGAUUUAGCACUCGGAUGUUAUUGAUUGCACUGUUUCUUCCUGGCAGUAGUAGUAGUAAUAAUAGUUUCGCCUGGUUUAAGAACAGACAACGAUGAGCCCAUGAUUGUUAAAUGUGAAAUAAUACAAUAAAUUGUGGUAAUUACUUGGUCAUUAGCUAACUUUUUGGUGCUCCAGUUAGUUGCACAAAAAAAAAAAAUGAAUUGCCUAAACAAAAGGAAAAUUGAUGAAAGGGUUUGACCUUGUAGGUUGAUUAAGGACUCGGAAAUAUAUAUAUAUAUAUAUAUAUAUAUAUAUAUAUAUAUAUAUAUAUUUCACUAUCUUAAAUUAUUCCAAGAGGCACUCUACACUUGAAAGGCUUGCGGUAUGCUCACCCUAAAUUGGGUAACCUCCGUGGCGGAUUCUAAGGUACAGCCCGUGAAGGAGUGGGUUGUCGUCACCAUCGGUGAGAAUAAAAUUUGCGAAUUCGAAGCAUUUGAGCCCAAAAAAAAAAAUUUCGGGUCUCUUUGCCAUCCAAGUGGGAUACGGUGAUCUCACCUGCCGGUCAUUGGACUUUCAUUUCCCCAAGUGCAGCUUCUUUACGGCGGCCCCCACUUUCUUCGCCGCCUAUCAGAUGGCAGGAAGCAUAGCUUCUCCAAUAGCGCGUAAAAAGAUGGGCUGUGGUCACCUCCCGUGAGGAUAAUACGGCGGAACUGGAAGAAACCGAGGCCCAAAAAAAUCUUUUGGGGGGAUUUUUUUGCAUCUAAUCGGCGUUGGGUAAACGCACCUGCGAGUCACUGGACUUGCCCUUUUUCCCAUUACCUGGAUUCAUUCAUGUAUGGGCGAAAUAAACUCUAUAAAAUUGUAAUUACAAUUACUCGAUGGAAACAUACUUUUCUAAGGGUACAGCUGUGUGAAUCAAUCAUCCUAAACACACUAUUUUUGGUGUAACAAAUAUUUAUUUACGAAACACAUAAUUAUACUUGCUAUGUCAUCAUUUAUAAACGCGAAAAUCAUAAUUUUAUUCGAUGAAAAAUUACGAUAAAUAUGUUAUACAUUAUAUUGAAGACACGUCACGUAUACCACGUGAUACCUAAUGAAUAUUACAAAUAUUAUUCCCAUGUUACUUCACAUUUCCAGCUUCGAUGGACUACUUGGGCCGAGCCCUCUCGAAGCCCAGCCCAUUCCUACCAUGGUUAUGCUCACCGCAGUAAGAAUAAGAACACAGAACGACAGCGGCUUUUACACGAAUUUAGUUUUCUCCCAAGGAACUCUACGCUCGAAAGGCUGGUGGUAAGCUCACCGAGAACGAAACAACAAGACACUUAAUAAGGCGGCUCAUCUGGAAACUCCCAGAGAAAUCGUUUGGGAGAAAAAAAAAUGGUAAAUAGAUUAGUUGAUACAAAAAUAAUAAUAAUUGUACGUGUAAUAAUGGCGUUAGAUUAGUUAAAUUUUUCACACAGAUUUAUUUAUUAUUAUUUCGAAGGCACUUAAAUCUCUUUAUAGAUUGAUGGAUGGAUGGAUGGAUGAUAGAUAGAUACUCGGCAGGCUCACCCAAACUUGUUGGCCACGUAGCGGAUUCGGUCCACGGACUAGGAUCCAGUCACCGCAGUGAGGCUAAGAAAUCUGACAUCGAGGGGUUUGAGGCCCAAAAGAAUUUUUUUUAGGCCUCUUUGACAUCGCACUGACGUGCGGUAAGUUCACCUAAACUUAUCGAUGACAUGGCGGGGUCAGCCCGCAGCCGAUUGAUCCGGUCACCGCCAUCAGACUUGGAAAUCUGACCUCCCUCCAGGGAUUGGACGCCACAGACGUGCGGUAAGUUAACUCGGUAUCGUCACUGAAGCUGGUUGCGGAUUCAGCCUAUGGACGAUGAUCCGGUCACCGCAGUAAGAUUACGAAAUCUGACCUCCAGGGAUUUGACGCCAAAAAAAUUUUUUUGGGGCCUCAUUGUCCUCGCACUGACAUGCGGUAAGUCCACCGUCGAGUCCUCACACUCUUUAUUGUUUUUUUGCCCUUUUUCUUCUUCCCCGAGUCGAGUCCGUCGCUGCUGAUUCAACCGGCGAGAGGCCAAGCUUCUGUGUUCUUCGAUUCCCCAGGAGGGACACACCCUCUUGGUGAUAGGGUGUGUUUGUUCCCCUGCAAUUUCUGCUUUUCUCCACCUUAUUAUCAUACGUUUUUCAUUGCGAUUAAUCCACGAGUCGUCACCUUCUGUUGUUGUAUUGAGAUUCUACGUGAGACGUUGCCUGUGCUUGCGGAAUGAACCUCUGGUUUGGACAGAAAUGAUCCGUAAAGAACCGAAAGAAACUUGAUCUACUGCUUUCCUCUCGUCGACUUGGUCUACAGAGAGAGAAUUACUAUGGUAGACGGAGUCUUUACUGCAUGACCAAUGAAUGGUAGAGAGAGGGUGAGAGAGUGGUCCACCGUCUUGGUUGUCACUGCGACAUUUAAUGGUGAUGUAAACAUUUCAGCUGCUUUGUCGAUAAAGAUCACCAUCUGUAUGAUGAAGAGAUUUCAACGGUUGCUUCUCCAUUGCCGAGUGUCCCGUCCCGUUCACUACAUUCUUUUUGUUUAUAGCACGAUGUUGGAAUAGAAUAACUGGUUCUUCAUGUGUGGGUGCUCCGCCAUUAUCGAGUCGCAGGAACUGCGCUUCCACCAGGAAGAAGAAAGAUGCAGGAAACAACUCCCCCCAUGCGCGAUCGCCUUGUAAGGAGGAAAAAAGAAAUGAGGCAAGAUCAUCAUUUCGUAUGCAAUUCACACAUAAACUAAGAUUGCCCACCUCAUGAUCCACAUAUUCGUGUCGCUUGCAUAGAGACCAAACACUAUCUCAUUCAUUAUGAAUGUACAUCACAUUCGCUACCUUCCAACCCUUGGCAUCGACGACGACGACUGUUGAACGAUUAGGCCACAUCCACAAAAAAAAAACACACACACUCGAGGAUACCUUCCCGAUGACAGGAAGAAGAAGAAGAAGAAGAAAAUGAACAUUCAUGGAAACACUUGUAGAGAAAUCCUAUAACAUUCUAUAAAUCUUCGUUGUCAUUCUUCCACCAUACAUUUUUCUCCAAGUUUUCCUUGUCUUCAUCCUUAAUUUUGUGCGGAAUCAUCUUCAGAAUAUGACCAACUUCUUGUUUGGUCGUAUUCCAUAUCCCCACAAACGUGUGGCUGAUCAAUCAUGAAUUCUUUUAAUGAGUUUGCUUUGUAAUUUUCAGAUUUUGAACCUAUAAAGAAAGAUUAUAAACAUAUGAGAUACAAUACAACGAUAAUAAUUAAGAAAAAAAAGGAGUUCCAUGACAUGACCUCAAAUUCUGAUGACUAGAGAACAGUUAUCGAUGCGCUGAUCGGCAUCUGCUGAGUGUGGAAACGACUAAGAACUUGUCAUCUUAGUCAUUGACCUACAACCCAUGCCAGAUAUUUAGGAAAUGCUUGUUCAUAUUCAAGCACUAUCUCUCUUCUAUGACAAAGUGGGGCUCCAACCACUAGCAACAUCACGGCCACAUCUUGAUCCUGAGUGCAAGAAGAGCAUCACUACUGAUAUGGCUGGCGAAUACAGUUUGAUGGGGAUCACUACUUAUCUGCCUAAACCUGCGUUCUGUUCAAAUAAUGGCCUUAGAAUGCUUUCGAAUAACAAGGAGUAGUGACUUAUAGCAUCUGCUCCGAGCUCAUAGGCUUGGAUUACUCGAUGACCGUAACCUUUUUUCCUUGGGAUAGCACCUCUGUUGUAUUCAACAGCCAAGGAGCAGUAGAAGAAGAAAGGUGCCGUGCCCAAUUACCUGCAAGACAAGGCACAUCCUGUUGAUGAAACCUCUCGAGCCAGUGAUGGCUAGUAUCUUCCACAUGUUUCUAGUGGAAGACAAUGGAUUUAUAUGCUGCCAAAAAGUCUACUUCCAUUUAGUGCCGCAGCAGCAUCUUCGUAGUGCACGGCCAUUGGGCGGACCACAUGUAAUUUACGACACAGAUUGAAGAUGUUGAAGGGGAAAUGGAAAAGGAUCGGUCGUGGGCGAGGAGGAAACAGGGAUGAGGUUGGCGGGGCAUCAAAAGUAUUAUUGUUCCACAACCUUCCACGGUAGAAAGAUAAUUUGAAGAAGAAAUAAACAUUCAACUUUCUUCUUUACCUAAUCUUUUGUUGCUUUCUAAAAGAAUAAUAAAUCUAGACCAUCCAAUAAAUUUCCUAUGAUGAUAAAUCAACAAAAAUAUAUAAUUAUCCUUUUUUUCUCAUAAUAAUCUGGCUUAUCUAAUGAGCUAAACAAGGUUGAUAAAUAGCAUUUGACUUUCUUUCUCGGAAACUGUUCCUUGGGUGAUGAUAUCUCGACCGAGUUUUGGCCUAGAAUAAAUAUAUAUAUAUUAAGCAGGAUGCAUUUCAUGGGUCGAGAGACCAAGUCGAAGUAAACGGUGGGUUUCCUUCUUCCCACUAGCAUGUCCCCAUUUUUAUGGAUUCCUCUGCCAAAUUGAAUUGGCUGCUGCAGUAGGGGAGCUCCGAACCAACUCCGUGCCUUGGACAAAUCAAGAGGUGGAAGGAACAAGGCAAGCAGGUGAAGACGUUCGCUUGGUCAACCGUGUGCUUCUUCUUGUGUUGCUCGGAGAAAAAACCUGCUCUCCUCGCCUCCCUGACCAAGUCUCACGUAUACCUACCCACCUACAAACAACUCCUGUAAAAUAUAUUCCGAUGGUCCAUAGUUUAGUGACGCCAUGAGGCUGUCAAGGAGCAGCUUUGGAGCUCCAUGUAAGUCGACGGGUAUUCGCUGGUGUGCAUAAGAAAUCUCUGCUUUCUUUCUUUCUUUCUUUCUUGUGAAAGAGGAGAAGACCGAGGGCUGCACCGGCUGCGGAGAUGGUGAACCAGAUGAAGCUGUUCCGGAACGCCGGCCAGUCGCAAAGAUUCAGAUUCGUGGUGCUCGUCAUAGGAUGCUUUCUGGUCUCCAUGACCUUCAUAGUGGUGUCUAGACCACUCACUUUCCCCAGUCGUAAGUUGUUUGCGUUCUUGGUUGGGCUUUCGGCAUCUGCCGAUUUCAAUAGACCGCCAUCCGUCUUACUUUCUUUCGUUACAACCUCUGAUGUUGAAAGCCUUGUGCUCGAGAUUCUAACUCGCGUUCACAUGUUUUGCAGUCAGCUCAAGGCUGCGUCCUCAAAAAUCAGGUAAGCUUCCUGGCUGGAUUCUCUGAUUCGUGGAUGUUUUGGCGUUUGAUGUGAAUUAUUAGGAUGCAUAAUCUUUUGCUUGAUAUAUUUUCGGUGCAGAUGCGGAGCGAGAGAAAGCAGCAGACACUUCAUCUUAUUCGGCUCCCUCUACAGGUGAGCACCUGCAUGCUGUUUCAGUUUGGUCAACGUCAAGCUUGCAUAGAUUCGCUGAUCUAACGCCGCAAGUGAGAAAGAACCAAUGGAAGAAAAAGGAAGCAUACAAUUGAUAAACAUGCUUCUUUAAUUAAUGCCUAGCAAAGAAGGAUUUCUCUAUUUGCUAGGAUAACAUGUAGUGUUGAUUUGAAUCUGCUUUGUGUUGCAGAAAAGAAGAAAGAGGAGAAUUUCCAGGGGAAAAAGAAUCACACCAUCGAUGAUCCGAUCGAGGACGACAAGACGGGCAUUGAUGAAGUAAUGGGUAUGUCCACCGCCACAGAUAGCGGCGAGAGGGGUCGAUGGAAUUAUGAGCUAAUUAAGCCCUUACUUUUGCCUCGUUCAUUUACAGAAACCACAGUCGAGGCAGAGGAGGAACGCACCGAUCGAGAUGAAGACCACAAUCGAAUGACGCUGCCGACGGUUUCCAAUUACACCAUCGAUGAUACCCUUCAGGUGGAUAAAAAGACCACUCCCGAGCAACCUGGUAUGUCAUGGACAUCAGAUUUAAGUACAACAUAGAGAAGCUUCGUUGGGCAUUGGAAUACUAUGUUUGAUGCACACGCCGUGUUCUCCCCAAUAUGUCUGCAGCUCGGGAAGUUAAGGCCGUGGAGAAGAUGCUGUCAUGCGAUUUUUCAGACCCUCGAGUAGAUAUCUGCGAGAUGUCCGGCGACAUCAGAAUUCCUGGGAAUUCAUCGGACGUCAUCUUUGUGGAAUCUCCGCAGAGGGACCAGGCGUUCCGAUUCCGCCCCUACGCCCGCAAGGGAGACCAAACUGCGUUCGGCCGAGUCAGAGAGUUGACGGUGAAGUCCAGCACCGCCGCACCUCAAUGCACCGUCAGCCACAACGUCCCCGCCGUCGUCUUCUCCACCGGCGGAUACACCGGCAACCUCUUCCAUGACUUCACCGACGUCCUCAUCCCGCUCUUCCUGACCGCCCGCCAGUACGACGGCGAGGUCCAGUUCGUGGUGAGCGACAUGAAUCCGUGGUGGGUCUACAAGUACCGCCUCCUGUUCCAGAAGCUCUCCAAGUACCCACCGAUCGACUUCGACAAGGACAAGGGCGUGCACUGCUUCACCAAGGUCGUCGUGGGUCUUCGAGCUAACAAGGAGCUCAGCAUCGAUCCCGCCAGGGCUCCCAAUGGCUACUCCAUGGUCGACUUCGGUAAAUUUAUGAGAAGCGCAUUGUCGCUGGAGAGAGAGUCGAUGUCCAACAUCGAGGAUCUCGCGGGUAGGAGGCCGAGAAUACUGAUCGUAGCAAGGAAGCGAUCGCGGAAGUUCGUGAAUCUGUUCGAGAUCGCUCAGUUGGCGGAGCAGCUGGGCUUCGAAGUGGAGGUGAACGAGGCAGAAGUGGGAUCCGACGUGGCGCAAUUCGCGAAGCUGGUGAACUCGGUGGACGUGAUGGUGGGGGUGCACGGCGCCGGGCUCACCAAUCUGGUGUUCCUGCCGCCCAACGCCACCGUGAUACAGGUGGUGCCAUGGGGAGGGCUGGAGUGGCUAUCCAUGCUGGAUUUUGGAGAUCCGGCCAAGGACAUGAAGCUGAACUACGUGCAGUACAGCAUCGACAUAGAGGAGAGCAGUCUGACAGAGCAGUACCCGAGGGAUCACCCUGUGUUCAAGGAUCCUUUCUCCUUCCACAAGCAAGGAUUCCAUGUUCUCAGGUCAACCUUCAUGGCUAACCAGAAUGUGAAGCUCGACAUUAACAAGUUCAAGAGCGUGCUGUGGAAAGCACUGGAGCACAUCAUACAGUAGCAGAAAAUAAAACCGAUUCUUUGUGUCACCAAUUAUUUCCCUCGUCAUGAUUAAGAAGGGGCAACAAAGCAAGAUGGGAGGUGUAUGAGUACGAUGUACCAGAAGGUAUGGUGAUUGAUGUCUAUGGUUCAGACUGCUCCUCCGUUGAAGUUUGAGUUACUCUGCUGUAAGAAUGGCAUGUAGAUAGAAGGUUGGUUUCAUUUGUGUCACCGAGGACUAUCAUCCGCCUCUUGUACCAUAAAUGAAGAAUGAUUGACGGGGUUGGUGGACUUCAACUCGCCCUCCAUUAUGACCCAAAAAAGCAUAAGGCUUCAACUCGUAGUACUCCAUGGCACAUGACCACGGGGCCACAGAAGUGACACACCACAAAGACGGCUCUCAAAGCCAGCCACCCAUUGUUGGCUUACGAAAGCUAAUUUCUACAGAAAACCAAGCGUAACACAGUCGUCGGUUUAGGAACCGUUCUUUAUGAAAGAUGAGGUGGAAUAUGUCCAAUCUGUCUGCCUCUCUUUACCAGAUGCCAAAGGUAAACCAGGGUAAAGAAACAAGAAAAGAAGGAGAAGGAGAAGGAGAAGGGAAGGUAACAGGAAAGUCCCGAGGAGCAAAAGACAACACACUGUCCUUCCCAAAAGAAAAAGCCAGCUGCUGCAGCAUAGUGCUUCUUCAUUAAUGUGGAUGAUGGUUGGGAAGAGAAGAUUUAACUAACCUCUUGUCAGAUACUAUCGUGUUAGCUUCUGGAUUUGUGAUUUUUCUUGGAGCUCUUGGUCUGUCAACCUAAUCGCAGGGCACACAUGCACAGCUUAUAUUAACAUGCUCGCAUGUUCACUUCAAUUCCUCGAGUACAUGUUCGUAUUCAACUAUACCAUUCGUACCGCAAUCAAACAGAGACGAGGACAAGGGGAUGAUGGCAUCGAACGAGGAAGAACAGCUGUCGAUGUACCAUCAGCAUUAUUUUAUAUGCUCCGUGCUAUACUGAUAUGCGACGAGGACUAGCUGCUCUCAAAGUUAGGGAAAUAAUUAUUGCACAAGGUGGUGGUUUAACAUGAUAGAGCAAUUUACAUAUUCUGCAGCAUGUGAUAUCUGCUCUGACCAAACAUAGAAUAGCUGGCUGUAUCAUGUGGGCAAGUAACCUGUAGUUCCAAGAACCACGACAUGGUAACAUCGGUAUGUACUUUGCUUUGCUCUCCCUGGUCUCGAUUGAAACAACAUAACAUUAAAAUACUACUUCUUUGCACGAUGCAUGUGUCCAUGCGAUGAUGGUUGGCACUGCCAUUUCUUCUACUACGAGUAUAAAUGUAGGAUGUAAUGAGGUUGGACUUUCUUAAUUAGGUGGGGCUGUAGGCGUUUAGUCUUCCUGGAUAGCUCCCCGGCACCAAAUCAAUAAGACUUGGCAUAGUUCACGCAUGACUUACGAGUUCGGUCCCUUCAUCACUCGAUACCGGAUUGAGAAAGCAGCAACUUGCGUUUGUCUCGGACGAAAGCGAGAACCUUCCGUGUCAGAGAGCAAAUUCUAUGAAUGGCCUUUGACAGCAACCCGUAUCUGCUGCAACCUCUACCGAGAGACUUAAACCCUUUGAUCCGGUCAGGAAGUUUUACAUUGAAACAGUCAAAUGUGAUGUUAUGUACUCUUUCCUCCAAAACAUUUCAGGAAGCCUUCAUUCCCCCCCCAUGUUAUCUCCCUUGCACUCUUCUUAGAAGGUUCUUUGAAAUGAAUGCGUUGCGUUGCGUUGCACAAGGAAGGAACCAAGUUGUUUAGAUCGAUUACAGUUUUGGAAUGCGGAUGGAGAAGCUCUAGCCUUGGUUUCUCCAGGAAAGAUUGAAAGCCGCAGUUUGUAAUCUGAGGGGAACGGAAAUGAUGAACGUCGAGAGUUACAGUGAACACCAUUUACGAAUCAACUCUGCUCUCCAACAGGAAAACGCACGUACGAUUCUCCUACAUUUCCAAGGGAAGGUUCCUAUUAUGAAAACUUUCGGCUGAGUAACUCUAGUAUUAAUCUCAGAAUAAAACUAGGAUGAGAGGCAAAGUCAUGUUGCAAACUGCAAAUUCUUAUUCUCCGAGAUUGUUUGAUCCUAUAUUUCCCAAUAUGAGUAAUUACAUUGUGUGGAUUUCAUAUACCACCGUCCCAACCCAGAGACACACUUAUGUGAACUUUUCAUACAACAAAAGCAAAAGAAGAAAAAAAAUGAAUGUAACAAAAAUGAAAGAAGAUGAAGAAGAAGAAAGAAGGAAAAGCUCCUGCAACUACAAACCACUGCUCAAGCCUCUUUGCGGCCGUGAGGCAGGUGUUUGAGGGCGUCCAUCAGAGUGUUCCUCAGUCUACCCAGGUGAGGCCUCACAUUCUGGUUGUCCAAGUACGUCUUGCUGAGUGCAUUCCAUCCUUGCUUGUGGAUGGAAUAGGGAUCCUUCAGCACAGGGUGAUCCGCUGGGUACUGAUCACUCAGUGUGCUCUCAUCUGCCUGGAUGCGGUAAUCCAUGUACUUAAUCUGCAUGUCCGGCGACGGCUGCCCGAAGGUGUCCCUUGCAAGCCAAUCCAGGCCGCCCAUGGGCACCACCUGGAUGAGCACCGCCCCCUCCGGGAGGAACACCAUGUUGGUCAGCCCUGCGCCGUGCACCCCGAUCAUCACGUCGGCGGAAUUCACCAAUCUAGCAAACUUGGCGAGGUCCGUGGUUAUGUCGGGUUCAGCCACCCGCACGUCGAACCCCAAGCUCAUGGCCAUGUCCGUCAUCCCCCUCUCGUUCAGGAACGCCCUGGUCUUCUUGCGUGAUAUGAUCAGCAUCCUGGGCUUCCUCCUUAUGUCCCACGGGUCCCCCGACGGCGCUGCUGUCGGCCUCUCCAACCCGUACGCCUUCCUCAGCAUCGCCUUGAAGUCCACGAUGGAGUAACCAGUCGGAGUCUUUGACGGGUCGACGCCGAGCUCUUUGUGGAAGCUCAGCCCCACGAUCACGCGAGGGAAGCAGCGCACCGCCUCCUGGUCGUCGUUGUUCGCGUCGAUGAUGUCGUAGUUGGAGAGCUGUUUGAGAAUUAAGAUGAAUUUGCUCACCCACCAUGGCUUUAUGUCGGCUACCACAAACUGGACUUCGCCACGGAAUUGGUAGGAGGAUAUGAAGAGAGGGACGAUGACGUCGGUGAAGUCAUGGAAGAGGUUGCCGGUGAAUCCUCCGAUGGAGAAGACCAGCGCUGGGACCGUGUAGUUCACGGUGCACUGAGGGGGUGGCUCACUGAUGGGGAAAGGCUUUAUUGUCCAUUCCUUAAUAUUCUUCAUGGCUGGGGGGUCAUGCUUUCUGCAAUAAGGUUUGGUCUUCCAUUCUCGAUCUGUCGAAGAAGGGUGUAGGAGUAUGGUGUGGGAGCUUCCUUGCAAUCUUAUGUCACCGUCCGCUUCACAUACGUUUGAUCUCUUGCUUGUUUCGGAGCAAAUGGGCUUGCUCAAGUCGAUUGCAGCCUUUUCUGCAACAAUCUUUUGGGAAGUUAUUGUAUUCCCUUCAUCUUCUUCGUCCUCUGCAAAAAAAAAAAACAGAGCAUUUGAUCAAUAAUCAUCUGGAUUAGCAAAAGCUGUCAAAAUUGACAAAUUUCCUCAUUGUCAAUAUCUUCUUUUGAGAAGAAAAAGUAAACAUUAAGGAUGAACAAGUAUGGACCAUAUAAAUGGACAGAUGUUCUGCAAAAUAUGCGCAUAAUUCAUUCGACUGCUUAAGAGUUUAUUCUUGCAAAUUUUACAUGAAGAUUUUGUAGACCAGACGCCUAUUUGCCUCUGGUGUACUUCUCCAAAGGUCCAAAGGGGGGGUGGGGAAGAAGAAGACGACUAGAUUCAGCUUACUGGUUUUUUGUUUUUGUUUUCACUCGAUGAAGAUUGAGUUUUCUUUUCUGUCAUCCACUUCUUCUACAAUUUUCUAUUUUUCAAUGAACUUUCUCAACCUUAGUCAAGAAUCUAGCCAAAAUUAUGAAUUUUCUGCUAAAAUGUGCUAUCGAAAGUACCUGGUAGAGCAGCUUCGCCUCCCUUCAGUGUUACCAUGCCUGAAACCUCCGUGGGUUCUAAUUCUGCUAAUGCCUGUGACUUUGCUGCAAGAACAACAGUAGUAUUUUCUUGAGAAUACACGAUUCAUAAUCAAUAAACAAAAUAUAAGAUCAGACAAGAACAAGAGAGAGAGAGAGAGAGAGAGAGAAACACACACACACACACACCAUUGGGAACAGAGCAAUAGCGAGCCUUGAUGAGAGAGAGGAUGCAGAGGGAAAGAAGCAUGGUAGCGACGAUGAAAGCGUUGCCUGUCCUCCUCGGCUCAAACCUGGGAGGAGUCCUGUGGGACUUCAUCCUUCUUCCGCCCUCUCUUCCUUCUCCUUCCGCCCUCCCUGUUCUUUGCAGAACUCCUCUUUUGAAUUAUAAUACUAUCAAAGCUCCGAUUCUCUUAGGGACUAAUUUGUUUCCCUGGAUGGUUUGACUAAAUGCAAGCCACCACCAACCACUUAUUUAAUCCAUAUUCUCUCUUAACAACCCUUGUGUUAAAAAAACAACAACAGACCCAACAGAGAUGUGUGCAGUUGUCUCACAUUUAUUUAUUUAUCACCCUAGUAGACUUGGACAUAUUUAUAUCUAAUUUACAUCCUGUAAUUUACCAAGAUGGAUGGUGAUUUGUGUCCUCCCAUUUCUCAAGUGAUGUUGACUUUGAAAAUAUUUCUCACAAUGACACACUAUAAAGAUCCAUGAACCAUCACACAAAAUUUAAGAUUAACAACAAACAGUAAGAACAAUAAUUGAAAUUUAUGUUUUCCCUUAACCUCCAAAGAAAACAUCAUUAGAAAAAGCUUGUGACAUUCUGAUAAAUUUUUAGGAUAACAAGAGAAAGGUCAACAGGGAAACUAAUGUUAAUCACGCACCCUAUCAAAAUCAUAUCGAGGCAAUGAUUUAGUGGACUUAUUCUAAUGGUUAAAAGUUAAAGAGUAAAAGUUUGGCAUCUUCUAAGCAGGGCAUGUCUAGCACGGGGACUGCAUGAUGCAAGGUUGAGCCACAUGAGAGUAUGAAUCUUUUGUACUUGAUUAUAGCUCGUAUCACCAAGCAUUUUGAUGAACACCUGUUUCUUUGCUGUCUCCAGCCUAUACGAGUCCUUUUUUAUAUUAUUAUUAUUCUUUUGUGUAUAUAAGAACCCCAUCAUUUUUUUUCAUGCAUGCACUUUUCUCUCUCUACAGGAAUACUUUCAUCAUUUUUUUUCAUGCAUGCAUGCAUGCACUUUUCUCUCCCUACAGGAAUACUUUUAUUCUUUUACGAUGUCGGUAGGAAACAUCGAGUCAUCGAUUCCUCUUCUUGACCAUGUGGCCACCCACGGCUUGGAACGAAUGACCUCGAUGUGAGCCUGCCUAAAUGAUUUCAUUUGCACAUGCUCACAUCAAGGCCAUGAUGCAUUUUGUGCUUACCUAGUUAUCUUACUCCGGAGUUAACCAUGCUAAUAGGGACAACCAGAGAGGUCAUCUCGGCGCUACUGGUUCAUUGUCCAAGUUGUAUGAUGAGAUGGGAACCUGUGGUCCUCCGAGAAUUUGCCACAAGCUCUCAUGGCUAUCAACUUCUUCUGCUGCUGGCCCACGAGACCUAUGACAUACAGCUGCCACUAGCUAUUAAUUGGCAUCAAGUGGGGGGUGAGGUAUUUGUCCUGGUAGGCCGUCCACCUCCAAGGUUUCGAAGAACAUGUUCCAAUAAUGUUAGCCAUGAUUUUGCCUCGAAAGUAGGAAAUUUUUUUCCAAGUACUGACCUUUUUCCUCACUCUUCAUCGCAAUUGUUGGCCUCCAUCUUAGAUUCUGGCUGCUGGAGAAGAUGGCCAAGUACUGACCAUGCCACUAUUUAGGAGCAGCGAGUGACGUGAUUCAUGGAGAUGUCACUCCGAUUCUUGCUCUCUUGUUAGCUGCUGUUUCAAGGAAACAAUUAGGAGACCCACCAUCAACAUUUAGUGGAAAGCUAAUGCGAAGGAGAGAGAUGGGAACGCUCGAGCAAACAAAGAAUCCUUCCAACAAAGCAUGAACAAACUGGAACAACUACGGUCGGCAAAGACAUAAAAUUAAAGGUUGCAGACCCAACACGAAAAGGAGACGUGCUGGCUUGAACAUCCUCGGAGGCAUAAAAUCGAAAUGCACACACACUGCGAACCAUGACAAAAAAGAUGCUCCGAUUCUGAGACGGCUAUCACUUGAUAUUCGAUCAAUUUAUUCCAGAUCAAAACAUGAGAAAAAUUUUAAAAAAUAAAUAAAUAAAUAAAUUGAAACUUGAAUGUUAAGAAUAUAAAUAAUUAAAACGUCCAUCUCUUAUUGAUAGGCGUAAGUUUUUCAGGAACUGGCAAUUGUCAAGUAUUUAAAAUAAUAUCAGAGCAGAUUGUGUCUGUGUGUUAGAAUCAUUUAUAGUGAACACUAAAUCUGUGAAAAAUUCAUAAGCUGGUUUAUCAUUAACUGCUCUCCCUAACCUCUUUGGCGCUAAAUGCGACCAUUAAGGCUAGUGAUUUCUGGGUACCGUUCUCAAGUAUGAGAAGAGCUAGACGGAAGUUUCCAUUUCUAUCAAGUGCAGUGCAGUGCCAUGCUUUUUCUUGAUAUAUCGGAGGUUUUGGGAUUUUUCUAGGUUCAUGAGAUGUUUGUGCUGAAGACGAUCAGGAUCAAGUCCCUUUCACAUAAACGUCCCAACAAAAGAACACAAACAGCAAAGUUCAGUUUAUCAACAAAAAGCCACAGUUCUAUCAACGUCAUAAACAAUGAUGAGAUAACUACCGAUAGUAAUAGUGAGGUAGCACUAAGCACUAACUCAUACUAAAUUUCAUAGCAGCAAAAGUCUGAAGGGCAUCAGUAGGUUUGUUGAACGAUCUAAUAAAAUACUUCCAAAGAUUGGGAACAACUGAGAAAGAUGAUGAAAGUGUAACCAUGAGGGGAAAAAAGCAGUAUAGUAUGCUUCAUGGCAGAACCUGAAGCCACUUUCCUAGGUGCAACAGUCAAGCAUCUAGUGGAGCUACUUGUUAAUUAUUUUUGCUUCCAAGAAGCUCUAUAAUGAAACUUGAAGAUAUUAUAAUCAACAACUUGAUCCAUUCAAAUAAUGUUUACUUAAGAGGUAAUUCUUGAUUUGAUUUUAGAGGAGGAUAAUGGCCAGCCAAGCAAACUUGCGUCAGUCUUUAAGUUAUAGAAGAUACCCUAAUUUUCAAUGACAUUAAGAGAUGCUGAAUGUAUUAUAGAUUUGCAAAGCAGAGAGAAUCAUCACAGCAAGAAAUGUAAAAUCUAGUUUUUGCCCAGCCGGGGCAAUAAAACUUAUUAAAUGGUUAAGACAAACUUUAAUAUCAAGAAAAACAAAUACAUGGAUUCUGACCUCCGCUUUAGGUGGUGCAGCAAACAUUAGAGACAAAUCCCUUGUGGUACAAACUGAUGCAUAAAAAUUAUUGAUCCUGAUAUCGGUAAGUACAAGUUGAAUUGACUAUGGAUUAUAUGGUGGAGCACAUACCACGGCAAUAGGGAUAAUCAGUAAUUCCACAAAAAGUAACACAACUUGAAUCCACAAGUUGACAAAUCUAACCAUUGGUGUUGUUUUCGUAGUUGGUCAUGAAACCUAAUGCUGCUCAUGAUCUCAGCAAUAUAGAUAUCAAUUAAAGGUCAUAAACAAAAUGAUCAAAAAUUAAGAUGUCACAAGGACUCCAUAUUAUUUAAAGUGGAAUGCUAGGGAAUGAUUGGAGCCUUCACACCCUAUACCAGGACGAGUUAAAAAGCUGACUAAUUAGCCUAUUUCACUAAGUCCUAAUUCUAUUGUUCUUUGUUUUUAGUUUAUAUUUCAAGAGCCUCUAGUGGCCAGGUUUGAUCAAUUUUAUGUAUAGUCGUCCUAAUAUAGUUCUAGGACAAGCUAAGCAAUUAUCUAACUAAUAGGACUCACAUUUGGAAAAAUUCUAUAGGUUUGUUUUGAUAAUUUUAGGAUGAUAAUUACAAAAGAAAAAGAAAAAAAUCUCCCACAAGGCCUCUUAAUAGGAAGAUAAGCCCUUAAAUCAUGUUUUUUGACUUACCAUACCUUUUAUACAAUUGAUUUAGUGGAAUUAGUAGUUACACCCUCUCAUUCACUCUUAUUCUUUGGAUACUUUGUCCUCCUAAUUGCAAAUUAAAUGGAACGAUCAUAUUCUUUUUUUUUUAACUAGGAAGAAAUUUUCAUUACAUUAAACAACGUACAAGAUGCUUGUACCUGAGGUCCAUCAACUAUGCAAAAGUGUUUUGUGAUCUAUAUUGCUAUCAAAUGGGGCCUAUUUGAUAAAAAUAGAUGGUCAAUCCCAGUCCAACAAGGAAAGAAUUAAAAAACUUUACCAUCCUUCUAUGUGGGAGUCGGAGAAAACUCGAAGCCUUAUCCCUUUUUGCAGACAUCUCUUUAUUUAGCCAACUUAAAUCUCAUACAGAGUCUUAUGCUAUGUUCUUUAUAUAUUGGAUGUUCGAAAUCAAACCGUAAGGCAUAUUGACUCCUUCAGGUACUUUGAUAUUACACCAGCUCUACUCUGCUAUAUUUUUCUUCUAAAUUAGAUGAAGAGGAAACAUCUAUAUAUGUACUAACCAUUAGGAUAUCUCACCAGCCAAGAGAGAGGGAUCACAUUCUUUCAAUGGGAAUCAGAGUUGCAAUCUUUUGUUACAACUUUUAUGCCAACCAUGUAUUACUAAUAGGACAAUUCUUACUUCCUCCUUGUAGCCUUGACCCCAAUAGGUUCAAAUCAGAAUUGAACCAAAAUCAAACUGGGUCAAUGGUUUGGCAGUUCUGAAUCAAACCGAAAAUAGGGCCAUAUGGUUCGGUUUUGAUUCUUGGAAUUUGGGAUUGUAACCGAUAGUUUCGGUUCGGUUCCAAACCAGCUAAAAAGAAAAAAAAAAUAGAACACAAACAGGUUUCAUGGUGCAGUGAUUAGCACUUUAAAUUAAAAGUCUAAACACUUGGUAGAGUAAUUUAAUUUUUUUUCCUUUUUUGUUGAUCAGAAUGGAUGGUUUGAACCCGAACUGAAAUUAGAACAGACAGUUCCAAAUUUGAAACCGGUCCAAUUUUGUUUCUAAAUUUAAUGGAAUCGGAACUACAACCGACAAUUCCGGAGCCGUGGUCAGGACUAUCUCCUUGGUGCCACUGAUAGUUGGGGUAACCCUAUUAUAAAAUUCCAUACAAUCGGCAUGGCUUUAGCUGUCUUUUUGCAGCCACAAGUGCUCUGCGAGCAGUGUGUGGAGCGAGUCUUUUAGCUACCACCAACUACAACGUCUUUCCAUAAAACUUGUCACGGUGCUUGCUGUCAACUGAGUCAUCGUAAGCGUACCAAUAGUUUAAUAAUCACAUUACUGUAUUCAUAAAUGAAAGUAAUUAUAUCCUAUCAAUGUAACAAGAGGCGCCCCACUAUUCCUCUGAGAUCCCAUCGACGGAUCAAAAGUAGUAGCCAAGAUCGCAAGUACAUCACGUAAAUCCAAAUGUAAAUCAACACGUACGUAGAACAGAAUCUUCGAUCUUGAAACCAAGUAGCUUGAUUUCUCCAAUUUUCUUCACACAAAUCGAAUAGGAUUCACCCAAAUAAGACCACAAGUUACAGCGAUGUAGAAACGAAUCAAAGGGUUUCACCCUCAGAGAAAACGAUCGUUUUCAAGAUUACGAACCAGAUCAUACAAGAAGAACAUAUUUCACUCUCACAUGCCAAUACAACCACGAAAAGAAGACGAGGAGAGACGCUCCCAGUAAUGAAAACCAAAUCAAACGACGGAUGAGAGUACGAAAAGGAAGAUUGAGAGUUAAAAUCGAAGAGGAACGAUACUCACCAAAACUCGCUUCUCUCUGCGUUCUCCGAUCUUGGAAGAGAAGCUUCGCCUUGCCGGCUCUCCAAUUUUCGCCGUAGACGAGGAGGUUUCAUACCAUUCGUCGUCGCCGUUCUGGUAAAAGAAAACAAAAAGGUACGGUUUGUACAUACACGGAUCGGUGCGUUUACCGCGUGCCAUCAGGACGACAAAGCGUUUUAUUCUCCGGAGCGAAAUCCUACUCGUCUCAGGAGCUUAUUCUCACCCGACAUCAGCUGAACAUACGCAUAUGGUGAUUGCCGUUUCGUGUCCCGAUUCAAACACCUCUGACGUCGUCGCGGGCAACGUGAUGCGAUCAUGGAUCGGUGUCAAAUAUUGAAUGUAGUGAAUGAUAUCGCGUAACAUUUUUUACACUUAGUUAACGUUAUUAUGUUUUAUCACGAAUGUAAUCACUACACUCAAACAAUGGUAUUAUUAUGAUAGUUAUUAUAAGUAUAUCUAACAAAUAUUUAAUAUAAUAGAACUCAUUAAGUGAAGUAAAUUUUAUGAUUUCUUUUCAGGAAACAUUUUUGAUUUUUGAUUUUUGAUUUAAAAUUCGAACCAAACGCCAUGUAGUUUCUUUUGUGAUUGCAAAUAUGAACUUUGGAUCCUUGUGCCUAAAUCAUUUUAACUUGUAUUCUUCCUUUUCAUCCAACACAUUACUCUUUGAAAGACUAUAAAUAAAAUAAUUUAUUUUUCAAACAUCAAAAUGAAUUUAAUCUGAAAACAAGCAGAACGCGUUCGUGAACUCUAUUCACCACCAAGCCUUCAUCACGCGGUUGGAAAGUAAGCGGCCAUGGCGAUGCCGCAAAGUCCCUCUUUUGCUGCAUCGUCCUUCCGCAUCAGUACGUACCCCUUCUCACCCCACAGUCUGCCCCAUGAGUUCUUCACUAUCCAGUAAUUAGUUCCCUGCCACGUCCCGUAGCCAACAGCAGUGACGGCGUGAUCAAGGUCAGUCCCGCACGGCCCGGAGAAGAUCCCUCCUGUGUAUAACUGGAAGUCGGUCCCUUUGGCUUCGAUGCUCACCGACACAGGUUGGUUGGCCACCGCCGCCAUCAGCGCCUUCUCGUCGUUCACCGGUACGUACUCGAAGCCGGCGAUGGAAGCUGCGUGGUCUGAAAGCAUCGUGAUGUUGCAGAUACCUUGAUAUCCUAGGUAUGGAUAGUUGGCCUCGGUGGUGAUGCCGCCGGUUGAGGUGACGAAGGCGAAUGCUUUGUCCUGCCAACCCCCAUCGCACGCACCAUUGGAGAAGUCGCAGUCAACGAGUGCUUGCUCCGACAGAGAGAUCAGCUUAUCUGUCUUGAUCUUGGUGAUCCCUUCUAUUGUUGAUACCGUGGAGAACGCCCAGCAAGAUCCUACGAUUCGUGUUCAUGCAUCGAUCGACCGACGAGAGAGAGAGAGGGUCAAACCCAUUGCUUGGUCGUAGCUGAUAUUGUCAACGUAACCAGAUGGCGUGGCAAUGUAUAUUUCGUGCACGCAAUGCUUGUCGAAUGUAUAAUAUGCAUAGAGUGUUCGGUUUAUAAUGGAUGGCAUGCUUAGUUGACCUGAUUAAAGCAUGAUUGUUUUGGACCAGAUGAACUAUUAACACGUACAUGGAGACAUAAUAAGAUAUUAAACAAUAAUAUAUGUAUUAAUAGGUUUCUUUUGUGAUAUAUAUAUAUAUAUAUAUAUAUAUAUAUAUAUAUAUAUAUAUGUCGAUGAUUAAUUGCUGUGAAAUUACGAUAACUAAUCAGAGGUGUCCCAAAUUCAGAAUAAUUAAGCAUCUUAUACAUACAGGAGAAGAUGCCGUCUUCAGAAGUUGUUUUCCUUCUUGAGUAUGUGACGCUUAUCAUAUUUGCAACCGUGAAGAAUAUUGGAAGUAGAAGAUAAGUUCGAUUGACUUGAGUUUCAGCAACGCUGAAGUCUAUUUCCUAUCCAAUAAUUAAUGUUCCGACUCGAUUUGCUUCGAAAGCGUAUUGUGAACAUGCCUAUACAAGCGGAGGUGACCUCUUGCUGCCAUGAUGGAGGCUAAUUCUAGAACUCGAUUUGGUGGGCACUUGAAGUCAUCUAUCUAUCAAAUGGAAACAUGUGUUGGUGAAACCUGCGACUAAUCUCCAUGUUUCUGUUGAUGAAGACCUGUUUAGUCUUCGCCCAUAUAUAUAACAUACAUAAGGAUUGACAUACACAGUGCUAAUAUUCUAAUGCCAUAGUUCUUGGCAUUGAUCAUAUUGUGGCCGGAUCCAUCAACAAUCUUUAGGACGUUGAGGCGAGUAUCCGCGAAAUGCAUAAGGGUUAACCUGAUGCUUGUGAUGAGUUACGUGUAUGAUACAUUAUCAUAUAUAUAUAUAUAUAUAUAUAUGCUCCAUUUUUCUUGACCACUGAUACUUGGCAUGGGAUAUCGUCACCCGCUUCACGAUAGCUGCGGAGUGUUUACGACGACAAAGACCAUGCAUGAACCACACCUAUAUGGACGUGCAAACUUAAUCCGAUGUCGAUCAUGAUCAUAUUAGCAACAUUCAUGUUGGGGGAGACCACCAUUACAGCUUGGGAAUUUGGAAGUACAUGAAUCUGCAAUAGCAAUGAAACUAGACAUGGAAGAUUGGGAGCAGGGUUAGCAACAGAAGCAGGAAGAAGAGGGACGAGGGUGGGACCGCGAAGGAUCCGCCGUGGCCAUGUAUCUGGUGAGAUCUGACGGCGAGCGGCACUUCGUCGAGGGAGAGGGAGCAGGAAGCCGCGUGAGAGCCGCCGGCAUCCUCGGCCGCCAUGAGCGCCUGGAGGACGGAGGUGGCGGUGGGCAGGAAGAGUGUCCGGUUCUUGGAGAGGAGCCAUGUCAAUCCCAUCAGCUGGCAUUCCCUCUCAUGCGCUGCGGCCGCCUCCUUGCCUGGUAUGCUCAGGUUGCUGCUGCCACCCUGCUUCUCUUUGGCCUUCAGCUGCCAACACAUGCAGGCACAGUUAACAGUUGACAGUAGGAAUUUUGCUGCCUCGAUUCUGACCAAUUCGCUUCAUUUGCAACUGUUCAAUUGAAAUCUACUACGGUUUCCUCGGAUCCAGACAAAAUUUAGCGCGAGUUUUAUGAGCAGUGACUUUGGGAGUGGGACGAGGCGCGGAAAUCGCAGUCAACGUCGUUGUUCCUCGGGAAGCUAAAAAUUGUCGAGAUGUGUAGGUUCGAGCGGAGAUGAUGAUAAUGUUCUAAAAGGAUGUCGGGUUCAUUAUGUAGCUAACUAAUUCAAGAACCAUUUGAUCAAGAAAAAUUAAUGGAGAACUUUUAAUUAAUAGAAACUUCAAGAUUCGUUGUUAUAAUGGUAGUUGACACCGGCGUAGACUCAUAAAUGGAGAAGGUUGAAUUGAAGGGAGCAAUGGCAGCUUGUUAAGACCCGAAAUUUAUAAUGUUGGAUCACAUCGCAUCACCUUAAUUUCAUUCUCAUAAUAUAUGUAUUCGUGGAAUUUUCUUGCUGGACGAGUCGGCUGGUUGGGAAGCGACUCACCUGGUUUAGGGUCCGAAGGCACCGAGUGCACCCGGCGAACCCGGGACGAGAGCAGUCCUUCUUCAGCCUCCGUCCGGCGUCCCCUGCCGGCACCCACCGCCCCAACUUGACGUCCGCAACGAACGCCCCAGCGCAGGCGAGACGCCGGAGGCGGACGCCGCAGUAGCAAUACGCAGCGUCGCACGUGGCAUUCACGCGCGGGAGCUCCACCCCGCGGUGGCGGAGCGCGCGCUCCACGCCGCCGAUGCACGUCUCCGAGUCGUCGGGGAGGGCCGGCAGGUCGAAGCCGGUGGAUGGUAGGGGGUGGGCUGCGAGAGCAGUGGCGGAGUAGGCGGUGAGCAGCCAUGCCUUGAGGGCGGGACAGCAGCUAUAGCGGGAGGGAGGACCGCCGUCGGAGGCAGUGCAGGCGGCGGAGACUGAUGGUAGAAGGUCGGACGGCGGGUCGAGAGGGCAGGCGGCGAAGGAGACGCCGGACUGCUCGGGGGAGGCUGGGAUGGUGACUGGACUGGAGGCGGCGGUGGCGGUGGCAGCGAUGAGCUGAAUGGAAGCGGUGUCAGGGUCGGGCACUGCCACCAGGAGAGAGACCUGUACCAGUACUAGCAGCGGUAGGAGAUUAGGCAUUGCGCUCUUCUCUCUUUCUCUCGUUCUCUCUCUCUCUCUCUCACUCUCUCUCUCUGCGCGCGGACAGCGCAAUCCUAUUGCAUUUUGCCUUUUGGGUAUCUCUGUCCCUUCCUGCUGAUGUUUGAUCGCUGCGUUCCGAGAGGACGUUAGAGAGGGAGAAAGGGAGAAGCGUUCAAACAUAUAGCGAGGAUGAAGGUUGUGGCUGUGGUUUGCUUGGAGACGAUAUUGGGCUGUCGUUGAUGUAUAUAUGAUUGGACAAGAUGGAUGUCACUUGUAACUUGGGAGGUAAGUGUGGAUAUUGCGAUGUUCCAUCGGUCUUUUUGCCCACGUCAACGAAAAUUUUGGAUGUAUUGGAUAAAUAUGUAGUGAUGCGUAGACGAUUAUUGAUCAAUCUUAAUGCAUGAACACUCCUUAACAGUAACAUCAUUAAUAUACUACCCAUAUUGUAACAUAGGCGACGACAGAGCAUCAGUUAAAGGCCUCUUUUCACAGACUCUGCUUGGGUUGAGCGAGUGGUACACGAGUGGAGCUUUCGUUGCCAUGGCUGUCCGGGUAUCAGCGAGGCUGGCUGAGCCCGUGAAGAUACUGGAAACAAGCAGCACGGAGAUGUGCUUUGGACCCCAUGUCUCUGCGACUGCCCUUGUCUGCGAGCUGAUGCGCUCACAAGCUCAGCGUUUUUAUGCAUAGGAUUCCAGGAAAACAACACUAGAAAAUGAUGAGGUUACGUUAUGGCAUGGCAUUAUCCGCGGAGUCGAGUGUUACGGACACGCAAAUGAUUCGUCUGCAGUAGAUGGGAUAGGAUGGUCCGAGACACAGUCUUCCCCAAGUUUCCCAGUGAUUAAAUGGUCCGUAAAGCAUGUAGAAAUUAUCCCAGUAAACCAAGAUAAAAGCUCCCGAGGAACUUGUUCAUACAUCAGCAAUUCUUCCGUAAUCUGGUGGAGCAGGUUGUGUCUGGGACAAAAUAAUUGCAGUGACCAAGAUCACACGCAAAGUCAAACUUCGCUUCUGGAUGCUUGUCGCCAAUUUUGCAGGAGACAUCAACACCAGGAAACAGAGUACCGUACAUCAACAAGGAAAAGACAUGACACUAAAGGCUCAAUCAUUGGAACCAAUGAGAUCAGCAGCAUUAGCUGCAUGUAUAUGUUCGAGAAUCUUUAAGGAAGGAUGUGAGCCCUGUUGCUGUGAUCCGAACCGAGGAGUAUCGACCAUGGAACGGUGUGAGACAUCUGGUAUCGGGAGUGGGGGCUAUUUGUAUGUACCAUUGCGUGGAGUGGAAUGGUUGCGGAAGGAAUGAUACCUGCUACAUCUAUCUGUCAAAUGCAGAGAAUGCACACACAGAGGAGCGACUCUGUUUCAUGGCAGUGCCGCCUCGGAGUCCAUCGUGGUCCACUAAAUAUUCCAUGAAGUACCAAAUGGCGUUCAGCUCCCGUGCAUGUGACGCUAACUUGUAGGAUUCAUGUGUCGCCCACCUUGUUCUUACAUUUUUGUUCCUUUGUAAUCAAAUCCAAUUACUGGCCUCUGUUUUGGUGGCUCUUUGGCUGCUCGCACAGGCAACAAAGCAGAGGGGCUUAUGCGUUCUCCAGGAGUGUGGUGGUGUUCUUUCCACGAUGCAAGCAUGCGUUCAACUUAUAUCGACGAUUCUUCUAGGGCUCAAGAAUCAGAUCUAAAGAUUCGUUUGCCCACAUGAAGAAACAUAGAUUUAACUACCAACACGAGCAUUGCCAUGGCGUGCCCGCUUAUGUUCAUUCAUCCUUGACUGCAAGCGUGUAGAAUUCAUAAAACAGUCACACCAACAGCACAAGCCCAAUAUUAGACAGUAUUCAAUGCCAGUUCUAUUAAUAACACAACAAGAUUUGGUUGUUCCUUCAUAUGUACACAAGAAAGAAGGCACACAUCCUCGUAGAGCAGAUCCAAAGCCUUGAAACAGCUGCAUCGUCUUUCUUUCUCAGCCAGAAAUGACCAAGUCUCUUCAGAUAUCGAUGAUGACCAAAUUCCCUGAAUGUUGAGCACAUGGUUCAAACUGUGACCUGAUACAACAAAAAUGUAAUGAUUAAUAGACGAAAUUCUCAGUCCAAAGGAACUACGCCAUGAAAUGAAAUGAGGGGUAAAGCUGAAGGACCUUAGAUAAAUACACAAAGAAAGGCUGACAAAUAAACGAAUGAAUAGUGCACCAAAAAAAAAAAGUAUCUUAGCCCUCCUCGUUUUUCUUCAAUUUCCUUUUUGCACUUCCUCUCUUUUAGGACUUCCAGCCCCCAAUACAAUCAUACGGUUGUCGCAUAAACUCAUGAAAGAGGAGCAAAAAAUAGGUAAUCAAGACAAUUCUACGAAAAGAAAGGUUAGUACACCAUGGAGGUGUGCACUUAAGCGUUUCAGCACAUCCGUAACCAAGUAAACUAGCAACUUUGCACGCGAUACAGACUUGCAACGAGAACAGGUAACAUACUGUCCAUCUACUCGAGCUUUCUUUAACUGGCACUGUUCUUCAUUCUUUUCCCUGGAACGCCCUUUACUUGAAAUAGGAACCACAUCUCGGGCGUGGCUAGUUGGGUCAUCAGAUGGUACUUCAGUUUUCCCUUGAAUAGGAAGCAGCAUGUGAGGCACAACAAAGUCAGUUCCGGAAGCACCAUUUGUUGAUCCACCUGCUAUAACUGUUACGGUUGGAGUUGACAAAGAGUUCCAACUCUCAAUCAAGGCAGAACAUUGUUUACCUGCAUAUUCCUCCUUGGCUGAACAAAUAGAAUCUGCUGCUGCAGUGUUAGCAGGUACUGAAGCAAAUGCCUCAGAAUAUGCAACAGCAUGUGGAAUGUCAUAAAACAAGGGAGCCAACAUUUUAUUUUCUUGGAUACUACUACUGGGACCACUUGUCUCUGCAUUUCUAGCCAGGGAUGAGCAUGAUCCUUUCCCUCUAUGCACCACAGCGUAAUGUUUAUUCUUUGAUUCUAUGAUUUGUCUCAUAAUAUCUCCUGUAUCACAGUUUCCUGAAAAAAAAGGGGGGGGGGGGAGGAAUAAGCCCUUUUCUUGUAACAAACAUGUCCUACCAAGUUAUGCACUUGGGAAUGGCUGUAAAUCAACUAGAAACGUUGAAGCUAACCUUGAUUUAUCUCUCAGAAAUAAACAAUGAAUCUAAAAAAGACGUUCGAAGCACCAAAUCAAGUUCUUGCUCAUAUUUAAUAUGAUUCUACUGGCACAGAACUAAGCUUAAUCAAUUAAAAAAAGUUUGAGCAAACCUAGAAUAUAUUUAAUAACAGUGCAAGCAGCAACCCGUUCUGCCUCUUUUUUGCUCAUUGCAGUUUCACCUUUAAAUGUCUUGUUAUCAAACAAAACAGAAGAGACGAAGGCUGGAAUCAGCCCUGGCUUGUGAGAAGUCUCAUAUGUUGGCAGGUUCAUGUUCAUCUUCACAGAAUAUUCAUGCAGGAUAAGUUUACAGAGAAUGGUAUCCUGCAAGUGAAAAGUAAAAAAAAUUUCAUCAGAAACUAAAAUUUUGAGUGUUAAUAAACUCACAGAAAGUAGACAAAGAAACAUACAUUAUGGAUGAGAGACAAGCCCUUGUUCUUGUUGAUGAUACGGAUGCCCUCAAGGGCAAAUUUUGCUGCACAUUGUUCGGCUGCCUUUUUGGUCGGAAAUGUGCAUGGGGAAGUGAAAUUUUUCCCAUCCACGACUACAGUAGACCUGAACUCAGGCGCAUGCGGGGUUCCCUCAUUAAUAGUCUGAUAUAGUGGCAAGGUGAUAGAAGAUCUUUGUGUAUAUUCUUGCAACCUAUUCUUAUGCAUGAACUCUUCUGCCAUACCUAUAACCAAAAAUUCACUUAUCGAGCAAACUUGAGGAAAUACUAUUAUUUGAACAUAAAUAUUAAUAAACACAACAUGCAAGGGUGUGAUACCAGGGAAUUUACAAAAAAGACCAAGUGUUGAGAAGAAGAACAGAGAUAGCAGAAGCUCAUGAUAAUCUAUGUCCCAAAAGCCAGUGAUUCAUAACUUCAGCAUAGUAGUAACGACAUACAUCUCAAUCAUGUGUGCAUAAAGAGAAAGCAAAAAAGAAAUAAAAAAUCAAAAUAAAUUGCCUCCCAUGACAUCACACAAAAAAAUUUAAAAAAUCCAAUCAUAACGUGCAUAUAGAUCUUCUGAUCCAUUAGCUUCAAGCACCAUCAACAGGAUCAUUUCAAAUGUGCCGAUAAGUAAUUUAAUCCUAGGUAAGUCUUGUAACUUCUUAUCUUUGAUUAUUUAUGACAAAGAACAGUUCCAUCAAGGGGAAAAUGAAACAAUGGACAUAUAACAGAAUACGCUAAGAUUAGUACCUCAAAAAAGGAACAAUGGACUUAUAAAUUUUUGCCUCAUUUAGUUGGACAUGCAAUAAAAUACACCAAGAUUACUGCCUCAUGUAAUCAGGAUUAAAAUGAACAAAUUCAAAGUAUGUGUCAUCUAAUGUUUUCUGCUAUGCUCUUUUCUGUUAGGUCACGUAUAAUGGAAUAAAAAAUGGGGAUACCACAAAGCAAUAGGACUCAGUAACUACUUCAUACAUUAAGUAAUGCAUACUUGUUUUUAUAGACUUCCGUGAACCUUUCGGCACAACACAAAAAGAAAAAGCCUUUUGUAGACAAGAAUGUUAUGAUUAUGUUUUGGUUAUUAAAGCUACACAUAUCUGUAACGUCAUAACAAGUAACUUACAAACACUGGUUGAACCUCAUGACCAAAUACUGAAAAUGUAAACAUUUAGUACAAGACCAAUUACUAGCAUAUAUACCAUUCCGAGACUUAAAAAAGAAAUCUUGCUCGAUAUACAAAUUUACGAUACCACAUGAAUAUGUUCUCAAAUAUAUAUUUCUUUUGAGCUAAAAUACGACUUACUUCCCCAUCACCAUCACAAGUUUCAACAUUUACAAUCGAAUAUAAAACAUAAUAAGUCUGCUCCCUUUUCUGCAAGAUCCAGAGAAGCAGAGGAGGGUUACUUCGCCUGUUCGCCAUGCUACAAACUAAAAGUGUUAGCAGACACAUGGUCUUUCUUAUUUUAGUUUUCAACCAAAAAGAUCACGAGAAACGAAAAGAAAACAAGAACAGAGCCUAGAAAUGGCAUUAAAACUCCAAAAGGUGCUUCCUUUACGAUUUGGAAUCCCGGGAGAGAUUCGGAAAGGAAGCAGCUCAGAGCAAGAUCAAAGACGAGGGAAGAUGGAGAGAGCGUAAUAGAGAAGAUGAGCAGCGAGGAGAUUUGGUCACAGCAGCGCUGCUCGAUGGAUUCGUAGCGCGCACAAAUUAGGAGGUGGAUGCAAGGGUAACCAACGGCCACUUACUGAUUCCAACCCGGGAGGUCCAAUCGCCGGGGUAGCGAGCAAUCAAAUGAAGCUAUCCAUACGAGAGGAGCCGGGAGAAACGAAAGGGGGCAACGGACCAAAAAGGGUGUGGUUUUAGGGUUCCGAGGCCUGACGCGGCGCUGCGACUGAGUUGCACCGCUCAUCUCGUGACUAAAUUAGAUCGAGUAUGAUUUCUCGAAUAAAAGAACUAAUUAGAACAAUAAAACAUAGUGGAAAAUUUCCAAGAGAAGUCAUUUAUUUUGGGUUUUUCCGAUCGGUGUCUUUUUUCUUUUAUUUUUAUUUGUUGUCAUCAUUAACUCUGUUUUUUUUUUUUCUGUACCUUCAAACCAUCCCCGAUAGGAUAAUCAAAAAAUUACAAUCAUUUGCAUUGGAUUGAUCUGAAAAAUUUACAAUGGCAUAGGUUUGUGAUGAAGGGGUCUGAAAAAUCCUAUGAGGUUGGAGCUGAUCUCCAAGAAGGUUCUCUUGAAACAUGAAGGCUCGAUCUGUUAUUCACAUAGCAAAGUUUGAAUUUUGUGCAUGGUAGGUGAUAGUGCAACACAAAUGUGUUUAGUAGGAUAACAGUCACCUUUAGUAUCUGGAUCUUUAUAUUUUUGAAAGUUACAUUGAGAUUAUUAUACUUAUUAAAGUGAAACAUUUAAUCUCAUUGUUCUAACAAAAUUUUUCGUUUUGAAUUCUAUAAAAUUAUCAUUUUAACUUUUAUUGAUAUCUUAAUGUUUCACUUUGAUAAAUAUAGGAAUCUCAAUAUAACAUUUAAAAAUAUAGGGAUCGGUAUAUUGAAAAUGUUUCACUUUCAUAAGUAUAGGAAUGCUAGGGCAUGUACGAUCUUUUACGAUCAGUAGCGUGUCCAAUCUUACUUCUAUCCUUGUUGUAAUGAUAAUCUCACUUAUUACUGUUAAAUCUAACAACAAGUUUCACUGGUCGUAAGAGUAAAUGCUAAGAAGCCAAAACAAAGAAGGCCUUGGCAAAUGGCCAUAAUCCUCUCAAUAAUACAAAUAAUUAAAGGGUAUGCGCUUGUGGGAGGGCUACAUACGGACUUUUACGUAGAUCUCACCACUAGGAGGAUUGCAAACUUUAUGCUUGUAUGAUAUUUGUUGUAGAAAUGACUUGAUCGGAUUAGAUUUAAUAGCAGAUGGUGGAUGUGAACAUGUGGGUCAAUCUUAUAGUAUUACUUCUCUUGAUCUUUGAGAUGAUUAAACAAAAUUAUUUGGCAAACCUACAUCGACCACGCACUGCUCCGUGAGUUAUUCCACCUCCUCUCAUGGCCUAUUACUACUGGUACGCCUCCCAUGCAUAUUCUUAUCCUAAAUCGAUAAAAGGUCAAAAGAUAGAAGAUAUAUUUUUCUGCUCGGGUGAUUUGUUUUCAAGUUGACAUUUAGCCCUUGUCAGUCGUCGUAUAUGUGAUCUUGAAGCUUACCUAUAUUAUUAUAAUUAGGUAGAUCAAUAUCCUGAUUAAUAGUACUGUACAUUCAGCUAUGGAUGUAGCAAUGGUGAGUGACCUCAUCAUAUGUAGGAGGAAGUUGUGUGUUUUCUACAAACAAAAGACAAGAUUUCUUAUUAUUAUACUUGUGACAAGUUCGGAACUCAAAUUCUUGCAGUUUGGUUCGGUUGACAUUAUUUCCGAAUGAUGUGUGUCGACAGACAGACGGUGGUAUGAAUUAGAAAAGGAGAUCAAAAAGGGGAAGUCAGAAUAAUUGGUUGGCUGUUUUGCUCCUAAUUUAGAGUUCACUGGUUGGUUAGAGCCGGAGUUGAGAGUUCCUAUCUCCAUGAGAGGAUAAGAUGGCAUCGAUGGCUUCCUUUACUUGCCCAACAUCUGGUGGUUUUCCGCCUUGUCCCGGCCAUAACUCAUCGGUCGCCAACACCUGCAUAGGAACACAAGAGGCCAAAUCUCAGACAUCAAGAUGAAAAGCUCUCGAUUUAGCCAUCUGAUUUAGUAAGAAGAAGGAUUAUUAAUAUAUCCGAUCGCAAGACCUUCACUUGCAACUGCAGGAACUUCACGUAGCUAAUCGCCUUCUCCAGCAUGGUUACCAAAUCAACCUACGUGAAUUUUUUUUGUUGUUGUAUGGAGAACACAGUUAGUUACAAUCGCCAAGACAAUGGCGCAGGAAAAAUAACUGGGAAAAACAAUACAUCCGAAGCGAGGCAAACCUUUGUGCCAUUGGGAACGAGAUCUUGAAGAAUUUUGAGCCGCUCACUGAUCCGUUCCCUCCGGUUCUGCAACGACAAACUACCUUGAGAUGAUUCAUGUUUGUGUUCCAUUGCCAAAUUGUUCACAGCGUAUAAUAACAGAAAACAAAAGGUCCAAAUUAAUAUAUUAGUAGUGGUAGAUGAAAACACCUUUGCUGCGAUACUCUGUUGUGGAUCCUUGGAUGGACUAGUAGACUUCUUGUCUUUGGUCCUCCUGGGAGUACCGCACUGCUUCUUGGGACUUUGCACAUCACAUGAAUUCUGCAACAGAAACAUAAGCAGUCGACGACGUGACUUACGUAGAAUUUAAUUCUAAGAAACCCAUGCUUCAUUUCUUAGGUUAUCUUGAUGAUAUAUCGAACACUACACAUUACCGUGCUCGAGCGUUUUUGGAGGACCGUUGUUUGCCCGAUGCUUUCUUGAAGGUCAUCGAAAGCUGCGGCACCGGAGUAUAUAAACCCAAACCGAUCUUGACCUCGACGCUUGUUCCCGCUUCCUACCUCGAAACAGUCUUUCUCCUGAAUUAGCCUGGAAUCAGCAGUUCCACGCUUGAUAUCCAGGUGAUUCGGCUGAUAACUUCGAUCCAUGGCAUCGAUCCAAGCGGCGCAUUCCUCCUCGUGAUCAAGGUUCAGGUGACCAUCGAAACUAAGCACCGAAGUGUCGAAGCAGCCCCAGGACUGUUGGGAUGCGACGACGGAGAGGGAUUCUUGUGGCGGAGAAAUCACCGCACCGAGCAUAUUGUACGCGCAGCUAUCCGAGUUCCUAGGGUCCGAGUGGAAAGAAAGAAGGCUGCUCGAAUAGCUCCCGUGGGAAUCAGAGCUUCUUUCUCCAUCACGGAGAAGCGUGCUGCCGUCCCCCAGAUAGCCGAAUAACUCAAGCGAAGAAGGAAGUCUAAGCUCUUGAAUUGAUGGCCCUCCUCCGUCAAGUGGACACGCUGGUGGACCUUGUCGAGUUCGAUCUUUUGCGAGGGCCAUAGAGAGAGAUAGCGGAAGAGUUGUGGGAUCCUACCGAGUUGCAGAAACAAGAGGAGGAAGUGGAGUGUAUCUGAGAGAGAGAGAGAGUAUUGAGUGGUGACAGAGGGAGGAAGAGGGACUUGCUCUUUGGGAUGCUGCCGUUCAUGUAUGUUCUUGUACAUGCAUGCUGCGAACUUGCACCUCAUAUAAGGGGAGAUGGCUUCUCCUUCCUAUAAAGUAAUGUGCAUAAGAAUAGCAUAAUUAUAUAAAACUUAGAAGCGCUUGCAUGCAUUUCUGUGAGGAGGAGGAGGAGUUCGGUGGCAUGAACGGAGAGAUAGGGGAUGGAUGUGUGUGACAGAGGAGGAGAGAGAGAAAGCUAGGAAGCCAAAGGGUCGCCGGAAGUGUCGCACGCCCACGUCUAAGAUUCCCAUAUGAGUGGCUCCUUCCUCCUCACUUCCACAACCCUAGAGCACGUGGGCCAUGGUUAUAAAUCUCGUGGGCAUCUCCUAAUCUUAAGACAUGUUUGAUUCCAGACAUGACACUGUGAGCUUUUAAUGCUGUGAUCCUUCUCUUUUAUUAGUUUAUGACAUCCAUAUCGAACCAGGAGAUGAGCAUACACGCUUCGAGGAGACUCCUUCGAGACGCACCUACUCUCUGUUCUAUGAACUCCGACUCAGGUUCAUUUGUUGGAGCUCCUCUAUGGUCCUGAUUCCUUCAGCGCUGCUACCUCUUGUUUCAUCAUCUCGUAUCCUAAGCCUCGUGUUAAGGAGUGUAACAGUUGUGAUUAACUAUGGAAAGUGAUCUUAAGCAAAACUGAAUCUUGCUGCUGCGGAACCCAAUGGACACCUUCUGCAGCAGCAGAUGUGGUUUUGGCUAUGAUCAAGCACUCUUUAAACUGUCUGCUGUUUGCAUAAUUUAAAGAGUUAAAAAUAUGCUGAAAUCCUUUCUCCUCAAACUUGUUUAACCAACAACCGCCAGAGUCAACAAUAGCAGGCAUCAAUUGUUGGGUGGCUUAUAUUACUUCUCAAAUGAAUGAUCACCGAUGAGUUGGGCUGCCUGUUGUUCCAUGAACCCACGAGUCCAGAGAUGGAGAAGAAGAGUACACUGUCCUUUGAGAUGCCAUGUGAGCAAAUGAAGCGAUAGAAUAUAUAGGCGAGUAUGAGUGGCUCAUCAGAGCAGCAUUUAAUGCAGGGGUGGGCACAGCUGUUGAGGUGAGCGAUGCAAUGACAUAAGUUCCAUGAUCAUGUGGGAUCUCGAGGCUUGGAGACGAGUCUUGUGGGAACGAGUGCAAUGUAAUGGAGGCCAAGCAAUAAUGGGGGUCAUUAAACCACAGCAUUUAAUGUCAAGGGUCUUACCAUUAAACAAGUGAAAGCAGCACGAUUAAUGACGAAGCUACAGCAAACAUCAUGCCAUGGAUGUGAACUUUGUCUCAUGAACCGAAGCAACCCAUAUGCUCUGGUAACGAAUUCCUCCAUAUUCUAUGUGGCUUAUGGGAUUCUGGUUUUCAACUUUGUGAUCCUCAUGUUCAUCAAGGUGAGAGCAGUCGAAAUUUUAUUGUGAGUUCAGAACUCUGCCCAACCUCAGUGCUAGGAGAAAGUCAUAGCUGAAACCACAAGAUUCAUUAUUUUGGACCGAUAGAAAGUCAUACCUUUCUUCCAUUUGGCUUUGAAGGAGUAACACUUUGAUUUAGUAAGCCUCAUGCUUCUUCACUGCAACAUUUUCUUGUGAUCUUGCUUUCCGCUCAUGAAACAUACUGUUGAGAUUGAUUGGGAUACUUCACGACAUUUUGGAACAAGAUUCAUCUAUAUCCCAUUGACAUUCUUCUAACUCGCCAUCAUUCUUCCCUUCCGCCUACUUUACUUCUCCUCUCCUGCUCGAUCUUCUUCCCCGCAUCAGCCUGUCGCUACUUCUUCCUGUUCUUCCCAAUCUUCGUUGGAGACGAGACGGCGGAUAUCGGCGGUGGCGGGAUUCAGCAACGACGGCCGUGGCGGCACGAAUUCGCCAGCGAGCGUCGAGGGAAAUGGCAGGUGGUGACAGAUUUGACGUGUAGAAUCCGGUGACCGGAGCUGAGGAUAAGAAUGCGGUACCAUAUGGGGGUAUGGCGCCAAAAAAAAUUUUUUGGGCCUCUUUGGCGCUUAAGUGGUUUACGGUAAGCUAACUCACGGUGUUUGAACUCACACUUUAUGGGCCAAUCCGGGUUAACCUACCGGGCCGUGUUAUGUGCCUUAAUCCCUGCAGCCCCUUGUGUUCGAAAGAAGUAGUGCCCUGUUCAUUACCUAUUCUAAUUCGUCGUUUAUCUCCUGUAGUCGCUCGAUCCUUUACCCUCCGUCAGCCCCUCGUCUCGCUCUUCUUUCGCGACAGCAGAAUGGCCGACACCGGAGACGAUGGGCAUGAGCGGUGGUAGGAGUCUGCAACGGUGGGCGUGGCGGGGCGGGGCGAAUCCGCAGAUGAGCACGAGGGGAGACGCUAUUCAACUGUCUGGAUCCAGUCACCGUGGGUGAGGACAAGACGUUGGAAGCUGACGGCUUUGACGCCAAAAUUUUUUUUUUUCGGCCUCUUUGUCGUUGUUAUCGUGAACGGUAAGCUCACCUGAUGGUGUUGUACUCACCUUUGUGGGUCAGAGCUUGGCCCAGUCCAGCUAUUGUUCGAAGGAAUUAAGCCCAGGCCGGAUAUUUGUGAUACAAGGCCCAAGUAAAAAAGCCCAUCCAACGAAUAAGAUGAGCCUCCAUCUAUGGAGCUUAUGGUAAGGAGUUGCAGGAGCCGCCGACAAGUUUCUCCUCCCCUUCUUAGACCGUCCUCUUACCCAUUUGGCCUCUCGUUCUUUUUUCUCCUUCUCUUCCCCUCCCAUUCUCCUCUGUUCAACUUCUCUUCCCCUCCCAUUCUCCUCUCGUUCUUUUUGCUCCAUCGACCCUUCACAACUGUUUCCUCUUCUCCUCGCUUAUAUGGCGACGAUGAGUCCAAGCGACGUGGUAGAGUGGCGGUAAGAGCAUGUUCGGAACCAAGCAAUGUCCCCAUUUGUUGCUCAUGGCAGGAAGUGCAUGUUCUGCUUCGUCUUUGAUCUCCUCCUCGCUCUAUCUUUUACCUUUCGUCAGUCCCAGAGCAGCAAGUUGCUGCUCUUCUCGGUCUAAAUCGGCGACGACAAGGCCGGCCGGCACCGGAGAAGAUGAGCAUCAGAGGUGGUGUGAGUCAGCAACGGUUGACGUGGGGGAGCGAAUACGCCGAUGAGCGCGACGGACACGACAGUAGUUAUUCAAGUCGUAGGAUCCGGUCACCGUAGGUGAUGACAAGAAUACCGAAACUGAAGGGUUAGACGACAAAAAUAUUUUUUGGGGGCCUCUUUGUCGCUUUUCUGGCGAACGGUAAGGUCACAGGGCAGUGUUUGUACCCACUACAUGAUAAAGUCCCUCAACUUGUAGGAUUCAGUCACCGAAGGUGAAAACAAGAUCACGGAAACUUGAAGUGUGACGCCAAAGAAAAGCAUUUUUGGGCCUCUUUAUCGCUGUUCUGGUGAAGGGUAAGGUGACUCGGUAGUUUUCGUACUCGCCUUAUGGGUCAUAGCGUGUUCGAAAGGCUUGGGCCCAGCCCGUCUAAGAGUUCAAAGGCAUUGCAGAGCAGCCUGGCUAUUUUGGUUUGUAGGCCCAAUUAAUGAGCCCAUAUAAUGGCUAAGUUGAGCCUCCAUCUAUCAGCCCAUGGCAACGAGCUGGAGGAGGAGGAGCCGACCUCGCUCGGCUGAGAGAGGCAUUUUGGGGGGUUUCCGAGUUCCAAGCACUGGAUUUCUGCAAGGGUAAGGGCACAGCGGUUCAUCCUCGUAGUUUUUAUGAAUCUGGGCCUUCUAAACGUGGCCCAUCUCAUACAUGUCGAAUAGAUAGAUGCUCGAGUAUGGGACAGUGCCAAUUGCGUUUCGUUAUCAUCGCUUGCUUUACCGUUCCUGACCGCUUUAUCGGGAAUCGAGCAUUCCACAAAGAAACAUCACAUCAAGUCUGCGUGCGAUGGAAUUCAUGGCAAUGAUUGCAGAGGCUAUACCAACAAUGGUGAUAGGGGAAAUUAAUUGAAGUGGAAAGAGGAGUCUGAGGAGGCUGAGCUCCGAGUCUCUCUUUGUCGAGGAGUCGUCGCUGUGUUUUGUUCUCCCUUUCUCGAACCAUGCCCUGUGAAGAGUAGCAUGGAGGAGGAGAGGCUGAAACAGAGCGAUGCAUUACCAGGAACAACUCCCACAAUAAAUGCGUGGUGAUGAUCCGCAGAGCUCAAGAAACGAGGUGGAAUCUCUCAGAUUUGUUGGUCUCGGUUGUACCCGACACAGUCACUCUCUGUCCCCGGCCCCCCCUCCUCCAAGGCUGACAGCUUGUACCGGCAGAGGAGGAUCAGGCCUCGACCAAAGCAGAGCAUAACCAGGAUUAAGAGGCCCAAGGCUCUGUUUGCAGUCGACUCGUUCUUGAUGUGAAGGAAUCCACGAUGACUAAAUCACUCUGCAAUCUAUCGCAAAAGAUAAGGAUGAUUAUUGACGACGACGACGACGACAUUGUUUUUUUUGUAGUGCUUUGGCGUGUAAUAUCAAUGUAUAUAUACGUUGCAAAAUUUCUUCAAGAGAAUCAUAGACAUGGUAAAACAUCAUGUCGCCAUGACACUGUUAUCAGAGCGAGCGAUGAAGAAGAAGACUCACACUGCCAGAAGAAAGGAGGAGUUUUUAUUGGCGAGUCGAAAUCGCUUAAUUUCCGGUGAGGAUUAAUCCCGAAAGCUAAAAAGGAAAACCAAUACAAGUGGUAAAGAAAGCAUAAAGGGAGAUCCUACCGAGAUAAGCUUGGCCCCACAAGUUGCGUGCCUCACACUCUAAGCUCGUGAAUGGAUCCAAUGAUCCCUCGUAUAAUAAGACAAGUUCUCGCUCUGACAUCAACCCUACACGGUACGCUAAAUAGUUAGUAUUCGAUGGCUUUGACGAAGACAUGUUGAAAGGUCGCUGCAACUGCAGAUGAUACAGACGAUGGGAAGCAGCUCGCCGAGAAGCAGGCGUGAAGAGGCUCCACAUGACCCAUCGCUAUAAAUGAUGAACUACGAGCCCUGUAUGUUUCAUCACAAGGAAAGAAUCAAUGAAAGAUGCAGGCACACAAUUUUAUUGAUCUUGGCCGGCCGGUAUAACAACAACAUCGCUGCUGUUUGCCCUUCUUACAGCUUCGGAAAGCAGGUCGGAGCAUGGUUACGGCAAUUCUUAGCGAGCUUCAUCUUAAACAAAGUGGGAGUGAAAUCCUCCGAUCGUACUUAGCACGGUUGUCAUGUGAUGCUGACUUGAUGUGGAUGACCAACUUUCUUUGUUUUUGCCCCAUCGACAUCCUUUAAAUCUUGCUUGGUCAACCAUGAAAGCCAGAACAGAGCACGGAAGCAAUUCCCUCCUUCGGGGACUCGGUCACAUGAUCAUCCCUACCUACCUAUGCGUGUCCUGAUAACCUCGAUUUGUGCCUAAUUAAACUCGGUACUAUUCCAUUUAGUUCUCUGGUCCAUCCAUCUUCUCCGGGCCGAUUGGCAGCAAUGAUUGAGGCGAGAUGGUACGGAAGGUUUCUGUGUUUCCUGUGGCUGUCUGCCAGACGAAGAAAGAUCAUGCGAGAUCUAGCGGAAUCCAUACUUCCAGAAUUGUGUUGAUGUUCCAAUCUUUUUAAGCGGAGGAAAGAUCGUGUAAGGGAUCCAACGGAAUCCACACUUGCGGAAGAGAGUAAAAAUAAGAAGCUCCUCCGGAUCGUGUCGAUUUUAGACGAAUGCCACCACCACAUACUCGACGGGAAAUAGUUUCCGCUAUACGCUUUCCAUGAUCCGUAAAGCCUGCCUCCUUAGUUAAGAUCCGAGGAGUUGUGAAGCGAGAGACGGUGUAGAGGGCUUUCACAGCCGGAGAGCGAUGCCGAGGAGAAAGUAGCCAUUGCAGAUUUUUUAUGUUCUCAUUCCACAUAAUUUGUCAUACUGCCAAUCUGCAUCCCACUAUCGAGCACUAACAAGAGGACAGAAUUACAAAUAGCCAGAAGAAGAAGAAGAAGAAGAAGAAGAAGGAAAAGAUGCAAAGCCAACUCCACUCCGACCACAACCUGCAAGUUAUUACGCUACACACUCGAGCCACGGCUACAUGGAAACUGAAGACAGAGAGGUAGUUUUAUCUAUUACAAACGGAGCAGGGGGAGGUUUAAGCUUCUAUUACACUCUGAGCAAGUAGACACUCAGCUCAGGGCCUCCAUUGUUGUCUGGGUUCAUCAUGUAGAAGGCCUCGGAGUCUUUGGACCCCACCACCCUCUCGAAUUUUGCUCGCAUGUACAUGACGUCCUUAUCGGUGUUGCCGGCGUCGCCGCCGUCGCCCGGGAUCACCCCGGCCCCCAUCGACACCGGCUCGACGGCCCUCAGCACCUUCCAGUCGCCGGGGCCGCACUCGCGCUGCACCGCGUACCCGCACUUCUUGCCGUUGAUGUACGCCCGCCAGAGCGGCUCCUCCACUAGCCUCGUCGUCGCCGCCGCCUUCUCGCCGCCGCCGCCGCCGCUGCUGGGCUUGCGCUCGCACUCGAGUGCGAUCCUGACCAGGCCCGACGCCAUCUCGCGCACGAGCGCGCUGGUGGCCGUGGCCAGCUCGACGAGCACCACCGGGCACGACUUGCUGUCCGCCUGGAAGGCGAGGUGGACGUGGCCGCGCCGGUGCCCGUAGAGGGUGCCCGUGACGCGGGCGCCGAGGCCCGUCGGUCGGUUCCGGCGGAGGGAAGUAGCGGCUGCCAGAACCGACCGAAGCCUGGACACCGCCGUCUCUGCGGCCGAAGAAGUUUUCUUCUUGGGCCCAGUAGCGGCGGCGGCCGUCUCUUCUUGGUAAGGGUAGGAUGAGGAGGUAAAGGAAGAGAGAGUGGCUUUCUCUUCAUCCUGGUCAUCCCACUCCUUCCUCUCCGCUGCUCCUUCCUUGGGGGACUUCUUUAUCCUCCACUGGAAGUGUUUUCUGGCGGAGGAGGAAGAGAAAGAGGAGGAGUCACGGGAAGUGCUUCUUCCCAUGUUGAUGGUCCUCAUCAGGGACUCUACUGGAAAAGCAAGCAGGAGGAUGGAGUGAUUGGUGAAAUAUUGGUGAGGGGAAGGAGAGAAGAAGAAGAAGAAGAAGAAGGGCAGAGGGGGGAUCCUUUAUGGUGUGUUGUCACUUCUCUCUUCUCCCUCGACACACCACUCGGCAGCGAUGGUGGGCUCAUUUAUGUCCAUGUCCAUGUCCAUGCAUCGGUGAUGGCAGAAGCGACGGCAUUGUGUCAUGCAAAUGCACGCCGUCCUCCGAGGCUGGGGAUCGUCACCAGAAUCCUUACAAAAGUAAGGCUGGUGGUCUGCCCCCACCUAACUGUAAGUGCAUAGAGCGGGGUGGCAGACCGAAAGCAGCAGCGGAAUAGAUAUAGCAUCGGUUCGGUGGGCAGCCAUCCACGAUCCGCGGUGGAUUGAGAGCAGCAGCAGAGGAGAACCGUGGGACGUGGUCUUCCCUCGUCAGCCAUAGUUUGAUGCGUUUAUCCCUUAUUCCUUUGUAGCUGGGAAGGGGAGUGAAUCCACCGAUGGAGCCAACAGCAGAAGCUGGAGUAUUUUAACUGGGUGGGGGGGGGGGAGGUUAAUAAAUACGUUGUUAUCCUCUUGAAGGAGAGGAGAUCCAAGCAUGGAGUACAAACAUGAAGGUCCCAUUGGUCACCAUCAGCCAAACAUGCCAAUAAAUGCUGUGAGAUGGACCUGAUGUGACGACCGGCGGGGGGUGGGGGGCCAAUCAUACGGUAGGUUGGUCCUUUCAGGGUCGAACGGAGCUUUAACCCUUCUGUUCUCCUAUACUCGUAGGAACUCGUCGGAGGUAUUUGGUAUUUGCGCCACUGUCUAUUGUCGUCUGGCACACCCAAUGCUGAUGGCCACUUUACUCAUGAGGGGAUUUGGCUGAAUCGAUUACUCUUUGUCUUCAUGACAACCGAACUCGUUCUGGAGCGAACGGCGACCACACGGAGUGCACGUCGAUCAUGAUAUCCAUAUCUUAGAAAGAGGCUCUCACAAUAAUGCCCAUCCAUAUCUUAGAAUAGUGUGAUGCUGCAGCAGCAAGGAAAUAAACAACACUAAGAAUAGUGAACAGGACGUCUCACUGCCAUGAUCAACCCUGACGGAUUGUUCAUACGUAUACGUUUUCUUGGUCCUCCCUCGAUAAACAACACUGGAACGCCAGAGCGAAGAUGCCAACACGCCUACCUCUCAACCAACCAACCAACCAAGUAGAAUCGACUCUUUAAGGAAGAUGAGAUGCGAUGAUACUUGUUGUUCCAUUUUUGGUCGCUCCCCCUAGCAAACAACGAUCGCGUGAUCGACCUCGAUUCCAUCUCGCAACCAAUUAAAAGCUGCUGUUAGCAGAUGUUUGCGGGAUCAAAAACCUCAACUAAGCUCCGACUUGCAAAUGAGUCGCACAUCUCCGACUACAAACAAAUGCCAUGUUGAUCGACUCGAAUAAAGUAAAAAAUCGUCGACUUCACCUAGUCUUUGUCCCCUUGCAUAUGGCUUUGGCUUUGAAUGUAUUACAUUGGAAAUCCAAUCUGUAGAUAUCUCUAUCUAUCUUUCUUUUCCAAGUUGUUAUCGUUGGCACCCAAUUCCAUUACACUGAAUCAAAUCGAUAAAUCGAAUUUUCUUAUGACAGUCCAAUGUCUAAACAAAUUUCUGUCGUAUAAUCUCUUCACCCAAAGCUAGAAAUGAAUUUGUCGAGGAACUCUAUAAGAACAGCAGCAACAAAUGGAUUGAUUACACAAACCAGCAGCAACAAAUAAGAGGCUGUGACCCUCCAUAUGAUUUGCACAUCAGCAGUGAUAUAUAUAAUCAGCCAAUAUUAUGGACCAUCCAAGAGAGUCAAGAUGAGCAAAAAGAAAAUUAAAAUAAAAGGAAAACCAGCGAUGCUUUGUUCGAACAUCAAAGGAUAUUUCAUUAUUAGGAUACAAGUCAAAAAGCUGUGACCGACGAAAAGAUAGAUAAAAAACUCAGGCGGCACAAAACUGCAGCAGGAAAUUGGUGCUAUUACACUGUCAGCCGCAUCAGCAUUACGAACAACACAAAAGUGCUUAGCAUGCUAAUCGUCCUCUUCCUUUUUCAUAUCGUUUAUACAUGAUCAUUAGCAACACCUAUGAUCAUGCCCUGUUUCCUCAAACCAGGCUGCUCCCACCGUUUACAAGCUCAGCCAAGAUUACCAUCCGAGCUGGGUUGAGAAGAACCGGAGGAGCUGUUGAGGCAACCUGCUCGUCCGGCUGCCACCUAACUUGUACUGGUGUCAAUACACGAAACAAGUUAAUUUUGGCCUUACAACUUUCUGCAUGAAAGUGUCCAAGUACAGCUGCAUCGUUCUUGGAUAGACAAGAAUUUAUUGCAAGAUCUCCACCAACAAAGCUUUGGUGCUGCAAUUCCCAACAUAACCAGCUCCAACCUGUUACAGUGAGGUAAGAGAAAAUUCUCAAGGCAGAUAAACCUUAAUAUAGUAUACUCAACUCUUAAAACCGGCACAAAGAAAGUUCAUGAAAAAAAAAUUAGUUUUAAGAACUGAGAUCAUACAUGCGAAGCUGGCCAAAAUACGAUUCAGCAGCUUUUGAUCUGCUUCAUUACCUGAUGCCUAUACAAGCAACAAGCUACUGCGAAUCAACGAAACAAGAUACUCUAAAGUCUUUUUUUUGCUAUAUGCAAUCUAGUCAUGCGAAACCAGGAAAACAAUAAGCAUCUGAAACGAGGUGCACAUAUGUACAUUUGCUGACUUAGAAGAGGUAACCGAUGUGAUAAGAAAAAGAAUGGCCACAGAACUAGCAUCGUUGUUCCAUAUCCCCAUUCUGCUCUGUGGCACAAUGGAGCUGUUGGAAGGCUUGAAGAACCCAAAGGCCCCAAACUAUACAGGCAAUGCAGCAGCAACCCUCGCACAUAUCAACUAAUAUAACUACCCCAGUAACCAAAAGGUUGCUGCUGCUUUUAUACAAGACAGUACAAAUGGUUCUUCUUCUCCAGAUUGGAUAGUUGUUGCCACUAUUGUGUAUCUUCAGAAUAAGUUUCCAAAAUCAAUUCACAUGACACUUCUCCUUGAAUAUAUAAUCAGCGCUGAUGCCAUUGGAAAACUGGUUAGACCAGGCUCACAAGAUGAGGCUGAUGCACAACGAGUCAAAUGGAUACAUGGGUGAGGGUGACAAUAAACACACAAAGUUUGAUGCCAUGAUACAUGAUCCUUGCAACCCCCAGCUCUGUAGCCAUGCAACCGUCUAUAGACACACAAGUGCAUCUCUGGGGUUGUGGUUUGCCAGGUUUGAACUAUGGUGCCAUAAAGACUAAAAAGGACAGAUAAAUGAGAGAGGCAAGAGCUGCAACAUGAUUACGCACAAACUGAAGUUUUGCAUUUCCUCUAGUCUGGAAUAGUAAUCAGGUAUCUACUCAACCUAACUAACUAUUACAAUUCAUACAAUACUAAAUGUGACAUACUACAUACUCUUUCGUGCUCAGCAACAGUAGUUGAGAAACAUUUUCCCACAAAAUGGGUCACAAACACAUCUAUUAUUCUAACAAGGAAGUAGAGAAGUUGAGCAAUACUGAAGUCAACCAACAAGACAAGAACAGCUUCCAAUUUUAGGUUUUUUUUUCUUAAUAUUUGUUUUUCUGACAAAUCCAUAUGAUGUAUGCCAAUCUUCUCGAUCGCUGUGGAGGAAUGCUCAGAAACCUUCUGGCAAAAGGUAAACUUUCCAGAUCAGUUAGAUGUAAAACCCCAAUUGAUGCAGAUAAAGCUCAUCGAACCAACAUCUUCAAUCUUUCAGAUAUCCUCGAAGCCUCCAAGCCAAGUCUGGAGCUGACUGCCUGCAAUAACACGUUGGCCAAAGGUUAGAUAAGAGGUCCCUCAUGAAUCGGUCAUAAAUCAAGGAAAAAAUUAUGGCUGUCUUCUCUGCUCCACUUAACCGAACUAUGCCCAAGUUAGAAGUGUUCUUCCCUUGAAGUUCCGAUUUUGUUACAAGAACCAUGCGACGAUUUAAUCUACUUUUUUUUUGCUUCUCAUGCACAUGUUUUAGCAAAUCUUCACCCUUAAUUUUGUCAAAUAGAAUUUCCUAUUUCUUCUGAGAAAUCCCUUGUUUUAUUCAUUAAAUCUUUGCUUCAAGAAAAAGCCACUCUUGGUAUAGAUUAAUUCAUUAUCACAUUAUCAUGGGGUAUUAGGAUUUAUCUGGUCUUAAAUGCUUGAAAACACACACACAGGCACAUGGAUUCAACUGGCUUUGACAUGCAUAUUGGCCGGCGCGAGUCCAUAUACUUGGGAUUAUUGAUGGGAGGGGACGCUUAGAGCCACAUUCACGAUGUGUAAAUGCAUACUCUGUAUCUGCUGAUACUCGACGUUACACAGGAGAUAUGAAAAGACGGUGAAAGGAAAGUUGCUGUUUUCACAUGCACAUCAUAACCUAGGACAUGUGGCGCCUCGUGACUGGGAAGAAGGCGAAUACAUUUGCAACGGGGCCAUAUCUCGAUCCUACCCUGUUCAGAUAACAAACAGAGGAGGGAAUGAAAAAUAUCGGGAGAGAGAAAGAAGACAGACCAGUGUGGUGUGAUCGAACGCAUCGCUGUCGAUAUUUUCUUUCACGGAAAACAAAAUAAAGCUACGCAACAACAAGUUGAGGAACCCAGAAAUAAAAAAAUGGACAUCUUUCUGAUGAUCACAAAACGAUACAUUACUCGAUGCAGCUCAAGUUUAUCACGUGCAUAAAUUAUGACGACGAAAUAAAGAAAGCUGACUCCUGAAGCUGACAUCACAUCGCUACAUAUAUAAACACAGAAAACCUGGACUUGCGUUCUUGUUGACAUGCACCACAUCUCACCAAAGUCAGCAAUCCAUACCAUUCAUUCUCUUGUUAAAUUAUUUUAUUACCCGAUGAUAAGUUAUAUUUUAGGUCCAAAACAUAGACACAUUUGUUCACCAACAAGGUUGUGAGCACGUUGUAAGGUACCAACGAAAGUUGAUAUUGAUAAUAUCGAAGUGAGAACAAAAGCAUUCUGGUUUCAGACAAUGUUUUUAAUGAAAAAGACAAUAUCAAAUGAGACACUCUAAAUCAAUGACCAUCUAGAGAAGUCAACAAAAUGCACAAGAGAUCAGAAACGACGGAUCACCUGUUGUCUCAGGAAAGUGUGUAAAAGGUGCUCGUUUCAACAGAACACAACAAAUACAGAGUAAGACAUUUACGACUAUUUUUCUAGUUUAUACGACGCUGUAGUAGUGUGUGAUUGUCAAACCAGGAAUCCUAAUUAAUAGAAGCAUCAAGCAACUGGGAAAAGAAACAGUGAUGUCUAUAUCACUCCCAGAAAAGAAAACAAACAUUCAUCUCCAACACACUAUUAAUGCAAAACCAAAAAGUAAGCCAUUGCUCCCCACCCACAGUCCAAAAUAAAUACCACAGCGAAUCAUCUUGCUGCUCCACAAGGUGGGAGCAUACUGAUCGAGGAACCAUCAAUUGAAAAUGCAUUAUUAAGUAACUUCCAAAUCAGAAAUACCGAUCGAGAGUUUGUCAAUAUAUUGUUUUUUUUUUAAAGAAAAUUGAUCCCAGCAUAACAUCGACAACUUAUCACGAAGAGUUUUUUUUUUUUUACAGGAAUUUUUUCUUUUAAUUUUUAAACAUUUUUAUUCACGAAGAGUAAUCUGAUAGAAGAGAAGAUCAUAAUAGAAAAUCAUGAUAGAAUAACAUCCCUAUUUCUUAUUAUCUUUAAUCAAUCAUGGAUUUAAAUAAUACAUAAUUGAGAAAAUUCUAUACCUCAAUGAAUAAAAUUCAUCCCUUUUCACAACCUAUUUCUUAUUUCUAAUGGUUUCCCUUCCACAAUCUAUUUCGGAUUUGAGUCUCUUCCUCAAAACAUGCACAAUAAAUAAAAUCCCAACCCUUUCCCAACCUAUUUCUUAUUUCUACACUAUCGGAUCAGUUGCAAAUGUCAUAUCCAUCAAAUUCCUGAGACAGCAAUGUGUUGCUAGCUGCUGUCAAACUAAUCGACAAAGAAAUGCUGUUUAACAUGACUCAUCGAUGAUGCUAACCUAGCAUUCCGAAGAUGGCAGUGAGAUUUUCUCAUGAAGAAAUUACCUGUGUCGAUGGCCUAUUAAGAAAUUUGUCCUUUCAUGUUGUUAGACUAUCUUAUGGUAAUUGCAGAUCGACACUGUACAAUGCUCGAGAUGAGCAACAAGAUGAGCAGCGGUCAAACUGACCAUGUGAGCAGUAGCACUGUGAAAUGGCAUCCGAGACUACGAAGAAGAAGAAGAAGAAGAAGAAGAAGAAGAAGAGGGAAACCUAAGAAUGCCGACGACGCGGACCCGAAGCGCCGUGGAUCGCCUCACGAGACUGGUUCGAGCGCCGCCAUCGCUAUUCGCUGCGCCCCCAAAAACGUCUUCCGAGUUCUAAUGCCCCCUCGUUGGUUAGCGACCGAAGCACCGUUGCGUUACAUUACACCGCGCAAGUAAAUUAGUUAAACGGUGUCUCGUUCGGCUGGUGAGCGGAGUAGGAUGUUUAACGGAUGGAUGAAUAGAAAUCCCUUUGGAAAGCGCCCAAAUCACGUGAGCCAGAGGGAGUCGAUCAUCAAUCAAUCAAUGUCGAAAAGACUUGGGGCUUUUAGAAUGUGAUUUUUCACGCCAUCCGAACCAAGAAGAAGCCAACUGUUUAGUAUAUGAUAUGGGUUUAUUUAUUUGGCUCGUAUGAUUGGUGAUUUGAUCAUCCAUCCGCCUUAAUUAGAAAGAUUUCACUGUUUCGAUCGAAGAGGACUCUCUCUAUCCAAAGAAAUGUCUUCGGGUGCUGCUGUCCGAACAAGUGCAGUUUUUUCUUGUUCUGACGACUACUGCGUUUAAAACCCAUGCGAUGCGUUGAAUUCGAUUAGUGGACCGUGUCAUCAAUCGACGCGGUCCAUGCCACAAUUACUGGGCCAACCAAAAUGAGAGUUCGAAAGCAGUGGUAUGGAUGGAUGAUGACAGGAUCUUGCAGACGAGGAGGAGGAGAAGAAGGAAGACGAUGAGAUGACGUCCUCGUCGUUGGAAAGGAGCACAGAUUAGAUGUAGGGGAGCGGGGCUCAUCGCUGACCACAGUAACAUUACAAAAAACAAUACAUUUUUAUUUAACGAGUCCCAUUUCGAGAGAAACUAGCAUUUUGGUAAAUAUAUAUUAUAGAUUCCGGCACAUCGUUAGUGGUAAAGUGACAACUUAUUGGGGGUGCCAUGAUGAUAUGACGAUGAGGAUGAGAUGGGGCCAAACCCCUCCCCGAUUGGUGACCAUUAUUGAUGUUAGUUGGGUAUUUAUUAGCCGGGAAAAAGGUCUGUCGGGAAACAUUGCAUCUGAGAAAGAAAUGUCGAUGAUAUCAUCUUCGCACCAACUGCAAUUAUCAUACAGCUGCCGAGAACAUGGCUUGAUUUCACAGCUAUCACAAACUUGCAACUUUCCAGCCUCGGAUGGAAUGCAGGAGCUCGUACGGACGAGAUGAAUCGACUGCAUUGUAUCGUGCUCAUUUUAGUCAAGUUGGGCACGGGUCUCAUGUGUACCACCUGAAUGAAGCUUACCUGCGUCCGCAAACGUUAAGCGUUGUGAUAAGCGCAGAGCAAUAAUAUCUAACGCUGCUGUUGAUUCCAAAGAUACAAAAAAACAAAAACAAAAACGUAUAGAUAGUCGAAACAUGAUUCGGAGAGGGGAAAACAUUUCAUGCAUAAUCCGGUAGUUAAGUAGCCGAAAAAUCUGAAGGAAGGGAUAACAUGUGCUGAUGGCAAGUCGACCUGCUGAUGACAUGUGCUGGCACGUACCAUGUCUGUACGUGUCACAUGCAACCCUAACGUGAUCCUUUGUCUUCCUCAAUAAAGAACAACGCGUCCUACUGUGCGCAAAAGGAACUCCACAUGAAGGGUUCGGGCUGGAAGCCGGCCCAACUUGUGGCGGUGGCGGGGUCACUCCUCAUCGGCGUACAUCUGGCUGUGGAGACUUGUUUAAUUAACCCAGAGAGAGAGAGAGAAGAGGCCGUAUACGGAGCGUGAUACGGCUAGUCCCACAAGUCCUCCUCUCACGGGACCAGAUCAUUCCGUCUCGCCCCACUCAGCAUACUGAAUCGAAACCACGUUCUAUUGGCUAAGGUUGCAGGACCCGAUGGUCCGCCAAAUUGCAAGACCAUCUUUGCUGCUUGCUGGCUCGGCCGAGACACAGUGGCCGCACCCGCCUCAAAACCGAAGCAUAUCCUGACAAGGGAAAAGAUUAAUAAACAAUUUCCCCUCCAGAUCUCUUCAGAAUAACGAGAUUGCCACCCGAUCCUCUCCUGCUGCUGCAGCUCACGGUACGACUUCCUUGUAAUUAAUUAAUACCGUGGAAACGAUAUAUUAUAUUUCUUGGAUUUGUAUUAAUGACAUCGGUUAAGGGAAUUUCUUAUUUUUUAUUAUUUUUGGUAGAAAGAUAUAUUAUUUGCCCAUGAUCCCAAGUUGACAUCAAUGCUUCACUAGAAAAACCAUCUACUAGAUCAUCAUACUACUCCCUCCUUCCAUCGAAGAAGCAUGCCGCUUGAAUGAAACAAUCGUUACGAUGAUGAGGUGAUCCGAGACAACCUACGUCGCAUGAUACAAUAGUUGUAUCGAAUCGUCGUUGACCAACCUGAUAUGCUAAUGCAUAUGCAUCUUAAAGGUGGCCUUCUUCAACUUCACUAAACAUUUGCAUAUAUCGCAAGUGAUUUCGAAGCGGCAGUACAAUACGACGACACAAAAAAUCUGUAGCGCUGGCUGGGUUACAUGGAUGGCAAUUGGGAAAAUUGAGUCCAUGUUGGGGGUACUCGAUAAGGGUGGAGUCGGCCUUCUGUGCUGCUGCAGCUGCAGCUGCAGAUGAACGACUGCUAACCUUGUCUGCCGAGCCGGACAUCGUCCCACGUUACUCCCACCGAGUCUUUUUCAUCGCCUCUCUCUCUCUCUCUCUCUCUCCUCAUCUAAUUCUCCAACCUUCUCCUCCUUC